RNAcentral lists this long non-coding RNA (154156 nucleotides) under Solanum tuberosum (potato). RNAcentral's name for it is "long non-coding RNA (STUB_LNC003864)". The stretch from base 76600 to 76824 matches the Rfam family "MIR8007 microRNA precursor family". The record is from RNAcentral. Lineage: Eukaryota; Viridiplantae; Streptophyta; Magnoliopsida; Solanales; Solanaceae.
UUUUUUUUUUUUUUGAAUUUGUGAUUCUUUUUUGAUUGUAUUUUGAUUCCCAAAGAGAGGUAUGAAAGAAAAUAAAAUUAAGGCUCAAAAGGGGUAGCAAAGAAUUACACGGUAUUUGGAUAGUAGAAUGAAAUGUCUUCAUCAUAUCAAUUAUUACAACUGUUUUAUGAAAAAAUAGAAAUAAAUGACUUGUUUUCAAAAAAUCGACUUAACUUAUGACUUGAAGAAAAAUCAAUUUUUCAAAGAGAGUCGCCACUUAAUUUUUGGAAGAAAUUAAGAAAACUUAUAAUUUUUCAAAAGAUUUAAACAGAAUAAAAUCAUUUGAAAUCCAAAGGGGUACGAGGUUAAAUUUACAUUCCGAGAAGGUGUUAGGCCCUCAGAAUGUCCGCUAACUUGCGGUUGACCAACGAUUUGACUAAACGUUUGACUAACUUGAACAAUAUUAACUAAGUAAGAAAACCCAUUUUUUUUAUUUUUGAGGGUAAAUAAACUAAAGGGAUCUUUAAGGAAAAAUGAUUCAUAUUGACAUGUUCUAGAUAGACUCAAUUCUUAUAUCAAGUCACUAAGUCAAAUACAAAUUUUGCAAAUGAGUGGAUCCUACUAGUGGUAAGCAUGACCUAAAGGAGAUAGGUGUCUAGACUAGCUUACACAAGUGGAUAACUCGAGCUAGGGAGGGGCAACUUAUCGGUAGCAACGUUAUUCCGACUUCAUUAUUGAUCCAACCCCGCCUAAGAUAAGUGAAUAAAUAUCCUUCACUAGGUGUCAAGAAACUCCAGCUUUAUCUCAAGAAAAAUAGUAUGCAUAACUGAAUUCAUGUGAACGUGUGUUAGGUGUUUUCAAAGACUCAUAAGGUGUACGUUUGAGAAAAUAAUUUAGUAUAGUUCAAAAAUAUAAAUAUAAAAAAUAAUAAAUGAGCAGCAAGUAGCACAUUACGCCAUCAAACACAAUAUAUCCAAUAAAAUAGAAUAAUAAAAUCAGGUAAAAGUCAAUAUAACGAAGCUCGAAUUCUGGUUAGUCCUCAGCAAAGUCACCAGAGAUGUCACACCCUUUUUUACGCACGGAGGCGGAUGGGUUUUUCCAAUUUAAGUGACAUUAUUGAUUAAUGGAUUAUUUGAUUUUUCUCAGAGUCGCCACUUGAAUUUGAGUUAUGGUGUUCCAAGUUACAUUUUCUUUUUAAUCUCUAACCAAAAGGAAAUGACUCUUUAAAAUGGUCAGCGAACUAGAAAUUCAGGUAAGAAAUUCUAUUGACUGAGGGGAAGGUAUUAGGCAUCUCUCGAGUCCCGUGGUUCUAGCACGAUCACUGUUAUUGACUUAUACUUAUUUUAAAAUAUGUUUUGGAUAUAUUAUUUUAGGCCAUGACUUGUUUGCAUUUUUAUUGAUGAACUUUUAUUUGGUCUCAACCUAGAUGCGUAACCGCAUUCUUGGUCUUGACAUUUAGAGGCAUAACUGCCUUCUUCACAUCACACUUAAUAAUGUUGUCUAUCAGUCUCUAUUUUAAACUAAUGAAAUUCGAUUAUAUUAUUGAAAAAGGUGCGUCACUGCAUCCUUGAGUAUUUUUUUUAAUGUCUCAAAAAGAUGUGUAACCACAUUCUUAAUCAAAACAAACAUUGUUAAUGUGUCUAAAAUUCCAUCCAACGUUAAUAGAAAAUAUUUUAAUGUUUACCUACCCAAAGUGUUACUUAACCAAAAUAGUGAUCUAGACCGAUUUCAUUAGAAAUAAAUCUAUCAAUCAAUAAUAAAAGAAAAUCUUAGUGGUUAAUAAAAGAAAAUCUAUCAACCAAUAUUUCCUUAAUUCUUAUUAAUCAAACCCCAUACCUCUUCUAAUUAGUAAAUAAAAUUCGUUACCCAAUUUAAAACAAAUUGGUUUCAAAGUGGCUCACUGAUUGAGUUAUUUACUCUAAUUUAAUUAUCUAAUCUAGUGAUCUACUAAUUAAGUUAUUUAUUCUAAUUUAAUUAUCUAAUCUAGUGACCUAAUUAAAUUCUUGUUCUCGCUGACAUUUAUAUUUGAGAAGCCAAAUGUGGAUUACAAUAUAUCAGAAGGGUUGCAAAAAAUUGAAAUUAACACAAUGUUAAUCUGACAUGAACUCAUUGAAAUAAUAUAAAUUUUAAUUAUCCAUUUAGAUAAACAACUUGGUUGUAUUAACUAACAUAUGAAACUAUUUAAAUAAUUUUUUCCAUGCUUUGAUUCACAAAUAAAUAUAUUAAAAAUAAAUAAAAAGAAACAAAACAUGAAUUUGUGUGAUAAAAUAGGAGCAAGAACGAAAUCGGUAGAUACUCGACAUAGAGAUCAAAAUACGAUACUAUAUGAAACUUAUUCUAAAUUUAAAGAUACAACAUGUUUAACAUAUUUCAAUAUUAUAAUGGAAAAGUUAAACAAACAUAAAAUUUGAGCAAAUUCAUAACAUUGGAAUUAACUAUUAUAUAAUCAUGAAAAUCAAAAUAAAAAAAAAGUGAAAGGGUACCUCUUGCGAAAAUCAAUUUACGAAAAGAAAGCAAUCCUAACAGGAAACCAAGAACUUGAAACCACGAAAGCAAAUUUCAAACUCAACCUUUGUUUGUGAGUAAAAAAAUAAAAUAUAUAUAUAAUGUGAGGGUGAUCUUCUUUUUCAUUUUCGUGCAUAUGGGUAUAUGUAUUUUAUUUUUUUGGUAAUAUCCCCGGAGUCUUUUUAUUUGUGUUGUGUGUAUGUAUAAUAUAGUAGUAUGUAGUGGAGUGUGGGUGGUGAUGUGUGUCUGUGUUGUGAGUGGAGUGGGGAAUUAUCGUGAAGUGGGGGUGAGGGUUGUCGGAAUGGGAAGAGUAGUGGGGGUUAAUGUGUAGGUAUAUAUAAAUAUAAAAUAUAAUAAUUAACAAUAUUAACUAAUUAUUUUAAAUUAAUAUACAUAUUAGAAAAGUUAAAUAGGUAAUUAAAAAUAUAAUUAAGAAACACUAGUUUAUUUAUUAGAGCUAAAAUUAAAAGAAAACAUAUAUUUUUGAAAGUUUUAUUUCUUUUUAAAUAAAUUAAAAAUAAAACUUACCAAAAAAUGUGAUUCUAUUUUGUUGUUUUCAAAUCUUUUAAAAUAAAUUUAAUAAAAUAAGAUAAAAGUCAAAAUAUUUAAUUUAGAUUUUUAUUAAAAUAUUUAAGCUCUAAAAAUGGUGUAAAACUUAAGUUCAGUCAAAAAUUACGUGUCUACAAAGUAGUCAUGUGGUAGCUUCCCUAAGCUCUUGGUAAGUAAAUCAGCCAACUGCUCCUUGGUGGAUACAUGAUGUGUUUGAAUUAAAUUUUGCAUUAUCUUCUCCUUUACAAAUUGACAGUCUAUGUCAAUAUGUUUCACUACAAAAAAAUGUGAAUUAAUGAGAAUUUUUCUGGGGAUUAUGUAUGAAAAUUCGCAGGAAAAUAAGUUUUCUGCGGAUUUUCUUGUAAAAAUGAAUUUGAAGGUAAAACCUUCGUAGGUAAUUAUUUCUUGUGAAUUUAAAAAUUCCCAACUAAUUUACCUAGGGAUUUUAAUUUCGCAGGUAAAUUACUUUCGAAUUUUCUUGCAAAUAAUAAUAAUAAAAAAAUUUCUUACCAAUUUAUUCGCAAGUAAAGCCGCAAGAAGAUAUUCAAAUAAAUUUCUUUAAACAAUAUUAAUUAUUAUCUCCUAUUUAUAUAUUUUAUUAUUCAUUGAACCCCCUAGACACAUAUGUAACUAGGGGUGUUCACGGUUUGGAUAAAAACCGAUCCAAACCGAAAAACCAAACCAAACCGAUAAAAUAAAACCGAUUUUAUUUGGAUUUGGUUUGGUUUGGUUUUAGAUUUUUGAAAACCGAUAGUAUUUGGUUUGGUUAUGGUUUUAUUCAAAAAAAACUGAAGAAAUAACCGAACCGAACCGAUGAAUUAUAUACAUAUAUUUUAUUAAUAUACAUACUUAAUAUAUUAUUUUUAUAAACAAUUUUAAAGAUCUUAUACAUAUGAGUGUCUAUGUCAAUUCUUUGUGGGACUGAAAAUGUAUUUGUCUCUUCCUUCUAGGCCAAUAUAGUGAAUUUUAAAGCUUUAUUGAUAGUAAAUUUAGUGAUUGAAAGUUUACUAAUUUAAGUCAUUCUAACUAUUUUUCGUUUUGAAUGGAUUGUUGUCACUUUUUUCACAUUUUAAAUGAAUUGUUUCCUUUAUUUUUGUGUAUGGUUAAUAACCGAAUAACCGAACCAAACCAAACCGAAACCGAUAAUAACCAAACCGAUAAAUGUAUAUUGUAUUUGGUUUGGUUUGGUUUUGAUAAUUUUAAAACCGAUCAAGUUGGUUUGGUUUUGACCAAUAACCGAUCCAAACCAACCCGUGAACACCCCUAUAUGUAACCAUAUUUUUCACACAACUACCCAGCCAUUGUACAAUUUCAUUCGUGCCCACCCAAUCCACCAUGAUAUUCAAUUUAAUUGCCCUCCUAAUUCAAGUCCCCAUGAGAUUUCAUGCCUACUCAAUUAUAAUUUUUCCUUGAAAUUCCAUUCUACCAAUAUUCUAAGUCAUAGCAUUAUAAAUGCUAAAUUUUUGGUGUGUUUUUCCGAUGUGGUACAAAAGAUACAAUGACACUACACUAUUUUUUGUUGUCUUUCUCCAAUUUGAUUAAUUUUUAAAGUAAAUUUUAAUUUAUUUAAUUGAGUAUUUAAAAUACCAUUUAGAUAUUCAUAAAUUUUUCAAAAGUACUCUUAUUCAUCUCAUAUCAAUAUGGUAAUAAAAUAUAUCUUAAAUAUUGGCUAAAGUUCAUGUAAUUUGACUCUUAAAAGUGAAACAUGACAAUUAUAUUUAUAUUUAGAAUAAACCAUUAACUCCCAACAUUCAUGAAACUUUUCUGCUUACACUUCCUAUGAGAAAAUGUCCUAACUAAGCAUAUUAAACAUAGACAAAAUUUAAAUUAUACAUACAAAGUUUUUAUAAAUAAAUAAUUGAAAAUAUAAAUAAAUUUAUAAGUUUAAAGUGCAAGAAAGUUAUACUCAAUAAUUGAUAGUAUAUCUUAUUGGGUAUUUGUGGUAUUUUUAAUUUUAAUAAUUAUAUUUUAACAUACUUAAUUAUAUAUUUGCAAAUAAAAAUCAUUUAAUAACCUACUAUAUUUAUAUAUAUAGAAAUUAUGUCAUUUGUAAUGCUUAUAAAAAAAUAUCAAUUGGGAUAUACAUGUAAAACUUAUUUAUUUUUCAUUUAAUAUAAUUUUAUCAAUGAAGGGUUAUUAAACUUCACAUUGCUAAUGCAUAUCAUCGAUUUUUUAUAUACUUUAAUAUAAUGCUCGACUUAUUUAAUAAUAUACAAUUUAAUAUAAAUAAUAUUAAAUCAAAAUUAAUUACAUUUAUGAUAGUUAUUUUUCAAUUGGAUAAAUAACUAGCCAUAUAAAUUUAAUGCUUUCAUCUUUUAAAUUGAAAAAAAAACAACAAAAAAAAACUGCAUCAUUGGUUUCUUGUGAUAAGUUAAAAGUAUUGAUAAUGACAUUUGUCCGCAGAUGGUUAAUACUAGAUACAACAGCAUCAGGCCUGUAGCUCCCGUCAAUGUUCCAGCUGAGGAAUCUACAGCGAGAGGUCGCGUUCGAGGCAGGGGUAGAGGAAGAGUUAGGGGUAGAGGCCGUGGAAGAGUAGCGCCUGCUGGGAAUGAAGAUCAUGUUCAGAAUGCUCUUAUGAAUGAGAACCCUCAUGCGCAUCAUGAAGAGAUAGAAGAGAAUGUUGAUGUUGAGAAUAUUGAGGAUGUGGGACAAGAGAAAGAAGUGCAGGAUGAGACUAUCGAUGUUCCUCCCAUAGACACAGUGUUAGCUAGACAUGUCAUGUCAUUCUUGAAAUGGUUGGUUGGUCCUGGAGUGCUUCCUUCUGUUCAAGCAACUCAAGCUCCCACUAAUCCCCAUGUUGCUAGCAAUGCGCCCAAGAUGGGUGGGACGGGAGGUAACGAUGCUUUAUUUCGUCCUUUGUUGGGUUCUGUUAUGACUGGUAAUGAGCAUGAAAUGUUGACUAAGUUUUUGAAGCUAAAGCCUUCUGUGCUUCUUGGUUCUGAGAAUGAGGAUGCUUAUUAGUUCAUCUUAGAUUGCUAUGAGAGGUGUUGCUACCCAAUAUACACGCAAGUGUACGUGGUCGCGCAAGUAAUAUAGAUUCUUAAAGAAACGAGUUAUCGUUCCCAAGGAACUUAUGAUCUACUUAUAUUCACUUAAUUCUACAACUAAAAGUAAAAAGUAAUCUUUUCAAGAGUUGAUGUUUUAUUGUUUAUCUACUAAUAAUUAUGCACUAAUUGAAAGUAACUAAUUGUGAACGACUUUGAUAUAAUGUUUCAAGCAAGUUAAAAGCAAUUCCAGGGCUGCAGCAUAUACUGAAUAUCAUGUAUCAUAUUCUUGACCUAGAAUUAAUUUCAGUUGUCAAGUUACUGGUUUAUAGGGUUGAUAAUAUGAUACGGGUUAUACUCCUCUGGUUGCCUACCUCAGUUAGCUAUCUAACUACAUUGUUGAGUGGGGAUAAAUAGACUAACUGGCGAGCAUUUAUAUUUCAUCCUAUUUCGUAAUCAAGCAAGAUGUUCGUCUGGGCGUCACUCCUGAACACUAAUCACCUCAAUCUAAUGGGUGGACCGAGAUCUCUAUAUUCUCUGGUCUAUCUAAUCCCUCCUCUCUCGAUUUUAAGAUUAGACAAUAAAUUUAUCUUAUGGUGCACAAGCAUAAAAUACUAAAACAAGAAUAUAGAAGUAACUUGUAUUAACAACCGAAAAUUAAUCCAACAACCUCAAAUAGUCAACAAUCAAUUCAUAGCUACAAUCCCAGAACUAGGGCGUUUAGCUACUCAUGCUAUUAGAAAACAAGAAAAUACAACAGGUCAUGCAAUUUCCAACAAAUAGAAGAGUUAAAGGAUUAAAACCUAUUACAAACUUGAAUUCUUGCUCUUGCACACUAAAUCAAAAGUUGAACCCCGAUUAUGGAGCCCUAAGGAUCUAUUUAUAAUAGUAGGAAAAGUUGGGAACAAAUCCUACACAAAUUAGGAAUCCUAUUUAAUGUUUAAAACUUGGAAAAGUCAGCAAAAGAGGGACGUGUCGUGCCUCCUAUCGCCCCACGAACAUGCUCCAGUUGUAUCAGUGUUGGCGCGUCGCGCCUCUCAGGGCGCCUGAGAAAGGCCUUUGAAUGUUUGGCCAUGGCGCGUCGCGCCUGAGAAGGGCCUCUGAAUGUCGGGCCUUGGCGCGUUGCGCUUCUCAGCGCGCCUGAGAAGGGUCUCUAAAUGUUGGGCCUUGGCAUGUCACGCUUAGCAGUGCGCCUGUCCCUGCGGCCUUCAUUCUUAGCCGUUUUUCAUGCUCUUUUGCAUAUCUUUUCUUCAAGUUGACUCCAAUUCCCUUGAGAGUUCCUGAAACAACUAAUCAUGUGUGUAAGUGCAUAAUCAUCACAAGUUACACCAAUAAUUAAGCUAAUGACCAGAGAUCAUUCUUCAAUCUAAUCGAUUCAUGGCACAUAUUGACAACUUAGGCAUAUAAAUAUGCCUAAGAUCACUACCCCAUACUUAGAAUUUUGUUUGUCCUCAAACAAUCUCUUGACUAUCAACUCUUUUUCACAACCCUUGAACUCAUCAACGCACCUUAAAAUCAACCAAACAUUUUUAAUCAUGAUCUUGUAGUUCACAAUGGAUGCAACAAUUCACAACAUUUACACCAAGUAAAACACAUGCUCAAAGAAUUUCGGGAUAAUGCAAACUCAUACAACCACACCAAUUAGAUAAUCCUACACAUGCCAUGAAUGCCCUCGCUUGUUUAUGUUUAGUAAAGCCUUUCACUCAAGCAAUUUGUAAUAUCAACAAGGCCUAUUUUUCAAACAACCAACUCACCCUCACAAAAGAAGUUCUUACUUUUCUCAACAUACCAUAAGCUUGCCAAUAGUGUAUUAUUACUUUUGCACAUAUUUCUCAAGGAAUCAAGAGGACUUUCAUUUGGUUGUAAUGUCGGCUUAAGGUAAGGGAGGGAAUAUUUAGGAAUCAUCUUAGUGACUACACCUCCCUAAUGCACAUGUCAUUAUUUUGCCAACAAUCUCCAUUAUAACUUUUCUUUCCUCCUAGUACACACUUGAUGACUAUUUACCCAUUUUGUUGCUCCAUAUGUGCCCUUUAUUUCUUUUUCAUCAUUUUUUUCAUGCCUUUGCACUAGCCAUCCAAACUCUAGAUUUUAACAUCAGAGUAAGAUACACAUUAUCCUUGAUAGGAUCAGGGCCAAUGUUUCUAGCAUAGUUCUAAAUCAGCCACCCUCAAUUUUGGUUGAGGUGCACAUUGUCACUAAGGACCAGGGCCAAAACAUAAUUUUCUUUUCCACACAAUGUAGAAAUUCACCCUUAGCUAUAUCAACCAACAUUUUCCAACCCUUCUUCUUAACAUAGUGCAUUAAGGAUUUUCAUAGGAUCAAAAGACUUGGUAUCAAACAACGGGUUUCGGCUUAUCAUGUGGUUUAUCAAUAAACAAGGCUAAAGGCUCAAUGAGGCUCACUAGGGAUAAAUUCAAUGGUAGGCAUACAAUAAGAGUUAAGAAUUGGCUAUUUCAAAGAAACGCCUCAAUCACAUUCCCUAACUUAUACAAGCUACUAAUUCAACACACACAAGGCAAGUUAUAGAUAUCAAGUUAAGAAAGAACCAAUAAAUUCUCACCACACAUGGCAUUAUGACACAUAUUAGGAUAUAUCAACUAACAUGCUCAUACAAGUUGCAUUACGGUUUUACUACACAAUUAAGCCCAUUUUCAUUUCAUUUCGAGUCAAACUUAAGAACACAUGCUAAUUACAAGGUCAACCAUCUAGUAUAUUUUCCAAGUAUAACUACCCAUGACGUUUGACUAACUUAUUCGGAAAUAGCUUCAAAAGUUCAAGGUUGGUAUUUCAAUCCUACUCCUCUAUGUGACUAAUUUUCCCUUAAGACGGUCGUCAUCCAUCCAUCAUUGGGAACUGUCACUCCUAAGACGACUCUAAGACUCCAUAAAGCAAUAAACUAAUCCUAUAUAGUUCAAAGGGACAAUCCUCAGUAAAAGUACCGAAAACAAACGCUGAGGAACCCAAAAUUAAAAAAUUAAAAAUUUAACUAAAACUAACACUAGACUCGAUAAAGCAGUAAACAACUAUAUACAACAGAGAAUAUUACCCUACCCCACAUUUUAAAAAUAAGCACUGUCCUCAGUGCACAAUUAAAACAAAGUAUAAGGUUAGGAAUACUCCCUGGGGCUUUUAGGCCUUGUCGUCACCGCCGUCGAACACCAUCAAGGCAUUCGUCUCUUCAUCCACAACAUCAUCCUCCUCAUCAUCCGUAGCCUCAUCAGCAGUAGCAUCAUCAUCAUCCAAAGGUUCCAAAAAGGCAGGACUAGUUUUGCACAAAAACGCUGCACUCUCAGAGAAAGGAUAGCGUUCUGCCAUUGUUUCCAUCUUAGCAUCAGUAACCGGACGUCCACCGAUCCGCAAUUGCAACUCAGCCAUCCCAAACAUCCUAGCCAUGACACUAUCGUCACAGGCUUGCCUCUCUUAGGCAGACAGAACCGGCCCAUGGGAUGUGUCAAGUGCCUUAGUCCUCGUCACAUCAACUAGCUUACCUGUCAGAUCCAGGUAAUAAGCAACAGUCAUGUCGAUCGUUUCCUCUUCAAUACCCUCACUCCUUAGAAAAUGGGUGAUCAAUUCCCCGUAACAGAACCACCACCUCAUAUUAUUCCUAAAUUUCAUCAUACUCUACCUCAGGAUAGCCCCUACAUUAAUAGGCACACCCUUCAUCAGCAUAUACACUAAUACCACCCUAUCUCUUGUCACCUCAGUCAGAUGUUUGGCAGGAAGUAACACACUACACACUAUCUUUAGCCACACCCUUGCCACCUGAUUAAAGCUAGCAAAAUGGAGGGUAUUAUGCCUCCCAUUUUCCUUACUCUGCUCCCACCUAGCAUUCGAAUCAACCCCACACAAGGUAUGUCGAAUAUCCCUAUAAGGAGGUUGAUCAUUUAAGUCAUUAAACAUAUCAGGGUCACAAUUUGGGGUUCCUAACAACUCAUUCAUAAUUCGGGCAGAAAACUUGACAUCUUUCCCCCUAACAGACACAGUUUUAUAUUUCGUUUCAUUUAGCCAAUUAGUAUAAAAUUCUCACACUAGUGUCAAAUUGCAAUCCCCUGGUUUUUCAAAUAUAAACCUCAAACCCAGCUCAUUAACAGUCCGAUAUAUAUCAGGAAAUUGCAACUGUAACCUUACCUCAUUCACAAAUUUGUUGCCCAUAUACUUCGCCUCUCUUUGGCAUUCAAACCAUUCCCACCCAUACCUUUCCACAUCCUUUUUACCAAAUUUUUGCACUGGUUCCCGACCACUAGAGGACCCGGAAGAUUCUCUUUUUCUACUUCGCUUGGAACCCACCACAUUUUUUGCUUUUGGGGCCAUCACCACAUGUGAAGAAAAGAAAAAUGGAGAAAAGAAAAGAAAUUAGAAAUUUUUUUAUAGGGUGGUGUCGGCUGGCAGUGGGUAGUGGUGAGGGGAGAAGAGUUGAAAUUUUGGUUUGAGUAAGAGAGGGAAGAAAUUUGGAGAGGUGGAAGUACUUAUAAUGGAGUUGUGGGAGAAAGAAAAGUUUAAGAAAAAGGGAAGGUGUGUUAAUGGAGGAAUUUGGAGAGUGAGGGAGGAAGAAGAUGAAGAAAGUUUGAGAGAAUGGGGGAAAGUGGGUUGGUUAGAAUGAGAGAAUGAGAGAAUUAGGGAUUUAAGGGGUGGGUCGAGUUAAAUCCGGGUAAAAGCCAGGAAAUUAAAAAAAACUGGGCGUUGGGGUGAUAGGAGGGGCGACGCGCCUCUCAGCGCGCCUGAGAAGUGCCCGAGUCAGUUGGACCUUGGCGCGACGCGCCUCUCAGCGUGCCUGAGAAGUACCCCAGACGUACGAGGCCAGGCGCGGCGCGCCAUCCAGUGUGCUUGGCUCAAUUUUCAAUUUUUUUUUCUCGUUAUUACAAGCUAAGUUACAAAUAAUGAAAAAUCCUAUUUAACUAAAACUAAAAGAACUUCUUAGAUUCUACGAAUUUAAACUAAGCGAAAACAAUAAAAAGUAAAAUUUCCAACACGAACUACCUAUCUAUUACAUAUUGUUCAUGGGUUGCCUCCCAUGUAGCACUUGAUUUAACGUCGCGGCACGACGCAACUUGGAUCAUUCAUCAUUUAGCUCAAGAGCUUUCCGAUCACGAUCCGAAUCCUCAUCGAAAUAGUGUUUCACCCAUUUCCCAUUGACCAAGAACGUAAGGCCAGUCUUAUCUUUGAGUUCAACAGCCCCAUGUUGUGUCAUUCUGACCACUUCGAAAGGACCACUGCACUUCGACCUUAGUUUUCUAGGGAAUAACCUUAGUCUAGAGUUAAAGAGUAGUACCUUAUCUCUCGGAUUGAAAGUACGAGCUACUAUGUGCUUGUCAUGCCACCUCUUCGUCUUUUCUUUGUAAAUUUUGGCAUUCUCAUAUGCGUGAAGUCUAAACUCCUCAAGUUCAUGCAGUUGAUUCACUCUCUUUUUACCGGCUAGCUCAGGGUCCAAGUUCAACCUCUUAAUUGCCUAAUAAGCUUGAUGUUUUAAUUCUACCGGAAGAUGACAUGUGAUAGGGAGAAGUCCAUAUUGGUGUCUUAUACGCAGUCCUAUAUGCCCACAACACAUCAUCUAAUUUCUCACACCAAUCUUUCCGCUGCGCAUUCACCGUUUUCUGCAAAAUUUGCUUCACCUCUCUAUUCGAGACCUCCACUUGGCCACUCGUUUGAAUCUUAUGACGAAUACCAUACUUAGCAAGAAGGUUUUUAACAAGAUGGUUAAUGAAAUGCUUACCUCCAUCACUUAUAAUUCCCCUUGGAGUGCCAAAACAAGUGAAAAUGUGCUUCUUUAUGAACUUUAUCACCACCCUUGAAUCAUUGGAAGGGAGAGCGAUCGCCUCAACCCAUUUACUAACAUAAUCCACAUCCACAAGAAUGUAUUGGUUCCCACUAGAUGGUGGGAAUGGACCCAUGAAGUCAAUACCCCACACAUCAAAGAUUUCCACCUCCAAAAUGUUACUUAGCGGCAUCUCAUGUCUUCUUGAAAUAGUACCCAACAUUUGGCAUUUAUCACAGCCCUUCACAAAAGCAAUAUAAUUUUUAAAUAAUGAGGGCCAAAAGAAACUAGAUUGUAGUACCUUAUGAGCAGUGCGCUCUCCUCCAUGGUGACCUCCAUAUGGGCUAGCAUGGCAACUUUCGAGCACUUUGUGAACCACAAUUUCCGGAAUGCACCUUCUCACUACCCGGUUUACACCUUGCUUGAAUAAGAAUAGUUCGCCCCAGAUAUAGAACUUGGCAUCAUGAUUGAGCUUUUUCUUUUGUUGGGUGGUUGCACCCGGAGGAUAAUCGCCACUUACUAUCAAAUUCACAAUGUCUGCAUACUAUGGCACUUGAGAGAUAUCUAAUGCCAUCAAUUGUUCAUCCGGAAACUCUUCCCGGAUUUGCUCACCUUCAUUCACAUGUGAAAAAUCCUCCAACCUAGAUAAGUGAUCUGCUAUUUGAUUCUCAGUACCUUUCCUAUCUUUGAUCUCAAGGUCAAAUUCUUGGAGAAGCAAUAUCUAUCGAAUCAGGCUUGGUUUAGCAUCCUUCUUGUUGAAUAGGUACCUAAUAAAUGCAUGGUCAGUAAAAACAAUCACUUUAGUACCUAUCAAAUAUGAUCUGAACAUGUCGAAGGCGAACACUAGAGCCAUCAUCUCCUUCUCAGUCACUAUGUAAUUAGCUUGUGUAGAGUCAAGGGUCUUGCUUGCAUAAUAGAUCGAGUGGAACACUUUAUUCUUUCUUUGUCCCAACACUGCACUCAUUGCUACGUCGCUUGCAUCACACAUGAGUUCAAAUGGUAGUCCCCAAUCAGGAGUAAUUAAGAUGGGAGCCUCAAUUAAGUUCCUCUUCAACAUCUCAAAAGCUUUCAAGCACAUCUCAUCAAAGUCAAACUUCACCUCCUUCUCCAAGAGACUGCACAUAGGUCUGGCAAUCUUGGAAAAAUCCUUGAUGAAUCGCCUGUAAAAAGCUGUAUGACCAAAAAAACUACGCACACCUUUUACAGAAAUAGGAGGGGGCAAUUUGUCAAUAACUUCUACCUUAGCCUUAUCAACUUCCAAACUAGAUUUAGACACCUUGUGUCCCAACACUAUUCCCUCUCUUACAAGAAAAUGACACUUUUCCUAGUUUAGAACUAAGUUAGUGUCUUAACAUCUAGCAAAUACUUUAUCAAGAUUUCGGAGUCAUACCUCAAAAGACUUCCCAAAGACGGAAAUAUCAUCCAUGAACAUAUCAACAAAGUCUUCCACCAUAUCAUAAAAAAUGGCCAUCAUACACCUUUGAAAAGUCGUCGGUGCAUUGCAAAGUCCAAACGGCAUGCGCUUGAAAGCAUAUGUGCCAUAAGGACAAGUGAACGUGGUCUUUCCUGAUCCUCGGGUGCAAUCAAGAUCUGGUUGUAACCGGAAUAUCCAUCUAAUAAACAACAGUACUCCUUCCUUGCUAGUCAGUCAAGCAUUUGAUCAAUGAAGGGAACGGGGUAGUGAUCUUUCCGGGUAACAUUAUUUAGUUUCCGGUAAUCCAUGUAAAUUCUCCACCCGGUUACUGUUCUAGUAGGAAUUAACUCAUUCUUUUCGUUCCUUACCACUGUCAUACCUCCCUUCUUGGGAACACAUUGUACCAGAUUUACCUACUUACUAUUAGAGAUUGGGUACACAAUUCCAGCAUCUAGCCACUUAAUGACUUCCUUUCUUACCACUUCUUUCAUCACAUGAUUCAGUCGACGUUGAUGUUGUCCUUUGGGUUUGUGAUCCUCUUCCAUGUAAAUUCUAUUGAUCCUCUUCCAUGUAAAUUUUGUGCAUGCAUAACGCCGGACUAAUUCCAUGAAUAUUAGCCAUCUGCCAUCCAAUUGCUUUUCGCCUCCGCUUUAAGAUCCUUAAUGCUACAUCAACCUGUAAGUCAGACAAUUCUGCAGAAAGUAUAACAUGCAAAGUUUCAUUAGUACCCAAAUAAGCAUAGCUUAGGUGAGACGACAUAGUUUUUAAUUCCAAAAUAGGGGCUUCUUCUAUUGAUGGCUUUGGUAGGGGCCCCAACUCGCGAUCUAUUGACUCCACUUGAUUCCUACGAGUGUCUACUAGUGCUAGAUUUAAGCAUGAUUCAAUCUCUUGAGCUUCAGUGUCUCCCUCUAUCUCAUGACCCACUAACACUCUUUCUAAAAGAUCUUCAGGCACAACUACUUCUGAUUCUACUAUGCAAUCUACCACAGUAAUAGCAAACAACUCUUCAUAAAUAGAAGGCAAUUUUAAAGCGCGGUAAACAUCAAAUACCUCAACCUUAUCAUGUGCCUUCAUAGUUAGUUGACCGGCUGCUACAUCAAUCAAUGUCCUACCAGUGGCCAAGAAAGGUCGCCCCAAAAUGAAUGGAACUUUAAAAUCGGGUUCAAAGUUUAAGACCACAAAAUCUACCGGAAAAAUCAAUGAACCUACAUGUACUAACACAUCUUCUACUACCCCCUCUGGUCUAGUAAUGGAUCUAUCAGCGAGUUGGAGAAUAACAAUGGUUCAUUUUGGACUACCUAACCCGAGCUUUUGAUACAAAGAUAAGGGCAUCAAAUUUAUACUUGCCCCCAAAUCACACAACCCCCGGGCAUGAACACUUUGCCCAAUUGUAAUCUGCACAGUAAAACUACCAGGAUCUUUUAACUUUUUGGGCAGUCUGUUUUGGAUCCUUGAGUUGUACUCCUCAGUAAGUGCUAUAGUUUCAUAUUCAGUGAGUCUUCUUUUGCUGGCCACUAUGUCCUUCACGUAUUUAGCAUACUUCGGGAUACCCUGCAAAAUGUCAACCAAAGGUAGAUUAAUGUGAACUUGUUUAAGGAGAGUGAUAAACUUACCGAAGCAUUCAUUUUCAUUCUGCUUUUCCAGCCUUUGUGGAAAUGGAGGUGGUAAUUUCUUUUAAGGAACAGGUACCUCAACAUUGGAGCUUUUUACUACCUCUUCCACCUUCUUUUCUUUGUUACUUACCUCAGUGUCUCUCUUCUUUGGAGCUAGUUCCUCUAAUUGCAGCCCACUUCUAGCAUUUACCGCAUGCAAUUGCUUUGGGUUGGGCUCAGUAUCACCGGGUAGCCUACCUUGGGGAUACAGGUUCAAAGAAUUAGCCACUUGCACGACUUGUUUCUCUAAACUCAUCUGGGACAUCUGGAUGUUUAUGAUGUAUUCAUCUUGCUUAUCUAUUCUAGCAUUUAGUGUGGUCCCUAUCUCGGUCAUGAGCUUUUGUAGUAGAUCUUCAUUGGUUAUCCCCCCUUUUGGUGCACUAGGAUUUGAGUCUUGGUUAGGAUUGUAGUAUUGUUGCCCAGUCCCUUGAAAAUGGUAUUGGUUAGCCCCUUGCGCCUGAUUUUGGUUUUGGUUACCGCCCCAUGAGAAGUUUGGAUGGUUCUUCCAACUAGGGUUGUAAGUGUUGCCAUAAUUUUGUUGCACUCCACUCCUUUGCGCAUUACCCACAUAAUUUAUGGAAUCCGGGUUUGCCUCACAUUGCUCGCUUUCAUGAGUUCCAUUACCACAUACCUCACACCAAUUUGCUGCCUAAUUUAGAGCCAUUUGUUUAAAAUGUAAGGUCAUGUUAUGUUGCAUUGCAUCUAAUUUGUCAUUUAUGACAGUAGCUUGGUCUACAUCAAGGUCCCUGCAGCCUUUUGGGUUGGGGUUCUAGAUAUUUCCCCUUCAUACCCUUGGUUCCCUUCAGAAAGUUUAUCGAAUAAGGCGAAGAACUCUUCACUCGUUAUGGAUAGGGCCUAUCUACAUGCUGCAGUAUUAAGAAGAGAACAAGUAUUAUAGUCUAAACCCUCAAAGAAAGUGUGAGCAAGUACCUCAUUGGUUUGCAUGUGGUGUGGGCAAGCAUUCAACAUUUGUUUGAAACACGCCUAUGCUUGGUACAUGUCCUCCCCUUGCUUUUGAACAAAGUUUAUUAUCUCACCCCUCAGCUUCACGAUUUUCUUGGAUGGGAAAAAUCGACUCAGGAACUUCUUUGCUAGAUCAUCCCAAGUAGUGAUGGAAUUUGGUAGCUCAGAGUUUAACCAACGUCUUGCAGCUCCUAACAAUGAGUAUGGGAACAAAGUCAACCUUACAUCGUCUGAUGAGACUCCAAUUGGGAUGUAUGUAUUGAUAAUUUCUAUGAAAGUCCUAAGAUGGAUUUGAGGAUCCUCAUGGGGGAGACCAGUGAAUUGCCCAUUAGUAUGGAGGAUCUGUACCAUGCUCUGCUUUAGUUCAAAUCUACCCUCCGGUGGAGGUUUCCUAAUACUAGAUGCCAAGUUGGCUAUGAAUGGGACUGCCACAUCACGGAGUGGUCUUGCAGGUACGACAUGUGGUACUCCUUGGUUAUUUGGGUUCCUUUGGUUAUUCACAUUUUUCGGGUUAUUCAAUUUGUCUUGAUUAUCAUCAUCAAUGUUUUCCGGAAGACCUAACCCCAAUUCUCCAUGUAGUCCUUGAUUCUCCAUUUUCCUGCGCUGGCGUAAAACUCUUUCAGGUUCGUUGUAAGGUUCGACAAGAUUUCCUUUCCGAGCUAGACUUGAAAAUCAAGUGCCUGCAAUACACAAGCUAAGAUCAAGUAAUUAGUACCUGAAUAUAUUAAGUGUAUACUUAAGAAGAUUGAAUAUAAAUGAAUUUCUAAGUCCCCGGUAGCGGCGCCAAAAACUUGUUGCUCCCCAAUAUACACACAAGUGUACGUGGUCGUGCAAGUAAUAUAGAUUCUUAAAGAAACGAGUUAUCGUUUCGAAGGGACUUAUGAUCAACCUCUAUUCUCUUAGUUCUACAACUAAAAGUAAAAAGUAAUCUUUUCAAGAGUUGAUGAUUUAUUGUUUAUCUACUAAUAAUUAUGCACUAGUUGAAAGUAACUAAUUGUGAACGACUUUGAUAUAAUGUUUCAAGCAAGUUAAAAGCAAUUACAGGGUUGCAACAUAUACUGAAUAUCAUGUAUCAUAUUCUUGACUUAGAAUUAAUUUAUGUUGUCAAGUUACUGGUUUAUAGGGUUGAUGAUAUGAUCCGGGUUAUACACCUCUCGUCGCCUACCCCAGUUAGCUAUCUAACUACAUCGUUGAGCGGGGAUAAAUAGACUAACUGGCGAGCAUUUAUAUUUCAUCUUAUUUAGUAACCAAGUAAGGUGUUCGUCUGGGCGUCACUCCUGAACACUAAUCACCUCAAUUUAAUGGGUGGACCAAACUCUCUAUAUUCUCUCGUCUAUCUAAUCCCUCCUCUCUCAAUUUUAAGAUUAGACAAUAAAUUUAUCUUAUGGUGCGCAAGCAUAAAAUACUAAAACAAGAAUAUAGAAAGUAACUUGUAUUGACAAUAAAAAAUUAAUCCAACAACCUCAAAUAGUCAACAAUCAAUUCAUAGCUACAACCCCAGAACUAGGGCGUUUAGCUACUCAUGCUAUUAGAAAACAAGAAAAUACAAUAGUUCAUGCAAUUUCUGGCAAAUAGAAGAGUUAAAGGAUUAAAACCUAUUACAAACUUGAAUUCUUGCUCUUGCACACUAAAUCAAAAGUUGAACCCCGAUUAUGGAAGCCUAAGGAUCAAUUUAUAAUAGUAGGAAAAAUUGGGAACAAAUCCUACUCAAAUUAGGAAUCUUAUUUAAUGUUUAAAUCUUGGAAAAGUCAGCAAAAAAAGGACGUGUCGCGCCUCCUAUCACCCCACGAACAUGCUCUAGUUGUAUCAGUGUUGGCGUGUCGCGCCUCUCAGGGCGCCUGAGAAAGGCUUCUGAAUGUUUGGCCUUGGCGCGUCGCGCUUCUCAGCAUGCCUGAGAAGGGCCUCUAAAUGUUGGGCCUUGGCGCGUUGGGCCUCUCAGCGCGCCUGAAAAGGGCCUCUGAAUGUUGGGCCUUGGCGCGUCGCACCUAGCAGUGCGCAUGUCCCUGAGGCCUAAUCAUCACAAGUUACACCAAGAAUUAAGCUAAUGACCAGAGAUCAUUCUUCAAUCUAAUCGAUUCAUGGGCACAUAUUGACAACUUAAGCAUAUAAAUAUGCCUAAGAUCAAGAGGUAUCAUAAGUUGGGAAUUGUCCAUCAGCAUGGGGUUGAGUUUGGGUACUUUCAACUUCAAGGUAAGGCUAAACAGUGGUGGAGAGCUUAUAUGGAAUGCAGAUCUUCUACUUUACCUCCACUUUCUUGGACCCAAUUUCAUGCUCUGUUUUUGGAGAAAUAUAUGCCUAGGACUUUGAGGGAUCGCAAAAAGGAUGAGUUCAUGGCUUUGGAGCAAGGUGGUAUGACUGUGGCUGCUUAUGAGGCCAAGUUUCAUGCUUUGUCUAGAUAUGCUACUCAAUUGGUGACUACUGAGAAGGAGAGGAUCCGGUUAUUUAUUAAGGGGCUAAAUUCUGAGUUGCAUGUAUUAUCUGUUUAUAUGACCUUUGCAGGAAGGAGCUUCAAUGAGGUAACAUACUAUGUUAAGAAGGUGGAGGGGGUGAGGCGAGACGGUCAAGCUAAGGCAUGUGCAAAAAGGGCCAAGAAUUCGGGUAACUUUCAAGGUUCUUAUUCCAAGGGGUUUGGAAGGCCAACGCUUGCAGCCAAGCCAAUUCAGUCCUCUAUGCCUGCCUCUAUAGGUAGUUACUCGAAAACUCCAUCUCAUAAUUUUCAGGAUAGCCUGGGAGUCGCGCCUUCGGCGGGCAGCAGGCCAUCUUUUGAUCGUACGUGUUACAACUGUUGUUGACACCCAAUUUUGGCCAAACAUUUUCAAAAUUCGUAACUUUUAAGUUUUAUUUAUUUAAUAGUUCAAAAUAAUUAUUUUUUUUAUAUAAUUUUAAAUAAAUUUGUCGAUAACUAUCCUUAUUUAUCAAAAUUUAGGAUUUUUUAUCAGUUAAUUUUAAAAUUACAUUUUUACAUAUCAUUAGUUACGUUCAUUAUAUAUAUAUAUAUAUUUAUAUAUAUAUAUAUAUUCAUUUUAUUUGUUACAUUCAUUAAUAUUCAUUUCGAUAUUUUGCACAGCCUAAAAAUUCAUUCAAAUACAGAUAAUAUUUCAUACACAGAUAUUUUAUUAACUGAUGAUUUUGACCCACGAUUUUAAAAUAAUGGUAUUGUAGUUUUCAACUCCCUAUAUAAAGAAUAGUUUGUCUAUUAGGUUAAAGGGGGGCGUAAAUUAUUUUUUAGGAGGUAAGAAUUUUCAAAAGGGAAAACCCUAAAUUUUGUUCCUUUCCUCCUCUUAAAGAAGAGUAGCCGCACCCCUCUCUUCUCAUACAACAACUCUCUAACCACCAUAAGAACAAUGCCAUUUCUGGCAAAACCAAACCUGAACCACCGCUCGUGUCCCUAUCACCUUCGCCAUUUCCGGUGAAAUCGAAACCCCCUAAACCCAGCAAACAACAACGGCUAAACCUCUCCGGCGAACUCCAAAGCUCUACUCCAGCCUUCUUCCUCCAGCAACCAGCGCACCGAACAAGCCUUCAAAACCCCCAUUUUUUCCUACCUACUUCUUCUCCAAACCAGACCCAUAAAUAAGUUAUCAGUGAGCUCAAAGCUCUGUUAAACAACGAGCUCGUGAGGAACCAGAGACAGCCAAGCGAGUUACAAGCUCCGACGAAGCACCAAAUAUGACCAGAUUCGGCCGGGAUACUGCAUUUCCGGCGAGGUUUAAGCUUUCACUUCCAAAUCUAACUGAUAUAAAAAUGUUGUUUUACUUAGUUUUGUUCUUUUUUAUUGCUAUGUUUUUUUGUUGCAUUUCAGGUGACUCAUUUUGUUCGUUUCAAAUUGGGUCGAAGGGGCUCAAACUCCGAUCAUUUUCAUUUUUUGUGCUAAUGAUUUCCAGCGGAUUUCUUUUGGUUUCAACUUAUUAUGUAUCUAUUUUCUUAAGUUCAUUAUUGGUGGUUCAUAACUUUAAAUGUUUUCUUAUUUUAUUUUGUCUAUUACGUUGUUGUCUGUCCAUUUGAGCUUUUUAUAUUUACUUUAUGAUUGUUUCUUUAUUUUAAUCUAAUGUCUUGUUUUAUUUAGAUUUGAUUUAUGUAUUUCUCUAAAAUUUCACAUCGAGUCGUUUUGGUUUAUAUGUUUUCGUGUUGAUAAUUGCUUAAAUUUGUUCCGUUUCUUAGUUUAAUAUUUUAGUUGCUAAAUUUGUUAUAUGUUUGAUAGAUUAGUAUUCUUGUGUUUAUGACGUUAUAAUGUUUAAUGUUGGUUAAUUUUCUUUUCUUUCCUACUGCAUCAUGUUUCUUCUUUAUCCAUUUGUUGUUGUUGUUUUUUUUAUUAUUAUUUUAUUAGUUCUAUUAUGUUUGGCCCUUUUUUAAUUGGUUGGGAUGAUGGCAUAAAUUUUGAGAUAUUUAUUGAUAUCAUUUGGUUACUGUUCACAUGUUAGUGCAUGAUUUCGUCUUAUCUUUAGUUAGUUUUUUGUGUGAUUUUAUGUUUGAAAAGUAUUAUUGUUAAAAUGGCCAAUGAGAAAAUCUCUCCGUCGAUUUUGGAGGCCUCCUCAUUUUAAAAGAUGGAAAUUUAGUUAAGUUUAUAUUUCUUUAUUUGAUAAAAAUGGCCAAUGAGAAAAUCUCUCUGUCGGUUUUGGAGGCCUCCACAUUGUAAAAGACGGAAUUUUAGUUUAAGUUUAUAUAUUUUAUUUGUUAAAAAUGGCCAAUGAGAAAAUCUCUCCGUCGAUUUUGGAGGCCUCCACAUUGCAAAAGACGGAAAUUUAGUUUCAGUUUAUAUAUUUUGUAUGUUAAAUUUGGCCGAUGAAGAAAUUACCGUCGAUUUCUAAGGCCUCUCAUGUUAAUAAGACAGAUGUUUAUUUUUAAGUUAUUGUUUAAUUCAUUUAUUUAGUCAUAUUUAUUUAGUACUAACACUUUUACUAAGUGUCUUUACAGGUAUCCCGAAGUCGCUUCUCAUCGAAGCCAUUCAAAUAAAGUUCGAAUGUUAUAUUCAUUAUUAUGUAUAUUGUUGACGAUAGACAAAUAUUAGGUCGUUUCUCAUAUUAUUUGUUUACUUUAUUACUUGUGUAUAUUGCAUGUUUGUUAUAUUUGUAUAAUAUUUUACAUCCUCCUCAAUUUGAAAAAAUGAAUUCAGUCGGGACCCACAGUUGUGGAUUUCGAAGGAUGCUUAACACCUUUCCUUCGAAAUAACUUGAACCCCUUACAUAGAAUUUCCUGGUUUCGUAGAUUAUUUAAUUGGUUUCCUAGUUUUCCUAAAAUUAGGUGGCGACUCCUUUAAAAUUCAUUUAUUCUUAAAAUUCUUUUAAAAUCAAAUUAAUUAUUUAUUUUUUGAGUCACCGCGAUGUUUCGCCCUAUUUAAAUAGAGUAGGGAUGUAAACAACUGUGGUGAACCUGGGCAUAUGAGGAGAGAUUAUCCCCACCCACGUGUGUUAGAUUUCGCGCAGCAGUAGUCUAGAGCAGUGGUACCCGCGGGAAAUGGUAAUGCUGGCAGGGUUAACGUGCAACCAUGCAGAGAAGUGGCUCGUCAAGAUGAUAGGGCUCAGUGUUAUGCCUUUUUGGGAAAGGAUGAGGCAGAGACGUCUAACGCGGUGAUCACGGGUACUAUUCUUGUCUGUGACCGGAUGGCUAAUGUGUUAUUUGAUUCGGGUUCUACUUAUUCAUAUGUAUCCGUGAGAUUUGUCUCAAAGUUUGAUAUGCUUUGUGAUAUACUUGAUGCCCCUAUCCAUGUUUCUACCCUAGUUGGAGAGUCAGUCAUAGUCACACAUGUCUAUCGUGCUUGUCCUAUUUUUUUAUGGGUUUUUAGACCUGGGCUGAUUUGGUGAUUUUGGAUAUGACUGAUUUUGAUAUAAUCUUAGGCAUGACUUGGUUGUCCCCCUAUUAUGUUGUGCUUAAUUGUAAUACUAAGUCUGUAACUCUAGAAAUUCUGGGAAGGGGAAAAUUAGGGUGGGAAGGGGUGUACAAGCCUAAGCGAACUAAGAUCAUAUCCUCCAUUCGGGCUAGAAAAUUAGUAGAGCAGGGCUAUUUGGCUUAUUUGACUAAUAUUAGGGAUAUUGAGAUUGUGGCUCCAUCCAUUAGGUCUAUUCUUGUGGUGUCAGAAUUUAGAGAAGUGUUUCCUAAUGACUUGCCUGGUAUGCCUCCGGAUAGAGAUAUAGAUUUUUGCAUUGAUUUAGAGCCUGAUACUCGUCCCAUAUCCAUCCCUCCAUAUCGCAUGCCUCCGAUGGAACUAAGAGAGCUUAAGGCUCAAAUCCAAGAGCUUCUUGGCAAUGGAUUUAUUCGUCCUAGUCUUUCCCCAUGGGGUGCUUCAGUUUUGUUUGUUAAGAAAAAAGAUGGUAGUAUGAGACUGUGUAUAGAUUACCGGCAAUUGAAUAGGGUCACCAUUUGAAACAAGUAUUCAUUGUCUCGAAUAGAUGAUCUUUUUGACCAAUUAUAAGGUGCAUCAGUUUUCUCCAAGAUUGAUCUAAGGUCUAGCUACCAUCAGUUGAAAAUUACGCCUGAGGAUAUGCCCAAGACGACUUUUAGAACUCGUUAUGGGCACUAUGAGUUUUUGGUUAUGUCUUUUGAUUUGACCAAUGCGCCUGCAGCUUUUAUGAGUUUAAUGAAUGGGGUGCUCAAGCCAUUUCUUUAUUCUUUCAUGAUAGUCUUUAUUGAUGAUAUUUUGGUCUAUUCGAAAAAGUGAGGAGGAGCAUGCCGACCAUCUUUGUAUUGUUUUGGGUGUUCUUGGGAAGCAAAAAGUUAUAUGCGAAAUUUUUUAAGUGUGUAAUUUUGGUUGACUUCUGUGGCAUUUUUUGGGACAUGUAGUUUCAAAAGAAGGGGAUGUAGAUCACCCAUAGGAUGGUUCGAGGCUGGGGAUGUGAAACCUUUGGGGGUUGAUUUAGUGAAGAAUGCUCAAGAUAAGGUGAUGAGUAUUCAAUUUAAACUUUUAGCAGCCUAAAGUAGACAGAAGAAGUAUGCAGAUCAUAAGGUAAAAGAAAUGGCGUUUCAAACCGGUGAAAAUGUUCUUCUUAAGGUAUCACCCAUGAAAUGGGUGAUGAGAUUUGGUAAGAAGGGCAAACUAAGUCCGCGUUACAUUGGUCCCUUUGAGGUUCUUGAAUGUGUAGGACCGGUAGUGUAUCGAUUGGUUUUACCUCCUAAUCUAUCGGGUGUUCAUCCAGUAUUUCAUGUGUCCAUGUUGAAGAGAUAUCAUAGUGACGGGGAUUAUAUCNNNNNNNNNNNNNNNNNNNNNNNNNNNNNNNNNNNNNNNNNNNNNNNNNNNNNNNNNNNNNNNNNNNNNNNNNNNNNNNNNNNNNNNNNNNNNNNNNNNNNNNNNNNNNNNNNNNNNNNNNNNNNNNNNNNNNNNNNNNNNNNNNGGUUCCGUCGUUAUAGAAAAGCCAACGGGGAAAAAUUUUGGGUUAGAAAACUUUUUCGUAGUAUUUGAAUUUCCCAGCCUAGUCCAGAUUUGGAUGAAAUCGGAGUUUUUAAGGUGUAGGGAAAUCUGGUAGCAAUUGUUUGAUUUAUUUAUAAUUCUAGUUACAUGAGUAGUUAGAUAACUCGUUAAGGAAUCCGUACGACUUUACAAAAUUGAAUUCAUGCGAGUAGACCUCCCAGAAUCGAUCUUAGCGUGAAGGGUAUUUUUUUAGCGUCGUGGGUUAGAGGUGUGUUGUGAAAUGAGAAUUUUGGAAUUCUUUAAAAUAGCUCACUAGUUCGUGCAAGCCGCCUUGGUGGGGGUUCUGUCCGCUAUGGCGGGACCGCUGAAACGGGAUAAGAGCCGUUGUGGCGGGUUCAACGUGACUUAAGGUCGUAAAUAAACCCCUAAACGACCUCAUUCUGCACUUUUCGAUUUUUAGAGCUAAAGAACAAACCCUAGACGAGUCCUAACAAUUUUCCACCAUUCUUGAGGCUAAAGGUAAGAUUUUAACUCCCCGAAUUCAUUUUUUUGAUCCGUAGAACGUAAUAGAAUGGGUAAUUAUCGAUGGGGGAAGGUUUUGAUCUAGAAAACUAUGGUGGAAAAAUCCCUAAUUUGGAUACUUGGGAUCAUGGGUAUGAUCUAGGGUUGUUAGAAUUGUUAGUAAUCCGGGUAAUUUAGUGAUUGUUUAUUGAUUCCCGUAUUAUAUUGAUUGUUUGUAGACUAAGAACAAGCGGAAUGAAUCUGGAAAGAGAAGGAACAAGUUUCUUAGGGUUUGAAGCUUGUUUCGAGGUAGGAUUGUUUGUAGACCAAGAACAAGCGGAACGAAUCCGAAAAGGGAAGGAUCAAGCUUAUUAGGGUUUCAAGCUUGUUUCGAGGUAGGUGAUGGUUGUAAUUCUAUGGUUGUGUGAUGUAUGUUUGUCUUGCAUUUAUUAUGAUACAUGUAUGUAUAUGGAUGUUGCAUUAUUGAUCACACUUGUUGCAAAUGAGGAUGUAUAAUUGAUUAAUACCAUGAAUCAUGACUUGGUUGUAUGAUUAUGAGAGUUUACUGGUGAUUGUGAUUGUGGCUUGUUGAAUGGAUCGGUUGCCACGUUCUGGCAUAACUAACUUGGAUUGGUUGCCACGUUCCGGCAUAAUUAUGGGAUCGGUUGCCACGUUCCGGCAUAAACAUUGGAUCGGGUACCACGUUCCGAUAAGCUAAUUGUUUGGGUUUGGGUUUUAUGAGAGGACCAAUGACUUGUCAUAAUUGUGUAUCUUGAGAAAUGUAAAGUUGUUCGUUGUUCGUAAAUGUUGAUAAUAUUGUAUAUGUUUGAUAUAUGCAUGUGAUUAUAUUGUUGUUUGACUUAUGUAUGUUGCACUUAGUGGGAUAGCCGCGUGAUCCUACCAGUACACUGUGGUUAUGUACUAAUACUGCACUUGCUCUUAUUUUUGUUGAGUAUAGGGCAUCUUCAAGCAACUACUGACAUACCUCGCUUAGGAGAUCAGUGAUCGUUUGAAUUCAAGGGUGAGCCAAUUAUUUCGGGCUGCCAUGGGUUCUCUUCGUCUUUGUCCACUAUUUCCGGACUUAGACUAUGUUCUAGUUAGUUGAUUAGUUCAUUAGAUUGGGGUUGCAUCCCUUCUUGUUUAGACUUGUUGAACUUUAGAUGUUUUGGUACAUUGACUUUCAGGUUCUAGGUUAUUUCUUGUGCAUUGUUUAGUUCGUUGUUAGACCUUUGUUGGAGUUUAUGGGAACUCCCUAUUUCUUCUUAGCAUUUAACUUGCUUCCGUAACUUUAAUGCCUUAGUAUUUUGAUUAAAGUUGGUUAGCUAAUUAGUAUUAAUGGUUCUCCCAUCAAAGGGUUAGUGUGGGUGCCAAUCACGAUGGUCGGGGUCGUGACAAACAGUCUAAGUCCUAGCUCAGCUUUGAUAUACCUUACCACCCUCAAAGUUGCCUCUAUAUGUGACUUUUUUGGUUUUUGCAUAAAUUGACUCAACACAUGUACUGCAUAUGUUAUAUCCACUCUAGUCAUUGUUAGGUAGAGUAGUCCUCCAAUAUGUUUUUUAUUGUUCAGUGACUCCACCUGUUAGAUUCUUCACAUGCUAAAGUUAAUUUGAUAUUGGAUUCCAUAAGUGUGUUGCCUGGUUUAGCUCCACUUAGUCCCAUCUCAACAACUAGUUCUAGAGCAUACUUUCUUUGGCUCAUGUGAAUUCCUUGUUGUGACCUUGCAAAUUCAAUCCCAAGAAGAACUUCAGUUGUCCCAAAUCUUUCAUCUUGAAUUUCAGCUUCAGAUCAUUUCUAGUGUGUAAUAUCAACUCUGAACUGCUACCAGUGACAAGCAAAUCAUCCACAUAUACUAAAACUACAUCUAUAUGAGAGCUUGUCCUCUUGGUAAACAAAGAAUAGUCAAAAUGGCGUUGAGAAAAACCAACUUGUACCAAAGCUUCAGUAAGUUUUUUGUUCCAUUGUCUAGGUGCCUGCUUUAGGCCAUACAAAGAUUUAUUGAGCCUGCAAACCUUCCCUUUUUUACUACCAAACCCUUGAGGAACAUGCCUAUACACUUUUUCAAAGAGAUCACCAUGUAGAGAGGCAUUGUGCACAUUCAUCUGAAAGAUGGGCCAGUGCUUAGCAGCAACAAUUGCAACAACACUCUUUACAGUUACCAUUUUAGCUACAGGUGAUAAAGUGUCAGUGUAAUCCAAUCCCUCCUUCUAACUGAAUCAUUUGGCCACUAGUCGAGCCUUAUACCUCUCAACUUCACCAUUUGCCUUGUGUUUGAUUUUGAAGACCCAUUUACACCCAAUAGGAGAUUUACCAGAGGGAAGGUCCACUAGGGUCCAAGUAUGAUUAUCCUCCAGGGCAGCGAUUUUUGAUUUCAUAGCAUCAAUCCAAACAGAGCUCUUAACAACCUCAUAGUAGCUAGAAGGCUCUGAAGUAGCUGAGUAAGCAGUAAGUGCAGCAUUAUAGGACUCAGACAAGCAAUCAUACUUGACAUAGUUGGAGAUGAGAAACAAACAUAAGCUAGGACCCUGAGAGGAAACAACAUAAUCCUGCAUCCAUAUGGGGGGUUUGGUGAUGCUAUGAGACUUUCUGAGAGGCAUAGCAUGAAUGGGUAGAGGAGGAACAUCACUAGGCUCAAGAGACUCAACAUGAUCAUAUACAGUGUGAUCAACAUCAUCUGAAGGAGGUAAAUGGAAUUUCAUACAAUCAGAUGAGUGGUAGUUUUCUAGAGCCUAAGUCAUACUAAAUACAUGAGAACACUGCUGCAAUGAAUGUUAAAAAGGGAACACAUCAUCUUUGAAUACCACAUCCCUGCUCACUAUAAAUGAUUCUGCAUGAGUGAGGGAAUAACUAAGAAAAACUACAGGUGCAGCUCUAGGAAAGAAUUUAUUUGACUUUCUAAGGCAAGUAACAUAACCCAAAUAGUCAAAGACUCUCAAGUGACUGAUCUCAGGAAGAUGCCCGUGAAGAAUUUCAAAGGGAACCUUACCUUUGAGUGAGGAGGAGGGCAACCUAUUGAUAAGAUAAACAACAGUAGUGACACACUCUCCCCAGAACUUGAGAGGAACAUUAGCUUGAAAUUUUAUAGCUCUUGUAGUAUCCAAGAUAUAUCCAUGCUUUCUCUCAACUACCCCAUUUUUUUGGGGUGUAUAGACACAAGAACUUUGGUGUACAAUACCUAAAUAUCUCAAUAAUUUUGAAACCUGAAAGUUGAAGAACUCACAUCCAUUAUCUGUCCUUAGAAAUUUAACUACUGUAAAAUACACAUUCUUGAUCAUCAACAUAAAAUCAGUGAGUGCCACUAUAACCUCAGAUUUGGAGUUAAGGAUUAAUAACCAGGUGAAUCUAGAGUGAUCAUCAACUAAUGUGAGAAAAUAUUUCUUCCCAUCAUAAGUUGGCACCCUAUAAGGACCCCAUACAUCACCAUGAAUAAGAUUAAAGCAGGCAUUAGACAUUGUAGAACUAAGACGAAAAUGAAGUCUUGAUUUCUGAGCCAAAGGACAUACAAUACAAUGAUCAGAAUCAGAUUCAGUCAUACAGAGGCUAUCAAGACAUUUUAGCUUCUUUAAUGUGUCUAUAGGAGCAUGACCUAACCUCUUAUGCCAUAGGGCUAGGGCCAAAUUAUUCUUCUGGUUCUAAUUUGAAAAGAACAACAACUAGACUUGUAGAGAUCUUUAUUUUCAGCAUCAGACUUCAGAUAGUUGCAAGCAUAGUUCAUCACAUACAUGCCUUGAACAUAAUUACCAAUCCCUCUCACCCUUCCGCUGAAGAGAUCCUGAAAAAUACAAAAGUCAAGGUAUAAGAUGACUGAGCAUUGUAACUCCCUUGUAAGUUUAGAUACUGAUAGCAAAUUAUGUUGGAACUCAUGCAUGCACAUGACAUUAUGUAUCUUUUGAUUGUUCAAAACUGCAGUAGAUCCUAAAUAGCUAAAUUUUACAACACCACCAGUAGGUAGAAAAACAUUACCAGAACUAGGAUUAAAGAAAGCUCUAGUAUCAGUUAAAACUUUGGGAACAUUAACCAUGUGAUGGGUAGCUCCUGUAUCCACUAUCUAGUUAACAACAUCAGUAGGAGAUAUGGUGUAAUUAGACAUACCUGUUGAUAGAGUUGUACCAUUGUUAUCAAUUCCUUGGUCAAUCAGAUGAAAUAUUUGAUGAUAUUGUUCAGGAGUGAAGUAAGGUCCAUUUGCAUUUGAACCAUACUGCUGAUAAUGAGUCAUCACCUGUGCUGAACUGUCACUAAGAUGACCUGCAACAUUUGGUGAUCCCUUGUUGGUAGAGAUACUUCUUGAACUGCCUAGUUCAAAAGUAGGAUUCCUUUGCCAUUGAGAGCCAUAUUCACCAGCAGCAUAGUGUGCAGCACCUCUUCUCCCUGAUGUGGAAGCUGAAUUUGGACUAAACUUUUUCUUGGAAUUGUAUUUGAAAUUCGCUGGAUAACCAUAUAGUCUUUAACAGAUGCUUUUGGUAUGGCCAGUGUUAUGACAGUAGUCAUAGUAUAGAUGUUGAUUACUCUUUUUAAACUUAAAGCUGGAAUCAGAAUUAGUAGAUACACCUGAGAUGGAGCCACCACCUCCACAUCCAUUAUAACUACCUCCAUUGUAACUAUGUCCAGCUCCGGAACUAGAAGUACCUCCAUUAUAGGCAGACCUGUAGGGUGUAGUUUUUGAACCACCAUCACUCACUUCAGUAGAAUGAGAAGCAUUCCCUAAUGAUCUUUGACUCUCCUCUAAAAUCAACAUGGAUUAAGCUUGAUUGAUUGAGGGUGUGGGAGUCAUCAUAAGGAUUUGACUACGACUCAGCAUAGGAGUCAUUUAGACCAGUCAAAAAUUGAAGCAGCCUUUGAUAGUCAAAGUGAUGCACAUAAGCCCUGGAUUUCGGACAAUUACAUCCUGGACAUGACAUUAUUGCAUCAAACUCAUCCCAUCACUCUCGUAAUCUAGAAUAAUAGCUAGAUAUAGUGGUAGUGCCCUAAGACAUUGUAUGAAUUUCCUUGUGAAGAAAAUGAAUCCUCGAUCCAUUAACAUUAUCAAAACGUUCUUUUAGAUCUGUCCAUACCUUAGAAGCAUUAGAGUCAUAGAUGACACUGCUCAAGAGAUCCUUUCUAAUAGAAUUGAUGAUCCACGAGAGGACUAUGGCGUUACAUUUCUUUCAUAGAUCAUGGAGUGCAGGGGAAAAAAAUUCUCUAGGAUGCUUACCAUCAACGAAUCCCAGUUUACUUUUUCCGAGCAAACCCAGACGCAUCGACCUACUCCAGAUCGCAUAAUUUUCUAGACCGGUGAGCUGAAUCGAGACCACAGAACUACCGGGAGAAUUACUCGAUUGAAGAAAUAGGGGUGAUUAUGAUCAAUCUCAAAUACACGAUCUAUUGCGGGUGCAAUGACAGGCUGAUCUUCAACCGCCAUUGCAGAUAUCUCUGAGAAAAGCUAAGUAUACUAACAGAGUGUAGACGAAUUAACUAUCAACACUGAAUCUCUGCUAAAUCGAAUACCAAAGCUCUGAUACCAUGAUGAAUUACAGAGAAAACAGUAAUGGUGAAUGAAUCUAGACAUGAGAUGCAGUAAGAUACAUGGGAGAAAGAAGAAUGAACCUUCUCAUUAUCAAUAAAAGCAUCUAAUCAAUUCAGUGCUAAUACAUCUCUAUUUAUAGAGCAGUAACUAAGCUUAACUAACUCUAACAAUCUAGUAACUAACUUUAGCUAGUCUGUUACAUAGAGCCUGAUUAAGCUUAAACUAAAACAACUGACAUCUUUUAGUCAUAUCUAUAAUUUCACAUAAAUGACCUUAUUAGAAUAUAUUCAUAUUAUAUAUAUUAAUAUUUUACCUAUAUUAUUAAAUAAUUAUAUAUCUUACUAUUAAUUAAGAGUUUUCUAUCAUAUAUUGAGGAAGAUACACUUAAAUACAUGUGUUUUUGCUAUCAAAUACACAUUAAUAGGGUGACAGGCAAGCGAGAUGGGGAGGGAUAUGAGUGAAAUAGUCAUGUAUCAUAGAUACAUGCGAAUCACACUACAUACAUGUAUUUGUAGGCAUCUAGACAAAUCUGAACGCACCAAAUUUGGUAAAAUUCUUAAAAUUGUAAAAUAAAGUGUAUCUAAGUAAUUAACUCCUAAACUAUCUAGUAGGAUUUCGGUAAGUUUCCCUUUACAUAAAAGCAAAAUUCAGAGUUAUUACAACAUGGAAUUAAUGUGGUAGAUGCAAUCUCUAAAAAUAAAAUAGGGUGGUUCAUUCCAAAAGAUAUCAGUCUCCAUUGCAAGUUCAUGUGAGCCCCCAUGUACUCCAAAAUAAAAUCGUUGUUGGCAUAUCUUGAGCAUCGUAUUCUAACUUUUAAGCUAAAUGAGGGUUUGUAUGGACGUGAUUUUAAAUUAUAGGUUGAUUUGAAGAACAAAAUUUUAUUUGGACAAGUAAUUUAAAUUUUUUUAAUUGUAUUUUUUUUUCCUUAUGAACAUAAAAAUUUCAUAAUUUGUGAAAGGUGAAAACUAUCAAAACUUUCCCAACAAUUAUACAAAUCUUACCAUGCAUGUGAUCAAUCAUAGUUCAUAAACAAGGUAUUAGAAUAUUCUAAGUUUCCAAAUAAAUAAAUCUCAUAUUAUAAAUGAAUAUUUGUGGUUAUAUGUUAUUACACACUUUCAAAUACACAUAGUUUUACAAAGACUCAUUGAUCCAAUAAAUCAAUAAUAGUAGUAAUUAACUAUUUUUUGAUAAAAUCCUCCUACACAGUACAAAAAAUCUCUUUACGUCGAGCAUGCAUCGUAUUUGUAAAAUAUAAAUUUAUGGUUCAAAUUUUAUAUUUAAAAGAAUCUGGAAUUCCAAAUCCUAAUUUUUGGAAAAUUUAAGAUUUGAAAUUAUGAUCUGAAAUUGAAAUUUUAUACAAAUUCUAUAAACAAACACCAAUUUGAAAUCGGCUCCCAAAUAUUAUGCCCAGAAACUAAGUAAUUGUCCUUGUUUUGCUAUUUCAAUUCUCCUAUACUACGUACUAUAUUAAGUUAGAGAGGUGCCAUAAUAAUAAAUAAAGGAAGCAUAAUGGCCCCAUUAUGGACAAUAAUUAAAAUGAGACAAGUUCCAUAUGGAAUUUGAAGUUUAUGAAUUAAUACUAUAAUAUUAAUAGUGGGAUUUACAAUCAAAUUUUUUAUAUUUUAAAGUAAAAUUAUCAUAUGAAAUUUGAGUAAAAAACAUCCUGACUUUAAAGAACAAAACUUUUAACCUACUAGACCAUCUUGCCAAAGGAUGCUAGCUCAUUGUGUAUAUAUGUGUAUAUGUAUGUAUAUAUGUGUAUAUGUAUGUAUAUAUGUGUAUAUGUAUGUAUAUAUGUGUAUAUGUAUGUAUAUAUGUGUAUAUGUAUGUAUAUAUGUGUAUAUGUAUGUAUAUAUGUGUAUAUGUAUGUAUAUAUGUGUAUAUGUAUGUAUAUAUGUGUAUAUGUAUGUAUAUAUGUGUAUAUGUAUGUAUAUAUGUGUAUAUGUAUGUAUAUAUGUGUAUAUGUAUGUAUAUAUGUGUAUAUGUAUGUAUAUGUAUAUAUAUGUAUGUAUAUAUGUAUAUAUAUAUGUGUGUAUAUGUAUGUAUAUAUGUGUAUAUGUAUGUAUAUAUGUAUAUAUAUAUGAGUGUGUGUGAGCGCAAUUUAUAGCAUUUAACCUAUAGAAAAUAUAAAAAUCUUCCAAUGAAAGUGAAUUCAUUUGAAUCCUCUUGAUCUUAUGUCGCCACGGAGGUGGUUUUCGUAUUACAUUAUUGGGUGCGUGAAUAAAAUGUUAUAUUAUUAGUUGAAAAGAUUAAGAAAGUUUAAUAUAAGUAGGAAUAUUCUCAAUGGCAAAACUUUUUGUAAAGUACUGGGCAGGCUUAGUCCAAAAUAGAUAAUAUUUCAUCAUGUUGAGAAUAUAACAUAUCUAGUCUUAAUAUAGCCCAUCAUUUGAUCGUAUCAGAGCCAAUGAUUUGAUGAUAAACAUAUCGAAAUGACAAAGUGAUGACAUGGGAUCAUGAUGUUUCUCUGUCUAUUGUCAAAGAUAGCUUGAAAAUACACACACAAAAAAAGGUCUCAAUACAAUAUGUCUUUGUAGCUACUAGGUGAUAUUAUCAUCCCUCAGUGCAGAAGACCUAAUAAUUUUACAAUCCUCUGAUGUUAAUAGCUAUAUAUACAUAAAAAAAAAUAAAAAAAAAUAAAAAAAUAGCUAUAUACAUAAAAACUCAGCUUAUAAAAAAAGUUUAUUUUAUCGAACUUUGUCCUUAAUGAUAGGCAUUUAGCACAAGUUAUUGUAGACCCUUAAUGGAUUAAAAGAUUGAGAAGAUGCAUAGAAGAUAAGAAUACUCCUAAUAGAGUCAGAUUUCUUGAGGAAAAUCUUAUUGAUUUAGUCCUAAAUUAAUAAUAUCACAGUCUAUAUAACGCAAUAAAAUUUCCUGUAAAAUCAUACGGUUUUUAACAUAUUAAGUGACAUUAAAUUUUAAAAAUUGUCAAAUAAUCAGAAAAGAUUCAUUUUUUUUCAAACAAACUAAUAAAGAAAAUAAAGUAAGCAACUUGAUAUAAAACAAAACAAAUACAAAUUUUGAAAUAAGUACCUUCAAUGAAAUAAUGUUGAAUUAAGGAUAAUUCAAUUAAAAAAAGUAAAUUUCUUAGAUAGUUAAUCAUGUUUGAAAAUUUAUCCUAUAAUAUUACUUUUUAUUUUUUUUAGAAUCAUAAUAUCACUCAACUAUUUAUAUUUUUCUCAAAAUAUAUUCUUCUCUUCUAAUGAAAUGUCAUGUCACAACAUUCUUUUUCUUUUAACAAAAAGUUUUUAACAAUACAAUAAAAGUUUAUUUAAUGAAUAUAUAAGCAACUUCUUUUAGGUAUACAGUUGAAGCAUUUACCCCAUUCUUAAAUAUUAUAGAAGGUAUCACAUUUUUAAUUACAAUAAACUAAUAUUUAUUGGGAAAACUGCAUAAAUUCCACUACUUUAGGUCCUAAUUACUAAGAUUCUCGAUACUUUCAAAUAUUACUUCCUCUACUAUAUUUCGUGCCUAGGAUACAUGAGUCUGAAUUCAUGAGAUACAUGUAUCUGUCGAAUUUUUAAACCUUGAUACAUAUUUUAUUUGCUUAAAUUAAUUGAUUGUAAUUGAUUUCCUUAUUUAGAGGAGUGAGGAUUUUCAAAACAUAUAGACAAUUAAUUUUGAAAAUUUAAAUUAAUUAAAUCCCUUAAUGUAAGACGGAAAUCAAGGAGUGUAUCUUCGUUUAAUUUAUUUUAUUUAUUAUUUUUUGAAAUAACAAUUUCAUUAAUAUUAAUAAAAAGACAAAAACAUGUAUAACUAGGUCAUGUAAUUUGAUUAAUUUCAUUUUAUUACUCUUAAAAUAAUAAAUUCAUUAAUUUGAUGUAUCUAUUAUAAUAUAUAAUGUAUCCAAUAAACUAAACACUUAGAUACAUGGGUAUCAUACAAGUACAUUUAUAUGUAUCAUAAAAGUAUCUAGUAUUAAAUUCAUGUAUAUGUUAUCUGUAUCUACUAUUAAUUCCAUGUCUCUAUUUAUAUGAUCUAAUAUUAUUUCAUGUAUCUUUUAUAUAUAUAAUUUGAUGUAUCAAGUAUCAAUUUCAUACAUUAUAUUAAAAAAUAUGUAUCUCGGAUAAAUACGAAAAUAGUUAGAUACAUGAUAAAAGACAGAUACAUGACAUAACAAAUUGUGUCAAAUACAUGCGUAAAUCUCCAAUAUAUUUAUUAGAUACAUACACACUUAAUAAGAUACACUGAUAACGUCUAGAUCCAACGGGAGAAGUGACGCAAAAUUUUCUACACUACAACAAAUAUGAUAUAUAGCUACAAAAUUAUUAGCUACGACAUCAAAUUCGUCACUAGUUGUUCGCUUUUAGUGAUAAAAUUUACUUUUCGUGCUUAAAUAUAUGAGACACAUACUUUUAGUGACGAAACAUAAAAAUCCGUAGCAAAGUUUUGUCCACUAAAGUUUCCCACCAAAAAGUUAAUUGGCGUCAUUUUGUUAAGUAGUGUUAGUCACGAAUUUAAAUUUAUCGGUGACACGUUAUUUAUUCACUAAUAAUGUAUCUAAUUCACGACAAAUUAUUUUUUGUCUUAAAAUUUAUCAACUUUUGGACACAAAAAAUUUCAUCUAAAAAAAUAUGUUGUUACAAUAUCAACAAAUUAGAGUUCGUAGUUAAAUAUUAUAAGUUUUAGUUAUAAAAUUUAGAUUUAACUAUGACAUUUAUUUUUGUGACAAUAAAAAAUUUGUCACAAAAUAUGUAAGGUGUUAAAUAGCGACGACUUAAAUUUUGUAGUGAAUAAUUCAACUAUUUGCUACGAAAAAAAUUCAUAGCUAAAUACAAAUUUUUUUUGUUACAAUUGUUCAUAAUUACAAGUGACAACUGACAAAAAGAAUAAUACAAGUUCUUCAUAAGAAAUAGACAGAGUCCAUUCGUUAAUUGGCGAAGAAAAAUAUUAAAACCAACGAAUUCAGUUGAUUUUGUAAAAAUGAAAAAGUUAAAUUCAUCAAUUUUCUUAAAUUACGCAAUUAUAAAAUGCAUCAUCUGAAAAAUACUAUCCAGGUUAUAAGUGCCGUGAUUGGGGUACAAUUCUACCACUAGAUCGCUAAUAUUUGUUGGUUUGACACUUUUGUUUUUUAUUUGAUACACUUUCAUCGAUAAAGACGAUAAAACAAAUAAUUUCUCAAGUCUUGGUGCUAAUUUUUGUGCGUGUCUAUUGAUUUGUGACUGGUAAACUGCAUAGACUAAGUCGAUCUAUUUUCUUCUGUCUAGAAAAUUUAAUAGUAAUUCCACAUACGUAUGUAGAGCAACUAUACGGAGAUAACAUCGACUUACAAACUUAGACUUUGCAAAGGUGCAAAAUAUUUCAUGAAUUUCUAUUAACUUUUUCCAUCCGUGUGAAAAUUGAAUAAACUAAAAAAUGAAAGCACAAACGAAAGAAAUGAACCAACUAGGAUUUCAAAUAUAUUAUGAUGAAGUACUAUAGUUAUGGGUAUCAAUGUUUUUUUCAAAAGAAUUGAUUUACAUAUAGAAUUGAACCGAUUAUUCAAUUUUUUUAUAAAAUCGAAAGUUUAAUUUUAUAUAAAUUUAUAAUUGUACUGAAUAAUUUUUAAAAUUCAUACAAAUAAAUAAUAAAAUGAAAGAAUCGUACUGAAUAUAUUUAAAGAUAUUUUAAAAAAUAUACAGUUUAAUUAAAAUACAAUCUACAUUUAUAUUUCUAUAGAAGUUAAAUUUGAAAGAAGUGAAUGAAGUUAAAAAUAAAAUAAAAAUGAGAGACAAGAGAGUUGAUUGGAUGGUAAGCUCUCCUCACUUCCAAGCUUAAGGUGGUGAGUUCAAGUCCCCAAGAAAGCAUAAUGUGGUAGCUCCUCGGGAGGGGUUAAAAAAAAUUGAGAUUAGGGGAGACAAUAGGAAAAUUAACCUUUUUUAUAAUAAUAAAUUUAUCCCUAAUUGAUACAUUUAAGAACAAAAUAAUUUUUUGUGUAUAAAAUAUAGUCAUUAGUGACGAAAUUAGAUUUUGUUCAACUACGAAAUAAAUAUAACUUUAGAGACAAUUGAUGUCACCAUUGAUUGAAGUAAAAUAAUUAGCGACGAUAUAAUUUUGUCAGUAUUAAUAACCUUUUUGGUGACAAAGCAUACUAUUAACUACAAAAAAAUAUACUUUUUACGAAAAAUAAAUUUGUCACAAAUGUUUAAGAAUUUGAGGACGAUUUUUUUUUUGUAGUUAAUAUAAUACUUUUAGCGACGAAGCACUAAAUCGUGUUUGUAUACUUUUAGCGACACACAUUGUAACAUCUCGCAAUUUGAAACUACUAGGAAGAAGCUUAUAAUUGGAAAUAGUCAUUUUUAGAAAGAAUUAAAAUCUGGAAAUUUGUUUAAGUUAGGAAAAGUGAGACUUUGGUCAACUUCAAACGUCCAUAACUCCUAGCUCAGAAUGAGUUAGGUGUAGUUUCAUAUGUGGUUGGAAAGACCUUGGAAUGUUCUUUUCAACGCCGCCGAGGUUGCAUGAUUCCAAGUUCGUAUGAGAGAGUUAUGCCCUUUGGAAGUUGGGCUGAUGGAAUAAGGAAAUGUCCAAUCCGGAUUUUUAAUGGGUGUUUUGGUCUUUUCCUUACCCUUUUAUUUUAAUUCAUUUUUGGGUUAGAUUUUUUGUAUAUGAUUUGGGUACAUGAAUCUAAAGUGAAUUUGGGAAAAAGAAUCGGAUUAAAAUGAUUUAGGAUCAGAAAACGAGACUGAACGUUCGUCAGAAAUUUGCCUAAGGAACAGGUAGCGCGAUAGCGCCAGGAGGCUGGGACGGCGUGCCUGCAAUUCGUCCAAAACAAGCCCCAGUAAGUUAGGGCCUGGCACGGCGCGCCAGGGACGCGCCCGAAUCGGCGUUUUUCACCAGUUUUUCGUCGUUUAGCCUAUUUAAGUUAUUCUAAAGUGUCCUAACACUUUCCAUUGAUUCUAACUACUCUAAAUGACUUCUAAACACCUAGAAAUCAUCCAUAAAUAUGAAUCAUAACCUUGAAUCCAUAAAUUCAAAAUUCAAGGGAAGUCAAGAGCCAAGUCUAGGAAGUUUUCAAAGUCUUUCCAAGAAGUCUUUUGCAAAUGCUUUUAACCUUGUUUUAAGACUUAAAGUUCAAGUUGAGUAAAGAGUAAAGAUUAUAGAUUGAAGUUCAUUUCUUCAAAAAGUAUAUGGGGACUAAGUAUUCCCAAAGAGAUUUAAAAUAUUUUUCACAUUUAAAUAAGAACGGCUGAGAUUUCCAAAGAGCAUUCGGGCUAGUUUUCAGAAAAGAGUAAUAGCUUUCUAAAUGAAGCAAGCAGGGAAACUGAGAUUUCCAAGAUAGCCUUUGAGCUAACUUUUUAAGCACUAAUCUCAAAUCACAUAAGAAGUAUGUUUUUAAACAUAAGAGCUAAUAUUAUAUUAUUAUAUUUUUGGGAGUAGUAUUGAACACCGAUAUGGAGACGAGCUUGAGUUCAGAUAACUCACGGCUCCAUAAACCAUGUAAACAUCAUGGGUAGAAAAUGAUCAUACAUUUUAGAUGAAUCCUCUUCGCAUAGACUAGUGGAUCCACUUAGUAGUUCAGGUCCUAUACCACGGCAAGGUAUAGGAUGACCCGGGCAACGUGGGGCUAAUAACGUUGUAUCAUCACUAUAGUUCUUAAGUGAUGGUUGUCGAUUAGAGAAACUCCCACAAUAGUAAUUGCAUGGUUCCUCAAGGGGUUCUGCUUAGUAUGGAUGUGAGUAUAGGACUUCAUUCAUGCAUUGCACAAGUAGACUGUGAGAGAGAUCAUGAUAUGUCUUUUAUGAUUUUAUGAUUAUGAGUUGACUGCAUGUUUUAAACAGUUUUCUUUUUCUUUAUAUUGCACUUGUUUUAAACUGCUUUAUAAUGAAAUGAGUUCAGUUAAGUAUUCAUGAGUUGAGAAGAGCCAAGGUAAGUGUUUCUUUCAGAUCCUUUUCAAGCCUAUGUUAUGUUUACCAUUACAACUCGCAUACCCAUACAUUCAAUGUACUGAUGCCAGUUGGCCUACAUCGUCUUAUGAUGCAGACGCAGGUAACUAAGAUCGGCAUUUCGACGCAUCGUUGAUCCAGUGAGUAGUUCAGAGUCUGUUGGUGAGCUUCCUUGCAUUCCGGAUGAUCCAUUCCAUUGUUUUAUAGUUUUGUUCAUUAGGAUGUUGUGGGGUUUGUCCCAACAUCCAUCUCAGUUGUUAUUAGAGGCUUCAUAGACAAUCAGAUGUUAGUUCUUUAGUCUUUUCAUUGUCAUUAUUUCAUGUUGAGACUUGAGUUUGCCUUAAUGGCCAAUUGAAUGUUCCUUUUAUAACAUUCCAGUUUAUUAUACGAACUUAUCUUUGUUGAGUUUAAGUCUUCCGCUGAGUAAGUAAGUCAGGCCAAGGGUUCGCUUGGGGCCAGCAAUGGUCUUCGAGUGCUAGUCUCACCCAGGGUGUAGGCUCGGGCGUGACACACAUUUAGUGACGACUGAUUGACGAAUUAUUUUUCGUCUCACAAAAUUUUUAGUGACGAAAUAUGAUUUAUAAAUGACGAAAUUAUUUGUCCCUAAUGAUCGAAUUGUUUGUAGUGCUAGUUGAGUAUGUAAUCAGUACCAUUGUCAAUGUCAAAUUUGAUAAAUCUAUUGUGCAUGAAAUCUCUGCUUACAACAAUACCCAUUGUCUCUACGCGCGAGAGGCGUCUCCCCUUUCGAGAAAAAAUGGUGGGUACAUGGGGGAUUGGUUUGAGAGUGGGAAAAUCAAAGGCUAAGAGUUUGACGUGUGUGUUGACAAGUUGUAGAACAUCAAUUUUAAUGGAGUGUUUCUUCUCACUGACUACAGAUCAAGGGAAGAAAAAAAGGAAGAGUUAGAGUUUUACCCUAACUCAUAUUCCCUGAGAGAAAGAUAUUUGUUUUUAAUUAAAAUGUUAAUUUUGGAGUUUAAAUGUAAAGCUAAUUAAUCAAACCUAAUUUUAAGAGAGGUGGGUAUUUGAUUGUAUCUUUAAUAAUAUAUGGUAUAAUUAUUAAAAAGUGGUAAAUAUAAUGUAAUUGUUUUGAAAAGUAGAGGUAAAAUUCGUAUAUAUGGUAGUGAUGUAUGUCUAAUAAAAUAGUUUAUCCUAUUUAUUAUCUAUUUUUCAAUAUUUUAAAAUAAAACCCAAUUAAGAACUAUGUCUAGAUAGGGGUGAACAAAAUCGAACAGAAAAUCGUACUAAAUCACAAACUGAGUUAGACCAAGAAAAAAAUCGACUAGCUAUUUUGUUUGACUUGAUUUGGUAUUGGAGAAUUAAACUCUGACUAUACUUGGGUUGGUUUGGUUUUAACUUUAAAAAGUCAAUCCGAGACCAAACCAACCCAACAUCCUCUAUAUAUCAUGUCUAUUGCUAACAUGCGGAGAAGAGGGGGUUCAACAUAUAAAGAAGUAAAUCAAAGAAUGGAGCAAAACGGAUCGGGGAAGAAAAAAAUUGUCCUUAAUCCAUUAAAUUUAACUUGCCUUGUCAUGCCGCGUUUAACGUUUCUUCCUACUUUUACCCUGCUUCAUUGAUUCUUUUUAUAUAAAAAAAAAGUGAUUUUUUUCUUUUAUUUUUUAUUGUUUUACUUUAUUUUGAAUUUUUAAAAUAAAUUAAAUUAGUGUUCAUUCAAUCAUAUGUUACUUUAAAAAUUGUUGAAUAGUCUUUAAAAAUGUGUGUGAUUGAGUUACUAAUAUUACAAUGAUUAUUAAAAGGAUAAAUAAAUGGCAUCGCCAAUUUUUUGUUCAUUUAUUCAAUUUAUAAGGUUUUUCAUUGGUAAAAAAAAAAGACGAAUAAAUCAAAUAAAUGUAGUUUACAUCUCUCUAGAAUAGAACUGAAAAAAUGAGAAAGAAAUAUCAUGAAUAAUCAUGCCUUUCAAAUUUAAAAUAAUUGACAGUUAGUUAGAUUUGAUUUAUAGAUUAAAAAAGUCGACACAAAUAAUUUGAUUUGGUAUUUAAAAAACCCGGACCAAUCCGAUCCAUGUACACCCAUAGUCCUAGAUAUCAAACUUAUACUAUUGUGUCUUAGAGUUCCAAUUAACAUACUUACAAAAGAGGGGACAUAUGACCUACAUACUAGACUUUUAACAAGUCUUGAUGUGAAAAAAAAGGAUUUUGAUCUUAGAAAACUAAAACUGGUCCUAAAAAUUUGAAUUUAUACAGUUGACAUCUCUAUUACUGAUUUUUUUUUGUCACCUCAAACUAAAAGCAUAUAACAUGACUCAGAAUGUGGAUGUAUGUAAAACUUUAAAAUAAUUAUGAAGUGCACAAAAUCAUUUUUCAAGUGACCCCUCUAAUCACUUUCUGUGAGAUAUGGAGAAAUUAAACAUCACAAAAAUAAUGGGACAACACCAAGUUAAACAGAUUCAAGAUAGUGCAGAAGAUCAUCAGAGACACUACUCAUGUUUUGAAGAUGCAGAAGUGAAAGUUAUGCAUUGUUGUUAUAGUGAAGCUAAUCAAGUAACAAAAAUAAACUUCAUAGCUAAAAUGACAUCUUCAAGUGGAAGUAGUAUUUCUUUCUACUUUAUCAUCAUUGAAUGGACUUGACAAAAUAAGCUCCCUAAUAAAAAGAAAAGAUAUGGCAAAUUCAAUCUUUUUAACUUAAGAAUUUUAUGUUCCAAGAAACAAAUAAAAGAGAAAUAGGUAGCUUCAUAGCAAGGGGUAAAAUUAAAAAGAGAGAUAUGACAAUACCCUCUGGCGGUGGCUGUAACAAAUGGUGAUAGCAGUCUGCCGCCGUUGGUCUUAGCUCCGGAUUACGGUCCAAACACCUAUUCUGCAAUUCCCUCAGCAAUUUCGGCACCCCUACUAAUCCACAGCUCUUCACUAAUUGCCUUAUUCCCCAUAUAUCCACUUUCACUCCGUGAUAAUUCCUUCCCAUUUCCGGCGCUGCUGCUGCUCCUUUUUUUCGCCGUGAGGAUAUAGCUGAGGUGCAGUCACAGCUUCAUCGAAUCCAGUAAUGAACCAUUCGUUCUCCCUCCUCAUGACCUUAUAAUCCCAUCCCAAAUCCCUGUGCAUAAAUGACAGAUCAUGUAGUGCAACUAACGCUUUUGUGAUCUGUUUCAAUGCUUCUAUUAAUUCAUCACAAUUAAUAGGCUUCAUUUUGCAAUCUCUAGGCUUGAAUACCAAUGCGAGAUCUUUUUCCGAUGCCUUAACCACGAAUUCUGCGUGUGGGAUUCUGUGAUCGAGAAAAUCAUAUAUCACUACAAUUUUCUUCCAUUCCCCAAAUCUGUUCGCUCAAAAUCGGUGCAUGGGAAAUUGCUCACGUAAUGGAACCAUUUAUCCGCUAAUAAUGGUAAUAAUCCGGCAAUUCUCCAGCACGGGACUAAAGCUUUUAAUCUUUCCACUGGUGCUGAUAGAUCCACUGUGUAAAGAUCCGUUCGGAUGAUACGGUCCUGUGCUCGACUUAACGCACAGAAAGUAACAACAAAUCCAACGGCAUAGUAACCUAACACGUAAGGAAGGUCCAUGUAACUCCAAAGGAAUUUCUCUACAAUAGAAGAGGACGGAUCUAAUUGACCUUCUCUUAACUGAUCAGUUUCCUCUCCUCUCCACAAGCAAAAAUUCCUUAAAAAAGCAGUAACAUUAGGCCAUUGAUCUUGUACGGUCUCCGCGAGAGACGAUGAAGAUUUCCGUACGAAUACCAUUUCGAUGGAACAAAACUUGGAUAUGAUCCUAUUAAUGCAAUCAUCCCAAAGGCCAAUGUAAGAAUCCCGAUCGGUAGCCGUUGCAGCGGUGAGACUAGAGUUUGAACGCAUAAUAGAAGUCAAGACAUCGUAAGUGAUGCCUCUACAGUCUAAUAGCUCAGUUGAGGUUGUAAAAAAUAGUUCUCUCCCUUGAGGCAAGUCUUUGAACACGUCUCGUCGGAGAGGGAAACGGAGCUCCUCCGGUGGUGGCUGUUGCAAAUGCCACGAGAGCUCAAACAAGCUUGGAAGAGUAGGAGGGGGAGAUUUGAGAGAAGAGGUACUAUUUUUUUGCCUAGUAUUUUCAUGAAUAAAGUGAUACUAUUUUUCAUGAAAAAUGAUAUUUAAAUUCUUAAAAUAGUGGGGCUCAUGAAAUGAGAAAAAAAAAAUCAUUGUUAAAAAAAAAUGAUUUUUGCAUCUUUGAGAAAUGCUCUUAAAAAAGAGUAUUACAAGUGCAGAUAUUUAUUAUGAAAUAAAUCACAUGUUUUUUUGGCUAUAAUGAGAUGAUUUUUAGCUCUAACAUGAGAAUUAUAAAUAAAUUAUGAAAAAAAUGUUGAGUAGCCAUUUAACAUGAAAUGUUUUGGGAGAGAAAAAAUUCAUUCUUGGAAUUAAAAAAUACCAUAAACAUGUGAUAGAAUUUUCCUUGUCAAGUCACAUAAUAUUGAAAAAAUUGUGAUACAAUUUUGUUGGUUGUGUGAGUCUUGAAACUCCUUUAGAUUCAAUUGUGUGAGAAAGUUGUGACAAAUAUAUAUAAAAAAAAAGAGAGUUUGCUAGCCUAAUAAAAAUAUGAGCUAUGUGACUAAAAACUUGACUUAAUGUUGUGUUUGCAGUAAAGUACUUUGAAGGUACAAGCAAACUAGAUGAGAAAAAUUUGGUGUUAUUUGGUGGGAUGAGAAAAGUAAAUUAUUUUUUGCUAACUCUAUUAUGGAGGUUGAAGUUAAAAUAAUUAAGCUUCAACUAGUGAAAAAGUGAAUUGAUUUUACUAUAUCAAUCACUUUAUUUUGAGAAAUUAAUUUUCUAAUUUUGAUUAAUUGUGAUAGCACCAAUAUAAUGGUAGAGUAUAAAAUCAUUAUUAAAAUGAUAAAUUCAGACUCAUGAGGAGAAAACACAAAAUUUUGAGAUCAUAUUGAUCACUGGUAUACCAUCAAUAUUAAUUGUGUUAAAAUUUGUGACAAUCUUGCAGAUUUAUAAACUGAGGCCUUUGCAAUAAAAAGAGUCUGAAGCACAUCGAGGGGGAUGGAAUUGAAGCUAAAAAAUUCUAAGUUAUAUAUGAGGAAAUCCAACCUGGGGACUAGAGAUCCUAUAACCAUGUUCAAUGGGAAGAACGAAUCAUAUGAUGGCUUGUUGUGAAAUGCACUACUGUUAAUUUCAUUCAAUCCAUAUGAUGUGAGUGCAUUUAUCCUAUAAUUAUUUGUGGAGGUUGAGUAUUUUAACUCUUAAUGAAAGUCUGUAUCUCGUAUGAGUGGGGUGUCAAAUUAUAGGAGCACCCUUGACAGAUUUCACCUAUGUGAGUGUGAAAGUAGGUCGCUUUCUAUGAGAAUGAGCUUGUUCUCAAAAACACUUAUGAAAUCGGGAUAGCACAAGGUCGUAAUGUGCUGGCUAUUAAAGCUUAUGUCAACACCUUGACUAUUGUGUGUAAGCAAUGAUACUUUAUUUCCCUUAAGCAGUCAUAGUUCAAGUCUGAGACCACUACUGACUCUGGAGUAAAGGUUAUUAUUUUACUAAGUGAAUGUUCAAUGCAGAGCACACAUUCAUUAUGCAUAAUAGUCUACCUGUAACUAAGUUGUGAAGAACUCUCUUAACUUAAUAUUAAAAUGAGUGGGGGAUUGUUGGUGUGACAUUUUAAUAUUAAUAAAAAUAUAUUAUAUGUCACAUUAUAUAUCAUGUUAUGUCUUUUGAUGGACAUUACAUUUGUGCAUAUUUACUCUCAUCAAUUGUGGAAGAAAGUGGUCAUUAAUUUUUAGUAACUUAUGUAAUCACCAACUCUUCAUUUCAUCAAUUAUUCUAUCUUUAUGUCUUGUAACUUAUGUAACAUUUGAGCCAUUCAUUUGGCAAAUUUACUACCCACUAUCUUCCUAUUCAUUGCAAGGAAGAAUUCAUCACCUAUAAAUAGUGUGGUCUUCCUUUGUGUUGUGUGAUAAGAAAAAACAAGAGAAGUACAAAAAAAUAUAGUGAAAAAGAUGAGUAGUAUUUUAUUGUGUUUAUAUUGAGAUUAGUGUUGUAGUGAAAGAGAGAGUUGAGACAAAGAAUAAUAUUCUAAGUCUUCAACUAUAUUCACUAUAUACAAAAGAGAAUAUUUAUAUAUUGAAGGAAGGUGUUCUUAUGUGGAGUUUUGGACUCUUCAACUAAUCCAGAGUUGUUUGAGUUAUACGACGUUGUUGGGUUGUUGUAUCCUGGAGGGGACAAGUCAAGAGACAUAUUGUUGGAUCGGUGUAGAUUAUGUCGCAGUGGGCUUGAAUCUCCUUAAAGAGAGCGAGAUAUCCGCGCCUCAGCCUAGAAGAUUUGUUUAUUCAUUUUUAUUAUUUUAUUUUCAACUGUAAUUUAUUAUAUUUGUGGUAUAUUACACCAACAGGUUGAGUAACUUUAUUAAUAAGGUUAUCUCAAAGGUGGUUCAUGAAAAACUUCAUAAUAUUUUGUUAAACUUUAUUUCAACAAAUCAAUUAGAUUUUGUUAAGGAGAAAUAUAUAACAGAGAAUGUCUUAUUAAGAAAUAAUGACAAAUAUCGAAAAGAGAGGCAAUCCAUCAAAUGUAAUAAUAUUGAAGCAUAGAAGUAAUUCGGCAGGUUGUAUGAUGACUUUGCAUAAUAAUUAAUAAAUAUCAAAGGCUAUAGAAUUAUUUGAACAACAGAUAACGGCAUGAAUGAGUCAAAUUUUAUGAAAAGAUAUUUAUUUUUAAUAUAAUAUAAAUAAAUAAUUAAAUAUAGAAGAUAUACUAAAUUUGAGUGUUUAUAAUUGAGAUAUUAUAGUAAUAUAAUAUUCAGGUUAGAAGGUGUUUUUUGUUGGGAAUAUAUACUAUAAUAAUUUAACAUUCAAAUUAGAGAGUUAAUACUUUUAAGAUAGUAUAAAAUAAUUAAUCCAUCAAUGUUUAAAUUUCUAAGGACAAACAUGAAUAUCACUCACAUUCAAUUUUUAAACAUAGAAAAUGAAAAACAUAAUCACAAAUUAAGCUAGCGUUUGGCCCCAAGUUUGUGGGGAAUUACACCAUGUGUUUGGCCUCAAAUUUUUCCAAAAAUAUUUGACUAUUUCAAAAAAUAUGAUUUAUACCCAUUAGUUCAAAAUACUAUUAAAAAUACCCAUAAAUUUGUAUUAUAUAUUUAUAGUGAAUAUGUUCCGUUAAAAACUAACUUUAUAACAUAACUGAUAACAAUCAACAACAACAAAAUAACAAUAUAUGCAAGAGAAAUACAUUAAUCGCAUAUUCAAACUAGUUAUUGAUUCGGUUAUAAUUAUAACCCAUUAAAAAUAAAUUGUUCUUUUUUCUCAAUUUUGUCACUCAAAUUAGAAUUUUAACUUUUCCGAAGGAGGUAGUAACAAACUAUUCCUUUAUAUAAUUUUCCCACAUUCUAUGAACAAUCUCUUCCCUAUUAGCUUUUAUUUCUUAAUCGAUGACAGAGAAGACGAAACAAUAAUGUUACUCUGAGUCGAUUGUUCGUCAUCUUCAUCAGUAACCAUAUCAUCAAGUUCAUGUUCAUUGAAUUUUUUUUUAAAUUUUAAUAGAAACAUUCAAGUAAUGACUAACAUCACAAUUAUUUUUAAAUAUAGUAAUUUAGGACAUAAGCACCUUUAAUUUUAAGCUUCAAUUUUGAUAGACCUAAUCUCUUUCUAUUUCUUUUUCUUUUUUCAUUCUUUCCCUUUUCUUUGUUUUUGACCUUUAAGGCUAACUGACUUGUGUUCAUGAAAUAAAAUUCAAAUCAAUAAUAAAAUAAUGUUGAUUCCUUGUAAUCUCCUAGUCCUCUUUUUGCGAAGGAUAAAAGUUUCAUCCUGGUAGAAUAGUGCCCUCCUCUUGUACUUAUUCUCAUGAUAUAUAACACCCCUACUAACAAGGAAAAAAAUAAUUUAAACAAACAUAAAUCAUCUUCCUCUUCUUCCUUUUUAUUUUAAUUUUGUUGACAUGGUGUUUAUUGUUGUCCCUAGUGGGGGCUAUAGUGAUGGUAUGUGGCUGAAUAAGUGCAUAUCGUGUGUAUGCCAAAUGUAUAUUAUUGUAUACCAUGCGUAUGUCACUUUUACAUGACAUAAAAGUAACAUAUAUAUGACAUACUAGUGAUAUACAUAUAGACAUAUGUGUGUGUGUGUGUGUGUGUGAGACUCACAUAUGAUGUACAAAAGAUAUGGUUGAGACUUUUUUUAUUUGACCUCAAAAUUUAAUAUGAAAUUUGAUUCAAAACCUCAUCAAAUCAGCCAAACUUGAGAUAUAGGCUCCUCAAGAUGUUUUCAAACUUUUGGAACAACACUCAAUCGACAAUGAUAUCUAAUCCUUUUUAACAACAUAGUAUAGAUUUAAAUUGAGGUUAUGAUGCUAUUUUUAAAAAAGAAAAAAAUCUAUUGCUACUUUACGUAAUUUCUAACCUUUUUUUUUUGUAUAUCUACGAAGUUUCCCUAUAUAAAAUGAGCCCAUAUUGGACUUAAGACAUAUUUCCUUUAGAUAAUCUUUACUUUAAGGAUUAAUUACUUAUAUACACACCUUUAUUUUUCAUAAUUUCCAUUAUUCCCUAUCAUUUUAAAAUAUUUUCAAAAUCCCUUAUUUUCACUAAAUUCUUAAGUCAUCCGGAUACAUAAAUAUUUUAGCCUUAACUUCACAUUUUCCAUUCCUUUUUUCACUCCUUUAAUCUCUCCUAAUUUCACUCCACAAUCUUAUCAGUUACAACUUUCAUCUCAAUUUGAAUUUCAAAAGGAUUCUCUCUCUAGUCAAUCAAAUUUAAACCACUGAAUUAGGUAAUUUUCAUAUUCUCCAUUGUCGUUUUUUUCAAAAAAAAAUUGUUUUUACCCUUUUUUCUGAUACAUAUGAUUCUCCGUUCAUCCUUGUUUUAUGCAAUGUAUCAUAUUCAUAUUUAAGGUGUUGAUACAUAACUCUAAUGUUGUUGAAUCUUCAAUUAGUUUUAUCAUGUUCAAUAUAAAUGUACUUGAUACAUACACACUUCUUAAUGUAUCGUUUGCAUGUAUCAAGUUUUUCAAUGUAUCAUCAAUCUUAUUCAAAUUUAAAAGGCUACAUAGACAAAAACAAACCAGUUGUGUGUUAUGUAUCUACACUCUUUAACAUUUGUUCAGUGUUAUCCAACUUAGAAUGCAAUGUAUAUGUACAUAUUACCCAUAAUAAUCUUGAUACAUAAAAACUCAUACGACAUGGAACAAUCUGCAAACAUUAAAAAAUUCAGUGAUACAUUAUAUGAAAUACAUUCUUUUCAAUUUUCAAAGCCAACACCUAUCUAACAACAAACUAACACAUAUCGAUACAAUUUUGUAACCAUCUUAUAACAUUUACUAGAUACAUUAAAAUUAUCAAUGAUACAACCAUUCACAAUAAUCUAAGACUGAUAUAUAUUAAUGUAUCAUCCACAUUUGUCUUGAUCAAAACAACUAAUUUACAUAUCUUAAUUGUUACACUAUUUAUCUGUACAAUACACACAAUAAUAACCUGAUACAUUAUACAAAUCUGUGAUACACACUCGAUAUUCAAAACAUAUCUAAUUUGUCUCAAUUGUUAAUUCACUUAUUACAUGUAUCAUACAAAAUAUAUUAUGAUGAUACAUUUUUAUACAAAUCACAUCCGAAUACAAAAUAAUGAGCACAUCAUAAUUGAUAUACCGUGAGUUUACGGUAUUUCUAAUACGUUUCACUUACAAGUUGUGUGUGUCUAAGGCCUUUUUAUAUUGGUUUUGAUGUGUUUUUAUCAUGUUUUGCAGGAAAGACGUUCAGGUGCGGAAGUGUAGGGACAGCUGAAAGAAAUGCAGAAGAAAGGCAUUCACGGAGGUGAUCUACGGACCGUAGGUCCAUUCACGGUCCGUAGGUGAUGACCGUAGAUCAGNNNNNNNNNNNNNNNNNNNNNNNNNNNNNNNNNNNNNNNNNNNNNNNNNNNNNNNNNNNNNNNNNNNNNNNNNNNNNNNNNNNNNNNNNNNNNNNNNNNNNNNNNNNNNNNNNNNNNNNNNNNNNNNNNNNNNNNNNNNNNNNNNNNNNNNNNNNNNNNNNNNNNNNNNNNNNNNNNNNNNNNNNNNNNNNNNNNNNNNNNNNNNNNNNNNNNNNNNNNNNNNNNNNNNNNNNNNNNNNNNNNNNNNNNNNNNNNNNNNNNNNNNNNNNNNNNNNNNNNNNNNNNNNNNNNNNNNNNNNNNNNNNNNNNNNNNNNNNNNNNNNNNNNNNNNNNNNNNNNNNNNNNNNNNNNNNNNNNNNNNNNNNNNNNNNNNNNNNNNNNNNNNNNNNNNNNNNNNNNNNNNNNNNNNNNNNNNNNNNNNNNNNNNNNNNNNNNNNNNNNNNNNNNNNNNNNNNNNNNNNNNNNNNNNNNNNNNNNNNNNNNNNNNNNNNNNNNNNNNNNNNNNNNNNNNNNNNNNNNNNNNNNNNNNNNNNNNNNNNNNNNNNNNNNNNNNNNNNNNNNNNNNNNNNNNNNNNNNNNNNNNNNNNNNNNNNNNNNNNNNNNNNNNNNNNNNNNNNNNNNNNNNNNNNNNNNNNNNNNNCAACAAGAAAAGAAUUAUCAGCAUAGAUUUAGUGUGAUACUAUCUAAUAGGCUAGUGUCGAUUGGUGCGAAGUAAUAACUAAGUCAAACAUCGAUUAUGAUGUCUAAUAUGAGGUAAAGGUAAGGGUUAGUAAAUUAUACACACGUAGCCGGAUCAAGGUGCGGGGUGAAAUUCUUUAGAUGCCGGAUCAAGGAUUUAGAGAUACCUAACUUAUCACUUUGCAUGUAAUACACUAGGAAAGAAUUGUUGUUACUAGAAUUACUGCGUUAUGAGCUUGCGGUGAACACAGAUACCCUAGCUAAUUCUCUCAUCUUGAUAAAAAACCGAAAUUAACUUUUGUUUAUUGAUUACUUACUGAACUCUUACAAUUUGUUUCACAAAUCCCCCAUUUUAUUUCUUGUUUCUGGAAGUACUUUGGCUAAUUGAAUAUAAUUGUUGGUUAAAGUAAAAUCUAAACCAUUUUCCUCGUGGGAUCGACCCUAACCUACAAGUUGGGUUCUUUACUUUAUAACGAUCGUUUAUACUUCUUUAGGGAGGUAUAAUUUGAGCGUAUCAAUAAUCUAUAGAUACAAAAUUACAAUACAUGCGGGUCGUUUACCACUAAUGUAUCAUGACUUACAUAUUCACAUCAAAACGACAAAACAAAACUAUAAAAAUGAUACAUUAAAAAAAACUAUAUACCAAUGGUGGUGAGAGCAGAGGGAAUGGUGGAGUAAGUGGUUGAACGGCCGGAGAUGGAUAAGAAGAUAAUACAAAAGAUAAUUCCUUUGUCGGAUAAGAAGCUAAUCAAUUAAUGAUACCAACACCAUAUGGAAAAUCAUUGUUUCUUCUUAUAUAUCUAUAUCCCUCCAUUCCCCAUGUUGUACCCAUGAGUUCUUGAUUAUCCUCGCAAGGUAUCCUUCCCGAGAAGAAUUUCCACACAACAACGGUAAAUUCAAUGGUUGGUAUUGAAUUACAGAGCAUUAUUUGUGUACCAACAAACCAGAUGAAGAAACCAUAAUAAUCGGGGUGCGGGCAAAUCUAUAAAUCCCAUUCGUAACCAACUGAAGAUUUUCCUCAUGAUAAACCUUUAUUAGAUGAGUGAAGGCUUGUCCUGCUGUCACAAUUGCCAACUUCCUAAUGAAGGGCAAUUCCUCUUGUGGAACUUUUACGAUUUAGAAUUGAUGGAGAAGAUGAAAAUCUAAAUUUUGAAUUUUGUGAAGCUGUUACAGAUUGGAGUGGAUUGAUAUCAAUUAGAUCUGCGUGAUUUAUGGGAAAGAAAAUCAAUUUUAUGUUAAUAUCCAUAUUAAAACAAACAAGUUUUAUAAUGUAUUCGGAUGAAACUUAUGUAUCUGGAUGGCCGAUAUUUUAAGGAAUUUUUGUAAAAUAGAAAAAAAUAGGGACAAGAUGUAAUUUAGGUCUUACACUAUGAGAUUUAUAUACGUUAUAUUAGAGUACAGAUUGAAGCCCAUAGCUAAGCAUAAUUACUAAAGAUAGGAUUUUUCGAGGCAUUCUAUUAACAUAAUUAAAAGGUAUAAUUCAUAUAUAUAUAUAUAUAUAUGUAAUUAUUUUAUUGUUUACAUAAAAAAUAGCCAAAAGUAAUAAAAAGUAUACACUAUUUAUACAGUAUAGCUUACUUAUACAUUAGGUUUACACCAACUAUACAUUAUGAUACACACAAAAAACUAAAUAUAGCUUAAGUUUACAUGAAGUAAGCAUGUUAAAUAGGUUGGGCCAGGUAAGACUAGCCCAUUAGAAAUUAAACUAGUCUCUGAUAUUGGGCUAGGUCGGGUCACCUAUAAUUGGGUUGGUCUGGUAUGGGCUCAAUAGUGCAAAACCCCUUGUCCAGUGCAACCCACAACCGGUUAGCCUAAUUUUUCUGAGCCAGCCCAGGUUUUAGCCCCGUGGGCUUAAUAGGACUGGUCAUUUAUUUUUGGAAAAAUUACUUGGAUGGGUACCUUUUAAUAAAUAAUUACUGAUUUUAGCGACAUUUUUUAUUUAUUACCAUUUUUUAGCAAUACUAUGUUAAAUCUGCAAUAUGUAUUAAAAGUGAAUUAUGUAUGCAAUAUAUAUGUAUUAUAAUUGUUUUUAAAAUAUAUUAUGCUUGUUUGGUAAGAAAUUGACACAUUGUAUUAUAGGUGUAUUAAAAUAUGUGAUAAAUGUAUUAUCCAUCAAUAAACUUGUAUUUAUAUGUGAAUAAUAAAUUGUUCUUUGUAAUAUAUAUUAAAGUUGUAUUAUAGAUGUAUUAAAAGUGAUCAAAUAAGAAAAAAAUGUUAUUGCUAUAAAUGGUAAAUAUGUUUUUAAUGUUUUAUAUUUAUGUAAGUUUCCCAUUAUUUUAAAAAAAUAAAAUUACCAUCGUUUAUCAACUUGAAAGUUUGAGUCAAUCAUCAAUAUAGUGUAUCAAUAUAGUGUUGUUAACUAUUUAAUUUUGAAAUAAUUAUAACUAUUUAUAAUAAUAGAGUACUUACAUUAUAUUAUAUACAUACUUACAAUGUAUACCAAAUCCACCCACAAUAUACUAUCUAUUAUGAUAGAAGGGGACUUUCGCAUAUAGUCACUCAAAAAUAGUUUAAUUACACUCUAUAACUACAGUUUGCUAAUUAUGAUUCGUAGCUACAUAUUAUAGGGAGGAGAUUAGCAAGCGAGAGAGGUGAAUUGUAUAUGUAUAUCGGUUAGAUAACUUACAAUGUAUAUUCUUAUAGUGUAUACAAAAUACACACAAAUGACACAAUAUACUUGCAAUGAAUAUCAAAUAUACCUCAAUAUACGUGAGAAAGUUGGACUCCUACCCAUCAUAAGAAGUAGUGUAGGUGUAGGAUUAAUGAAAAGAGGAAGUUGAAGAAGGCUACUGCUUGGGCAUUAUGUCCAGGGUAGCAGCUUUGCUUAGAUGAGUAUUUGUAACUUGUCACAUGGUAAAUAAAAUAAAUUUACUUUAAAAAAAAAUAUACCUCAAUAUACUAUCUGAUAAUAAUAGAUGUGGAUUUUACACAAAUCUCAUGGUGUUAGAAGCUAAUUACACCUUAUCUCUUCUUCUUUUUUUCCAAAUUACAAAAAUUUCUUAAAUUUGGUGGAAUCCAAAUGCAUCUCAAAACGAUUCGGUACAUCGCGUCUUGGUUUCAGAUACAUCACUCAACGUCCCGAUACAUUACGUUUCGCUUUUGGAUACAUCAUUGAAUGUCCUGAUACAUCGCGUAAAGUGAUGUUUCUGACCAAUACAUUGUGUUAAGUGAUGUAUCUGAUACAUCGUGUAAAAUGAUGUAUCCAAUCGACCGAUAUAUCGCGCAAAAUGAUGUAUACGAUCGAUACAUCGCGUAAAAUAAUAUAUCCGAGAAUAUGAGAUAGUACAAAUUUUUGUAUUUUUUUCAAAUGGUAGAGAUUUUUAGAGAAUAUGAUAAAAUAAGUUGUGUGUUUAGUGUGUGUGUAUAUAUAUAUAUAUAUACAAUGUAUACAAAAUAUACAUUGUGGAUGUGGAUUUUACACAAAUCUCAUGCUGUUAGAAGCUAAUUACACUUUAUCUCUUCUUUUUUUUUCCAAAUUAAAAAUAUUCCUUAAAUUUGGUGGAACAAGAUACAUCUCAAAACGAUUCAGUACAUCGCGUUUUGGUUUCGGAUACAUCACUUAAUGUCCCAAUACAUCACAUUUCGGUUUUGGAUACAUCAUUGAAUGUCCUGAUACAUCGCGUAAAGUGAUGUUUCUGACCAAUACAUCGUGUUAAGUGAUGUAUCUGAUACAUCGUGUAAAAUGAUGUAUCCAAUCGACCGAUAAAUCGCGCAAAAUGAUGUAUACGAUCGAUACAUCGCGUAAAAUAAUAUAUCCGAGAGUAUGAGAUAGUACAAAUUUUUAUAAUUUUUUCAAAUGGUAGAGAUUUUUAUAGAAUAUGAUAAAAUAAGUUGUGUGUUUAGUGUGUGUAUAUAUAUAUAUAUUUACAAUGUAUACAAAAUAUACACACAGUUUAUCAUAUUUAAUAUUUAUUGAUUCUUCCUAAAAUAUAAAUUUAAUUGACCUUACCGAAGACUAUUAUCUCAUAAAACUUUCCAAACCUGAAAACUAUGAAAAGAUACUACACCAAUUAAGGACCCUGGUUUUUAGGAUCGCAAUUCAUAUCUAUCAGGAAAUGGGAACCAAAAUUCAACCCGUCAAUGAUCCAAAUAGACUUUUCAACAGUAUGGGUAAGACUUCCGGAACUUCCGACAGAAUUCUACGACCUCAAAAUUAUCCAACAAAUAGAAAACCAAAUAGGAACAACCCUCAAAAUAGAUAUCGUUACAAUAAACACAAUUAAAGGAAGAUAUGCCAGACUUUGUAUCCUAGCUCCAUUAUCCAAAACACUCUCAAUCGACAUAUUAAUAGGCACACACCUCCAAAAAUAAAAAAAAUAAAUAUGAACUGUCUACCCCCUUAUGGUGAUGUGGCAAACUUGGACACUUAGUACACUCAUUCCCAAAUAAACCAAACAAUAUCCCAUCCACUUCUUGAAGCACUAAGCUACCAAAUUAUUCAAUGCCAAAAGAGAGUCCAAAAAAACAGAUCAGGACAAAGGCUGGACAAUAGUAGUAUACCAAAAAAGGAAAAAAUCAAACUACCAACAACCUGCACACGUUAAAAGCAAUUACUCGCACAAUCAGAACACAUUUAAUACCCAAAUAAAUGACCAAGGCCAAAACAUAACUUCACAUGAUCUUGUAGGUCCACCAAUUCUCAAUACCCAAGACAAAAUCAAACAGCAAGAAGGCAAAAAAGACCCAAAAAAUUCAACACUAAAUUCCAAAGGAGGGGCAACAACCACGCCGCUGAAUUUUGAGAGUACAAGCCACGUAUAAAGUAUGGUAUCCAAGUUCUCCUUUAAUGCUAAAAUUAGUGCAAACGUGGACAAAAAUAACCCCAUCACAAACAAAAACAAAACAAACACAUGUCCAAAAGAAAACUCCACAUCCAUACCCUGCAAACUACCAACCCCCGUCACUAAAGAGGAAAUUUUCACAAAGAUCGUAAAAAUAUGCCAGCAAAAUCCCCCAAUUCAGGGAACUAAUAGUACACCUCAAACUGAAUCAACCCCAGCCACCAAAUCAAAACCAGAAAAUGAAAAUACCCUUGAGAAAGAACCAAAUGAUCAUCCUUCUCCUAACCACUCCACAAAUUAUAAUUCGUUAACCAAACCUUCCCCAAGCGUCAAUUCUGCUACUACUAAGAUCUCAAUGAUAGGAAACUUCACACGACAUUCUACCAAUGAAGUAGUACAAGGAAAUCUGAAAGUACAGCCUAGUAUAGAUCCUGAUAAAUCAUAUCACCAAAAUGAUCUCUUUAAGAGACUACCACCAACAUCACUUUCUCCCACAAAACUUUCUCAAAUAUUACUAAAUAUGUCUCAAUUCAACAACCAUCUUUACCUCCAAUUGCGACAGAGUAUCUAACAACGUCACAACCAAAGGCUGCCAACGAACAAUCCACCCCUCCCCCAUCAACUGAUGGGAAACAAUCCCACUUUUCAACCAGCCACACUUCUGAACCACCAACCACAGUACCAGACAUCUUUUCCUUUCGAGCCAUAUCAACCACCAGAAAUGACAAGCUACAUCCCACGAAAUUCUGUAUUUUAGAACCUAACAAACCCACUCACACCCUUCAACCAGAACUACUAGACCAUGAACACACACUUAUAAGCGAUCUUCUCGCAUGUGGUCCAAGUAUCACCUUACUCGAGUUAGGAAGGAAUGUUAGACCUCAACCAGAACGAAAACAACUUCACUCCACUACCCUCCCUAAUAAAUGAGCGACUAACCAAUAAUCUGAUAAGAUUGGCAUCGACUCAACUAGAGCUAGCCCAAGAACUAACCUCCACGAAAUUCUAUCACAUACUUCACUUUCCUUCACCACUGUCCAAUUUGAACUCCCACCAUCUCUCACUUAUUCACCAAUUGAAUACCUUCGUGAACUCGUCGCUACAACAGAUAAUAGAUAUGCAAAAUCCAAGUCAACAGAACGAGGACAACAUGAGCAACGAGGAAGAUGAAAAUAUGAAAGACCAAGUAGUCCCAGGGAUACAAAUUAGGGUACCAUCAUUCCCUAUGCAGACACCGCAGACACAACCAUCGAAAGAAGAGGCACCAAACAUGCUAGAUCCAUUGACCCAAACUCUGUACUGGAAGAAUACACUGACACUAGACAAGUUAUUAAGUAUCGAAAUGAGGUUUUUAAUCAAAGUCCCUCGCGAACUGAACAAGGUGGACUUGAACAUACGUUGUUACAACUCCUAGGAGCCACUGAAAUACGUGGCACUACUCAUUCCAAUGAUAAUGGAAAAACAAGCUAUUGAAAUAGGGAAUGCAAGCAGAUCAUCAAUAACUAUGAACCUGGAAAAUACUCUAAUGCCAGGAGGGAAUCGCAUCGUUCAGGAAACCCCAUCAAUGAAGAUCUUACUAUGGAACUAUAGGGGUGCAAACAAUGCUAAUUUCAUGAAGAACAUGUGCACACUCAUGGAAUUCCACAACCCAACAAUCCUUACUCUCACCGAAACAAGAAUGGAGGAUCAUAAUAAAAUUUUACAGGCAUUAGAUUUCACUGAUGUAAUUCAGGUCCCAGCUUCGGCGUACUCUGGAGGGAUUUCUUUGCUUUGGAGGAAUUCGGAAAUCACCAUUGAACCUUUUGUUCUGACUAAACAAGAAAUUCACGCCACUAUUGAGGUUAGUACAAGCUUCUCUAAAUGGUACAUCUCUAUAAUUUAUGCUAAGAAUAAUGUUAGAUAUAUGAAGAUAUUAUGGGAAAAUUUGAGGAGUAUAACUAACAAAAUCAAUGGACCUUGGCUAGUUUGUGGAGAUUUUAACGAAAUCACUAGUGCGUCCGAGAAGCUUGGGGGGAGACCUAUAAACAACACUAAGAGCUCAAAUUUCAUCAGCUGCCUUGAUGAUAUGGACAUGAUAGACUUAGAUUUUACGGGGGAAAAAUAUACUUGGACAUAUAAGCAUAAGAACAAUAAAACUCUCAUUAUGGAACGCAUCGAUCGCUUACUGAGCAAUCACUCUUGGUUAACUCUCUUCCUAGAUACUAAAGUCUAUCAUCUCCCUCGUUUAUACUCUUACUGCUGCCCUAUACUCCUAAACUACCUAAAAAGCUCUGGACACUUAAAAAAUUAUUUAGAUUCGAAACUAUGUGGAUUACGCAUCCGGAUUUCUCUAACAUAGUAAUUAGAGUGUGGAAAGAUAAUAACAAUUAUAAUGAUGCCCUCGAAAAGUUCCUCCAAAAUAUAAAAAUUUAGAACAAAGAGACCUUUGGUAAUAUUUUUAAACAAAAAAAAGAUAUUCUCAACAGAUUGAAUGGGCUGCAGCAAAUGAAUGCAACAAAUAAAAGGAAUUUCCAUCAUAAUCUGGAGAAUAAUCUCAGUAUAGAGUUUAACGAAAUUCUUAAAAGAAAAGAGGACUUUUGGAAGCUAAAAUCUAGAGUCCAAUGGCUUAGCGAGGGAGAUGGAAACACUAAAUUCUUCCAUACCACCACUAUAAAUAGAAGAUGUAGAAAUCGAAUUAUUGGGCUAAAUGACUCGGUGGGAAACUGGACAUUCGAUCCUACCUCCAUAAAUAACAUUAUUACCCAACAUUUCCAAGUCAUCUACACAACCGAGCUUACUAAGAGCAACUUCCAUAAACCAAAUAUUUGUCAAAACGCUCUUCCAAUGGAUACUCGAGAUUUUAUUGGUACACCCCUUGAUAAAGAAGAAAUCAAAAUUUUUAUCUUCGGCUUUAAACCUCUUAAAUCUCCUGGCCCUGAUGGUUUACACCCUCUUUUCUUCCAAAAAUAUUGGAACGACACUAAAGAAGCCAUAAUCAAUACUUGCAUGAAUGCUUUUAAAUCCAGCUCCAUUCCACCAGAGAUAAAUAAAACUUUCAUCUGCCUCAUACCAAAAAUUAAAAAUCCUGAGCAAAUUAACCACUAUAGGACAAUAAGCCUCCGUAAUACGAGUUACAAAAUCAUCACCAAAAUUAUAAUUAAUAGGAUCAGACCAUACCUAGAUACUAUAAUAAGCCCUCAACAAUGUAGUUUCAUGCCUGGAAGAAGAGGAGUAGACAACGCCAUAAUCUUUCAAGAAGCAAUCCACUCUUUCCAAAAAACGAAAGGAAAAUUCGGCAAAAUGCUUUUGAAAAUCAAUUUAGAAAAAGCUUUCGAUAGAUUAGAAUGGUCAUUUAUCAAAUAAUCCCUUAUGAUCCUUAACUUCCCAAAAAACAUAAUUUACCUCAUUUUGUCUUGUAUAUCCACUUCAUCUAUAUCAAUUUUUGUUAACGAAGGCCUACAAACUAUUUCUACCCUACCAGAGGAAUUAGGCAAGGUGACCCACUAUCACCCUACAUAUUUAUAAUUUGUAUGGAAUCCUUAACCAGACUUAUAAACUAUGUCAUUCAAGAGCAUCCCUGGCAACCAAUUAAAAUUGGUAGAAUAGGUAUGUCUAUAUCUCACUGCUCUUCACUGAUGACAUUAUUCUACUAGCAAAGGCUGACACCACAAACGCCACCACCAUUAUACAAAUCUUCAAUACGCUGGCAAAACAAUUAGGAAAAAAAAUUAAUUUUAACAAAUCGUCUAUUAUCUUCUCAGCCAACGUCAGCCUUGAAGAGAAGAACUAACUCUCUAUGGCUAUGAACAUUCGCCAAAAAGAAAAGAUAGGUAAAUACCUUGGACUCCCCAUAACAAAAUAUCAUUCUAAGAGCACAGACUAUCAAUACAUCAUUGACCACAUGAACAACAAGUUAAGAGGAUGGAAAACUCGAUUCAUAACCUUAGCAGGAAGAACAACACUAUUUAAAUCAGUCCUAGCCUCUAUUCCUACCUAUGUAAUGCAAUGGAACUCAAUCCCCCAAGCGACCCGUAGUCACAUCGAUCGCAUACAAAGAAAUUUUCUUUGGGGAUCAACAUAAGGGAAAACGAAAAUGCAUCUUGCAAACUGGGAACUAGUAACUUCCCCUAUCGAAAAUGGUGGCCUAGGAAUCCAGAAAACUAAUGGAAAAACUUUGCUUUGUUAGCAAGUCUUAUCUAGUGAUUCUUAAAAAAUAAUAAUCACCUUUGGGCUGAGGUUCUCAAGAAAAAAAUACUUAAAUAGAAGUCAAAUGACUAACUUGAAAUGUUACCCCCAAGACUCUUAUAUAUGGAAAAGUCUCGUAAGAGCCUACCCACUAUUCCAAAAAAACAUCUCUUGGAACAUGGGUAAUGGGGAAAAAAUUCGCAUUUGGGAAGACAACUGAAUAGAUACAACAUACUCCCCACGUCAAAUGAUCCAAGGACCGACCACUGAAACUGAAGCCAAGACGGUCCUAAAAAACUGGAUCAAGAAUAACAACUGGGAUUACUCUUGUUUAUCCGUUGAAAUCCCUAAUAACGUCAAAAUAACCAUAGAAAACACUUAUUUACAAAUAGCAAGCUCCAAGCCUGACACCUUCUACUGGAACAAGAGCAAUGAUGGUUAUUUUAACACAAAAAAUGUCUACUUAGCAUUUCUCAAAGCUAACUAUGAAACUACCAUAAAGACAAAUUGUAAUUAUGUAUGGGUGUGGAAGAUAAAAGCUAUCAAUAAAAUAAUUUUUUUCAUGUGGCUCCUCCUAACUCAUAAGCUCCCUACUUCUGUUGCCCUUUACAACAGAAACAUUACUACAUCCAAAAAUUGUGCAUCCUGUCUUGACAUGGAGGAGGACACAAAUCAUAUUUUUUAAGCUGCCCGAAUGCUAAACACAUCUGGAAAAACUAUAUCAUAAGUAUCACCUCCCAUGACCUCCAUACAGAAAUUCAUCAACUGUGUACCACCAAAAGUUUCGUAACCAUAAACAAGCACCACCGGGUGCCUACCGCUACUCUAGUUCCAAUUAUUCUUUGGAAUAUUUGGAAAAAUAGAAAUAGCAAACUUUAUAAAAAUUUAAAUAUUAGCAUGUCUACAAAUACUAUUAAUAACAUUUCCUUCCAAGCCAUGGAAUACUUUCACUUAAACCAAAUCCCUCCCAAAAAAGUCCCUAGACAUAUCCUGUUUCUUGGCACAAACCACCGGAUGGAAAAUACAAAUUAAACAUUGAUGGCUCAUAUGAACCAAACUCCUCUAACGGUGGAACUGGAGGAGUAAUUAGAGAUCAUCUAGGAACAUGGAUCGUGGGAUUCACACGCAAAAUCAUAGCAAGAAAUGCCCUACAUGCAGAAGUUCUAGCCUUUGCUACAUGGUCUGAAUCUAGCCAAAAGUAAGAACUUAAAACAUCUGCUGGUGGAAACGGAUUUGCAUGUAUUACUUAACACUCUAUAUAGCAAUAAUCUCAUAUACUCACAUAUUUUCGCUGAUUGCAGAUCGCUACUCCUCCAACUAGAGAGUUCGUCCCUGAAGCACAUUCCGAGGGAGGCUAAUGCAGUAGCAGACCUACUAGCCAAAUACGGAAGAGAAACGAAGGAUCCAUAUAUAUGAUCAACAAUCAAACUUUGGUUUUUGAAGCAUCUCCUUCACUAGCAAUAUAUGCAUUAGAAAGAGAUGUGAUUGGAACUGUAACACAUCAACUAGUUCCACUUUUGUAUGGUUGAACAUAUUAUUAUCUAAAUAAAAUCCUUCCGUCAUUUAGCAAAAAAAAUAAAAUUGUCAUACCACAUGUAAAGUCUGCUACAUAGAUAUAUGUAUUUUUUACUACCAAAUACACUCUAAAAUGCAGAUAAAUACAUAAGAAGAGAUGCGAGCAAGAGAGGAAAAGAGGCGAGAGGCGAGGGAGAGAAUAUGUGUAUCUCAAAUACAUAUGAAUCACACUAGAUACAUGCAUCUAGGAUAUAUAUCAGAGACAUGCGAAUAGUAAUUUCAAAAACUUAUGAAAGGCACUUAAUUAAAUCUCAAAUUAGUGAGAUUUAUGUUGUUUAUCCUUUAAAUAAAAGCAAAAUUCAAAGUUGUUACACCAUGGAAUUGAUAUACUAGAUGCAAUCUUUAAGUAGUCUUUGUGAAACAAGAUAGGUGGUUCUAAUAAAAAAGUAUUUGCUUUCUUCGCAAGUUCACGUGUGGACUAUCGAGAGCGGUCCGUUUCUGCGAUAAACAACCUAUAAUCAUUGAACAAAUUUAAGUAAAAUUUGUUGUUAGACUGUGUAAAUAAAGUUUGAUUAGUAAAUAUAAAAGUUUGUUGUUAGAUUGUGUAAAUAAAAGUUUGAUUAUUAUGGGUGUGUUUGGUAGGGAGGAAAACAUUUUUUCUGAAAAAUGUUUUCCAAUUUUCUCAUGUUCAGUUGAAUUAAUGUUUUGAAAAAUGUUUUUUCAAAUCAACUUUUUUUUCCUUAAAUUUAAGUAAAAUGACUUCCCUUCAAAAUUAAGGAAACCAAAACUUUACUCAUAGCUCAAAUUAUAUUUAUCUUUUUACCCCACCAACCCUCUCCAUAAAAAAUAAAAAAACUAAAAGAUUUUAAAAGUUUGUUUUUGAAAAUAUUUUUAAUUUAUUUUAACCUCAUCCUACCUCUCCCCUCCCCCACCCCCCACCCAAAAAAAUAAAAAAUUUAAAGGCUUUUUUAUAAAAAUAAAAAUUAAUUCAAAAUUUUCAUUUUUUACUCCACUCCCUACCCCUCCCUCCCACCAAUUCUAUUUUUGACCCCCUAUCAGCCCCCCUCCCCUCUCCCCGCACACACACACAAAAAAAAAUUGUUUUUAAUCAAAUCCCAAUUUGAAAGUUAAGUCCUGAGUCGGGUGUGGUUGGAUUCGGAUCGAAAAUCGGGGUCAGGUCCUGACUCAGAUCUCAGGGUUGGGUUUUGGGAUCGAUCGUCGGGGUUGUGUCCUAGUUCGGAUGUCGGGGUCAUAUCCUAGAUCGAUUAUCGAGAUUGACAUCCGGAUCAGAAAUUAUUUUUCUAAAAGAGUAUUUUCCAUUCUCUAGUCAAAAAUUAAAAAAAAAUUCUGAAAAAUGUUUUUCAUUCACCAAUCAAACACUAAAAAAUAUUUUCCAGAAAUAUUUUCUACUCACCAACCAGACAUGAAAAAAUAAGUCAAAAGUCCAUUUGUUUUCUAAGAAAACAUUUUCUAAAAAAUAUCUUUUUCCGAGGAAAACAUUUUUCCUUCGUACCAAACACACCCUAUAGCAUGGAUUGAAGAAUUAAUACAGCGCGGUACAGCUGGAAUAUUGGUUUUCGUAUGUUUCGUUCUCAUAAUUUAUAAUACAAAGAAUGGCAACUGCAUUCUUCAGAAUAAUCUUAUUACCUAUCUAAGAUAGAGCUUUCAUUUGAGAGUAUUAAAGGUAUGUUAGGCAUAUCUUGAGCAUCCCUUUCUAACUUUUUAGUUUAACUUUAGAGUACCGUUUCAACAUAAUUUAAAAUAAGGUUGAUUUAACAUUGAAGUUUUCUUUGGAUAAGUAAUUUGAUUCCUUAAAUUAAAUUAUUUUUUUUAUAAUCGUGAUGGCCGACGAGCCAGCUUUCGCAUACCUAAAGUAAUUACAUAGAAUAUUUGUCACCUCUCACUAGCAACAGGUAGAAUAUCAUCAUAAUUUGUGAAAAGUGAAAACCAUUACUUACUUUCCUAACUCUUAUACAAGUCUUACCAAGUGAGCAAUCAUAGUUUAUAAAUAAGCUACGUAUAAGUAUAUCCUAUGAUGCCGAAUUAAUAAAUCACAUAUCUCUAUGUUUAUUUUAUAAUUAAAUAUUUGUGAUUACAUGUUAUUAAAAACAUUCAAAUAUACAUAAUAUACAACAAUUUGUUAGGGUUUUGCCUUGAUUUUUCCUACUUUAUUUGAAAUUUAUUUUUUCCGAAAAGGAAUAACAAAGUAUUAGCAUAAAUGCUUUAACUUUUCAAAAAUGGAAAACAUUAUUUUCUCUCAUAUUUGGUUUAUUAUUUUCUUAGAGGAAAAGUUUGGAGAUCUAUAAAUUGAAGGUUCCUAUUCUCAUAGCAGAAUACAAUAGCAUCCACAAUGUUUUAUGGGGAGUUUAAAUAUUUUUCUUUUAUAUUAGUUUCCAUAUAAUAAUAUUAUGUUUUUAGUAUAAGUUUUUGUCAUUUAAUUUAUCACCGUCAUGAUUUGCAAUUGUAAACUUCCGCAUGACGCCCUAAUCACUUUCGAAUCCAAUACAAUUCACGGAUUCAAUAAGUCAAUAAUAGUAGUUAUUAUAACUAGCCAAUUUUUGAUAAAAUCUCCCUAUAUGGUACAAACAAUUUCUUCACGUCUAACAUGAAUAUCUUUUAUAAAACAUAAAACUGUGAAUUUUUUUUUCAAGAAAAUAUAUACACUUAUGGAUCAAGUUUUAUACUUGAAAACAUUGGAAUUCCAAAUCCUACUUUUUAAAGAAUUUAAGAUUUGAAAUCAUGAUUUAAAGUUAAAAGUUGAAACUUUAUGCAAAUUUCAUAAACACAAAUAGUGAUUUAAUAUCAAAACUUUGAAAUCAGACUUCCAAAUCAAUCAUUAGUAGAUGUCCUUGUUUUGCUAUUUGAAUUUUCCUAUACCUAUAUUAAGUUUAGAGAGGUGCAAUAAUAAUAAAUAAAGGAAGCACAAUGGGCCCAUUUUGCUGCUCUCCAGGGUGUGGUAUCUGUCCUUCACUUUAUUUCAUCAUGUAAAAAGCCAAGGCAAAACUCCCACCAUUAUAAAAAGUGAAAUUUAUAUACAAUCCUACUAGCUUCCAACAAUACUCCAUAAUGGUUGUCAUAAUAAUAGUCUCAUCUACUAUGGCCAAUAAUUAAAAUGAGGCAAGUUUCAUAGUACGUGCAUAACUUUUAAUUGACUGUAGCCCAUGCUAUCGACACUAUCGCACCCAAAAGAUUCAUGGUUAUAACUCAUAACUGAAUGUGAAAAAAAAUCUAUGAGACGGAUUGAGAAUUUAAAUUUUAUGAAUUUUAAUAACAUACAUUAUAUUAGUACAUACCCGUAAGCCAACUUUUAUAUUUGUCUAUGGAUGACAAUCAUUAUCAGAGGUGGAAUUAUGAUUUCAACUUUAUGAAUUCUAAAUUCUAGAAUGUCGACUGUAGGUGGUAAUAAUUUGAUUCUAAAUUUACUAAUUUUACAUAGUUAAUGGCCCCAUUUUGAUUCUAACUUUUAAUUGACUGUCGCCCAUGCUAUCGACACUAUCGCACCCAAAAGAUUCAUGGUUGUAACUCAUAACUGAAUAUGAAAAAAUCAACCAAAAUAUAUAUAAGACGGAUUGAGAAUUUAAAUUUUAUGAAUUUCUGUAACACACUUUAUAUUUAUAUUAGUAUACACCCGUAAGCCGACUGUUAUAUUUGGCCAUGUAUGCUAAUCAUUAUCAGAGGGGGAAUAAUUUUAACUUUAUGGAUUCUAAAUUUUAGAAUGUUAAGUGGUAAUUAAUUUGAUUCUAAAUUUAUUAAUUAUACAUAUUUAAUGAAUUUCUUAACAUAAAUAUAUUAUUUGAGCAAAAUUUAUGGGACGUUCGGCCGAACUCCUAUGGACUUCUAACUAGUUGGAAAGCUAGUGUAAAUCUCAUCAAUAUUUUUUGCACCGCUCUUAUAAAUUAAAUUUACUCCAUUAUCAAGAAAAAGACUAGUAUUCAAUAGACACGUUAAUGUGACAUAUAGAUGAUUGCUUAUUUCUUUCUUAGUCAUUUUUUUUUUAUGAAAGGAAAUAUUAUGUAUAAUUUUGGCAGUAUAUACUUGGACCUUUUUGCUAAGAUAAGAAAGAUCCUGUGAAGUACUCUUCAAAAUAUAAUACAUUGAGACACAAAAAGAGAGGGUGAUCCUAUUGCAUUAACUUCAAAAAAAACUUCUCAGGUUGCCUGUUUACAAUUUUAUUUAAAAGUUUCCCCCUCUUCUAUUCCACUAUCUAUUUCUUUUUACUCAAACUGAAAGUGAUGCUUAACUAUUCCAAUGUCAACUUUUACCAAUGUUGUGUAUAUAUACCAAAAAGAGGUGUACCCUUCUAAUUAAUUAAUCUAUGAUAAGCAUUUAUGGCCAUGGAGGUGAUUUUAGCAUAUUAUUGGGAGUCUUGAAUAAAAUUUCAUAUUAUUUAUUGUUGAAAAGAUUUGGAAGAUAAAUAUAUUGUUCUUAGUGGCGAAGCUUUUUGAAAAAUAAUGUGUGGGUUUAGUUAUAUUAUCCUACCAUGUUAAGAAUAUAUUUAGUCUAAAGUAGGAUUUUGCGGCAAAUAUUUAGCGAAAAUAAUAUGAUUGUUGUUAUAUCAUAUUAAGUGGCAUAAUAAAUAUAAGUAUUUGUAACCAAUGUUCUAUAUAAAUGUCGCUAAAGUACUUUAGCAAUUCUGAGAGCCAUGAAAUUAACUCAAUUACUGCCGAAAUGUUUUUGUGGCAAUGCUAAAAGAAAAAUUGUUUCCACAAAAUAUCUCUGUUAUGAUAGUUUUGUUGUCAAAGAUAGCAUGAAAAUGAUGCACACAAGAAAAAUCUAGUUCCAAUGUGGGCUUCAGUGACCAUAAAUGGUUGACCGUGUGGAUGGCACAUGACAAAUUCUCAAAAAAAUUAACCUAUGGAUUAUGGUAAUGAUCACAUGGAAUUUAGUUCAAGGGGAAAACUCGUGAUUAGUGGUAUGAGCCACGUGAUACUUAGAAGGGUGAUUAUUGGGUGUACAAACAAAUAUGCACAUUAAUAAUUGAAACGAUUUAGAAGAUCCGUAGGCAAGAAUACUCUUGAUAGUGUGAAUUUUUUUUUAAAAAAAAAUUAUUAGCUUAAUUUAAAGCAAAUAAGAGUAUCAUGUUAAAAAAAUAUCUUUAGGUUAGAUUACCCAAACACGCAUACAAAAUUUCAAAUAAAAAUUAGCACGAAUGUCCAGGUAUCCACCAUUAAUUUGAAAUUUAAUGGAUAAAUAGUCUAAAUCUUUGGAGUUUGAAAAUUUUCUGAAGUUCCAAAUGUGUUCAAUUUUUUCAUAGUUUUAACUUAAUAAGGUUCAAACUCAAAGAAUUUUUUAAUUUAUACUAUAAGUACUCCCUCUGUUUCACAAAGAAUGAUCUAAUUUGACUUGACACGAAAUUUAAGAAAAUAAAGAAGACUUUUGAAUCUUGUUGUUCUAAAUUAAAGUUAUGUUUAAAUGUACAAAACUGUCUUUUAAUCUUAUGGUCUUAAACAUGCCACGUGGAAAACUGAAAUUAAAAUGUUACAAAAAAAGAAGAAGAGGUCAUUCUUUUUUAAACAGACUAAAAAGGAAAUGAGGUCAUUCUUUUUUAAAUGGAGGGAGUAAUAUUUUUUGGUACAAUAUUGAGAAAUAUGCUAAAUCAUGUAUAAUUUCACUUAUUGUACCUCCUGACAUAAGUUUCGUAAAAAAAUAUUAAAGGAUUAAUAUUUCAUUCACCAUAAUCUUUAAAUUCCAAGACUAUUAUUGUACCUCUUGAUAUAAGUUCUCAAAGAAUAUUAAAGUAUUAUUUCACUCGAUAUAAUCUUUGAAUUCCAAAACUAUUAUUGUACCUCCUAAUACAAGUUUUCAAAGAAUAUUAAAGGAUUAUUUCACUCACUAUAAUCUUUGAAUUCAAAGACUAUUGUUAUAUCUCUUGAGACAAGUUUUUAAAAGAAUAUUAAAGAAUUAUUUCACUCUCUAUAAUUUUUGAAUUUAUAGACUAUUGUUGUACCUCCUGAUAUAAGUUUUUGAAAGAAUAUUAAAGGAUUAUUUCACUCACUAUAAUCUUUGAAUUCAGAGACUAUUGUUGUACCUUCUGAUACAAGUUUUUAAAAAGAAUAUUAAAGGAUUAUUUCACUCACUAUAAUCUUUGAAUUCCAAGACUAUUAUUGUACCUCUUGAUAGAAGUUUCUCAAAGAAUAUUAAAGGAUGGGCACCCUUCACUUCAAACACGGAGGUUGUGAGUUACGUUCGAGUCAUCAAGAGAGCAAAAAAGAGUGAGAGGUACUCGCUUCAAAUUUAAUUAAAGCAAGGAUUAUGUCCUAGAAUUCUAAAAAGUCUUGCUGUAAAAGAAAAAAAAAAAACUUGGAAGAAAGUAAAAAUCCAGGACUGUGUCAUAAAGUUCCAAAUUAUACAAUUGCAAUCUAAUCAUUACUGAUUGUUUUUGUUGCAUGUCUCCUCAGAAUGCAAAACAUAAUUCCGAUUUUCUGGGAGAUAUGAAGGAGUUGAACAUCACACAAAUUAACACCAAGUUUAACAGAUUCAAGAUGCAUCAGAGACACUACUCUUAUUUUGCACGAAAGCUAAUCAAGUAACGAAUUUCAUCAUAUAGCUAAAAUGACAUCUACGAAUGGAAAUAGUAAAUUUCAUCUUUCGAAAGAGGUGAACGGACUAUUUAGCCAUUGCAUAAUGCAACCCCUUAAUCGAAAGAGAAGAUAUGACAGUUCAAUUUUUAAAAUUAAUUCAUUAUGUAUUCUCGUAGCCUUUUGAUUUAGGUCGUACAUAUCUAGCCUUCUUUGUUGGUAGGAGGUUUGGUUAUUGUAUUUCAAUUAAAAGAAUGGACAAUAAUGAUCAGGAUCAUUUAAAUCCAAAAUUUUGAACAAUUGUGGAUUUACAAAAGAAUGUAUGUUAUGUACCCACCAUUGACUAAAAAAUACUGUAGUAAUAAGAAUACUAAUUUAUUUUUUUUGGAGAAAAUCUUGAAUAUGAAAUGGCUGCAUUGACUCUGGACAAAACAAUUGAAUAGACAGAAUAGAAAGAAAAAAAAAAAGAUCGAACCAAAAUCCUAAUUUCACCUUCUAAUUCGAACUUCCAGGGAAAAAAACACCACAAAAUGUUAAGAAUUUUAUAUUCCCAAAAACAAAUAAAAGAGAAAUAAAAAAAGAAGAGAGAUGUAAUUGCAUGGAAUAUAAAAUAAAUAGGCAUCAGUCACUCACAUACACAGAAAGAACUGAGAAGAAUCAGUUGUCAAUACCCUCCGGCGGCGGCUGCAGACAUCGAAGACUGUAACUGUAACAAAUGGCGAUAGCAGUCUGCUGCCGUCGGUCUUUGCUCCGGGUUAUGGUCCAAACACCUAUUCUGCAAUUCCCUCAGCAAUUUCGGCACCCCUACUAAUCCACAGCUCUUCACUAAUUGCCCUAUUCCCCAUACAUCCACUUUCACUCCAUGAUAAUUCCUUCCCAUCUCCGGCGGAUGCCUCCCGCUCCCCGUCGCCGCUGCUCCUCCGUGAGGAUACAGCUGCGGUGCUGUCACCGCUUCGUCGAAUCCCGUAAUGAACCAUUCGUUCUCCCUGUCGAUUCUCCUCAUCACUUUAUCCCAUCCCAAAUCCCUGUGCAUAAAUGAAAGAUCAUGUAGUGCGACUAAUGCUUUUGUGACCUGUUUCAAUGCUUCUAUUAAUUGAUCGCAAUUAACUGGCUUCAAUUUGCAACCUCUAGGCUUGAAUACCAAUGCGAGAUCUUUCUCCGAUGCCCUAACCACAAAUUCCGCGUGUGGGAUUCUAUGAUCGAGAAAAUCGUAUAUCUCUUUGAUCCCCAACCAUUUUCUCUUACUAGAAAAAUAUCUCACCACUGUAUUCGGAGUCAUUUCCAUGAAAUUUCCAUUCCCAAAAUCUGUUCGCUCAAAAUCCGUGUAUGGAAGAUGUUUAAAAUUACUCCCGUUACUGCUCACGUAAUGGAAGCAUUUAUCCGCUAAUAAUGGUAAUAAUCCAGCAAUUCUCCAGCACGGGACUAAAGCUUUUAAUCUUUCCACUGGUGUUGAUAGAUCCACUGUGUAAAGAUCCGUUCGGAUGAUUCGGUCCUGUGAUCGACUUAACGCACAGAAAGUAACAAUAAAUCCCACGGCAUAGUAACCCAACACGUAAGGAAGGUCCAUGUAACUCCAAAGGAAUUUCUCUACAAUAGAAGAGGACGGAUCUAAUUGACCUUCUCUUAACUGAUCAGUUUCCUCUCCUCUCCACAAGCAAAAAUUCCUUAAAAAAGCAGUAACAUUAGGCCAUUGAUCUUGUACGGUCUCCGCGAGAGACGAUGAAGAUUUCCGUACGAAUACCAUUUCGAUGGAACAAAACUUGGAUAUGAUCCUAUUAAUGCAAUCAUCCCAAAGGCCAAUGUAAGAAUCCCGAUCGGUAGCGGUUGCAGCGGUGAGACUAGGGUUUGAGCGCAUAAUAGAAGUCAAGACAUCGUAAGUGAUGCCUCUACAGUCUAAUAGCUCAGUUGAGGUUGUAAAAAAUAGUUCUCUCCCUUGAGGCAAGUCUUUGAACACGUCUCGUCGGAGAGGGAAACGGAGCUCCUCCGGUGGUGGCUGUUGCAAAUGCCACGAGAGCUCAAACAAGCUUGGAAGAGUAGGAGGAGGAGAUCUGAGACAGCCAACGUAGUACUCAGUUGGAUCUUGAAAUUCCCAAGGAGUAGUUGCUGCAAAUGUGUGAGCCAAUUUUAAAUUAUUUUAACUACUAUGAAAAAUUCAGUUGAAAAUAACAAGAUACUAUUAAUGGGAACUAUGGUAUAGACUAAUAUUAAAUUCAUUUAGCUUAGAAGGGGAAGAAUAGAAAAUUUAAUGAUUGGCUUUACACAAAUAGAAAAUUCUAAAUUUAUGGAAGAGACUUACAUCUGAUGGGAAAUUCAGAAGAGGGAAGCUGCAAUCUUUCACUGGGACCUAAAUUGAAUAGAAAAUUAAAACUGUUACAUCCUACAAGCUAAAUAUUGUAGUAGUACAAUAAAUGGACUUGAGCAAUUAGAUUAAAAAAAAUAAAAAUACCAGAAGGAGCAAGAGCUGGAGAAGAUUUUCUUCUGCCAAAGACUUUGAGUUGUAUUCCAGAUUGGAAUCUAUCAACUGAAAAACCUUUCAUGGGUCCAUCUUCAAAGGCCUCCAUAGUGCAAGCCACCAUAGAAUCAUCCAAAAAUGCAAUUUCAUCUGCAUUUAAAAAACUUGAACCUUGUAGUUUUACUCUACCUCUGUGAUGCUCACCUUCUUCAGCCCAUAAACUCACCGACUCCUCCCAUAUCAUCCUAAUCUUCCCGAUGCGCCGAAGCUCUUUUGAAGUAGUAGAAGAGGAUGGACCGCCGCCGCUUAUAUCUAAUGAAGAAGAUGGUACUGUUUCAAACCCUAAGAACCCACCUCUUGUUCCAUGAAUGAAUGUUUCAGUUCCACUUGACAAUACCAAUUGUUUUGCCCUCACUACAUCCACACAAUAUAUACAUGUCAUUCACAAAUCAUAAUAAUGUUAAUUGUUUUUAAAAUUAAUUGUUGUAUGUACGAUGUGAGUAGUUAAAUUAAAAGAAAGAUAAAUUAAAUGAGUAAUUAUUUUUUUGUACGAGUACCAGAGUGAGGAAGCUCAUCAUCCCUGAAGGGUGGAGGAGGAGGCAAAGACUUGGUAACAACGAGAGGUGUACGAAUAUCGUCAGCAAUAAUAUUGGACUGAGUUCCGAUUCUAGUUUGAGGAGUUCUCAUUCUUGAGCCCAUAAAUUGAGAUAAUUCUUCAAAUACUUCUUCAUCAAAUGAAGCUGGCAAUCUAUGAAUCUUCCUUUCGUAAGGGGAAAGUCUAAAAUAACUUUUUCCAAUUUGUUCCCUUUCAGCACCUCUCUCCCAUUCAUAAACUUUUCUGAAUUCACCCAACAUGUUGUCCCAUUUAGUCCCAGCAGUUUUAGCAUCUCUGUUAACUCCAUGCCUGUUGAGAAACUCAGCCACUUCUCUAUCUUUAUCAGCUCUCGUCUUGCCUCUCCCACUUCCUCCAGUGCCGCCGCCCGCGGCUGCUCCUGGAGAACCUUCUAGAUGAACGAGCUCUGAUGAUGAACCACUACCACUACCACCACCACCUUGGUACUGAAUUUUCCAAGCCCUAGCUAGCCACAACAUCUCGUUAGGUUUCCAAACCGGGCUCACGUAUUUUCCUUUCCUAAAUUGUUGGUGAACUUGUUCUCCUCCUUCGCUCUUGCUCGGCUCUGAAGAAGGCCGAGGAGAGUGAGAAGGAGAAGAAGCCGUGUCUGAAGAAGACGCGGUCGGUACUUGAGUUUGAGGAAUAUUGGUAGCGGUGGUAGUGUGAGCGGUAGGUGAUAUUGGGCUUGAUUCCGCACUCAGUAUAGUACCGGCUUUCUGCUGCUGCGAAUGAUGUUGUUGUUGUUGAUGAUGAGAAGAGGAAGACGAAGAAAUGAAUUUCCAUUGACUUGCAGUAUAUCUUGGCCGCUUUGUAUUAACAACUUCAAACUGUUGCUGUUCGAAAGAAACAGAAGUAGCAGCAGCAGUCGGUAUAUUAUAAAGUGCAGAAGAAGAAAUAUAAGGAGCACCAGAAACCACCGACUGCUGCGGCUGCUGUAGCGGUAUAGUAUUAUCUGGUGAAUCUUGUUCAUGAGGGUCAACUGGAGAGUUAGAUAAAUGUUGUUUCUUGGUGCUAUCUCCUUUGUUUUCAUCCAUCUCUUCAAUAAGGGCCCCAGAUGGAUGGGGAAAAAAAUACUAAUUAAACACACACACACCGCCCUAACUCUUCUUAGUCACAAAGUAAAACAAGAACCAUACAGAGUAUUGAGAAAAUGAAACCACCAUUACUUUGCUAGCUGUAAAACUAGAUCUGUUCUAUUUAGACUUUCUUUCAUUUUAAAUAUACUCCAUUUCAAUUUAUUUGUCUUAAUACAGGAGUAUAUUUUAUAAAUGUCUAAAUUCACAAUAAACAUUAGUUAAUUUAACUUUCAUACUCCGAAUUAAAAAAAAAUUAUAAAAAGGAUAUUGAAGAGACCUAUGUUGAAUCCUAGGGUAUCUUGAAAGGGAAAGAAAAGUGAGACUUGUAUAAGAAAAGGGCAGAGAAAGAAAAGUCGAGAUUGUGGAACCUGCAGUUGAAUGAGACUUGACCAUGAGCUCAAUUUUAACAGUAAAUGCCUCUCUUGUUAAUAUUUUAGUAUUAUUUUACUUGGUACUAAAAUCUGAUCAAAGUGGGGGCGUGUUUGGGGGGUAUGAAAGAGAAAACAAGUGUUUGAUUUGAGAGUAAAAGUAAUGAUUGUACUGAAAAAAACAGAAAAAUGCGGCUACGAAUGAGUUAACAUUCAUUCUUUUAACGAAGAAGCAAUUAAUGGUCUUUGUUUCCUCUGUUUGGACUUCUGUUUUUAUCAGAACAAGACUUGCUUUGGAUCUACUCCCAUACUUAAUUUUAUGUGUUUUCUUUCUCUUUAUUUACUAUUCUUAGACUCCUCGACUAAUCAAUGCCUCUGCCAACUGAUUAAUCCAUUGGCGCAUGCAUCUUCAUUAUUUCAUUUUUCAACCUAUUCCAUAAUUCACUACUACCUUUUCGAUUUCAAUUACUCUAUUCACAUUUUUAAUUACAUGUAAUCACUUAUUGAGAAAAAAUAAUCCUGUAGUUUGGCAUCUCCGGAGUAAAUGAGUGAUCAGUCCAAUAAUAUUUGUUCACUAUUGAUUCUGCACAUUAUUUAAAAAACUAUAAAUAAAAGGUAAUUUUACUAUAUAACCCUUUGAAUAUAAAAAAUAUAAUGCCUUGAAAAAUGUAAUAGGAAUAAAUUAGGAACUAAAUGUAAAAUUAUCCAGAAUUUCAUAAAGUGGAUAUUCCCAAUAGUAUAGUGGACAACUAUUGUUGGACGAGAUACCUUAUAAGUUAAGAGUUAAAAGUUAUAAAUUGAUCGUAUUCAAUUUUGGUCUUUUGGCUUAAGUAAGGGUCUAUUUGGAAAGUCACCUGGUAAUUGGAUUUGUUGUAAUUACUACAGUAGUAAUUAUCAGCCUAGUAAUUACAAAGUCUAGUAAUUAUGCUGACCUGUUUGGUUGCCUUAGUGUAAUUAAACUAUAAUUACACAUGUCAUGUUUGAAUGUCAUAGUGUAAUUACACAUGUUCUGUUUGGAUGCACAAUUGCAAUCAUAAAAAUUAUAUUAAAUUUAAAAAUAAAAAUUAAUUAUUUAAAAUUUAUACUAGACAAAUACGAAAGUUUAUAAAUGAUAUUAAACUAAAAAUUUAAGAUAUAUAUUAUUUUUUGAAAAUAUAUUAAUUAAUAAACAUAUGUUCUUAACUAAUAUUAUGAAAAAAUUAAUUGAUUUAUAUUUUUUCAAAUUAAUAUAUUUCAAUUGAAUUGAUCAUAAAAACUAAAAGUAUGAAGUUUCUACGAACAUCGUGAAAUGAAUGUUUGAUAAAAAGAUUAAUAUACAAAUAAAAUUUCAUAAAUUAUUAAAAUGUUUGACAAAAAGAUAAUCUAUCAACUUAAUUAAAAAAUGACUUACAAUGUGAAUUCAAUAUUAUCAAAACAAAUGAAACUGAAAAUAUAACAUAAGUUAUAAAUUUUAAAAAAAAAUUAACAUAAUACUCUUAUCGCAAAUUUCAACAUAGCAUACAUAAAUAUGAUUUAUUUUUAUUUUAAAAAAAAACGUAAGUCUAUAACCUUACUUAACAAUAAAUUCUAUUUUAAUUCAAAAAUUAGAAUACUAAUAAAAUUAUGCCAAUGAGAAAAUAAGCAUGGCAUAAAGAAAUAGAUAAUAAGAAAAAAUUGCAUAGAAUCACGUAGUAAGGUUGAGAAUGAGAAGAAAAUGAACUAUAAUAACAUAAAUAAAAAAUAAAAUUUUAGAAUAAUAAAAAUAAAAAAAGAACUUAAAAUAAUAGAAAUAAAAAAAUUAAAACAAAAAAAUAAAAAUAGAAAUAAAAAGAAGAAAAUAAAAAGUAAUCAGCUAGUAAUUACAUCAGCAAUUCACAUCCUCUCCAUGUGAAUUGGAGAGUGUAAUUAUCCCCCUGCCAAUUACACCAAUUAUCUGCUGACCAAGUAAUUACAUGUCCAACCAAAUAUGAUAGACAGUGUAAUCACACCCAAUUAGACCAAAUCCAAUUUCCAGGGUGGCUUUCCAAACAGGCCCUAAGUGCUUAAAAACACUUUUUGUUUUUUUCCAAACGCUUUCAAAAAUAAAUAAAAAUGUUUAUAGGUCAAAUACUACUUAAAAUAAGUCGAUUCUAACACCCAAAGAUUACUCUGUUUGUUUUAAUUUAUUUCACAUAUAUUGACUUGCCCGAAAUUCAAGAAAAUAGAGGAAAAUUUUGAAUCUCAUGGUGUUAUGUUAAUGUACCAAAAUAUCCUUUACAAUCUUAGGGGUCGUUUCAAUGAUAAUAUCAAAUAGUCCUGGGAUUAAAUUUUAGUGUCACUUAAUUUGUUGUUUAGUUGACAUGUUCAAGAUAACAUAUAUCAGAAUUAAUAGUUAGUAUCGGGAUAAGUUAUCCCUCUCCUUGAGUGGUAUAGUAAUUUUAAUACACAAUAUACAACAAUUCAAUAAUUAGGACUAGAAUUUCAAAAAGAAUCAGGAACUCAAGACACUAAAAUCUCAACAUCAACUCAUCUCAAGAAUAUUCAAAGUUAAGGAUAGAACCAUAGAUUACUCUUUUACUGAAUUUAGAUAGAUGCAGGACGUGAGGACUGAUAGCCUUACAUACCUGGGAAGAACAAAGUUCUUGGCGAAAUUGAUGGAAACUUGCAGAACACUUGAAAUCCUAACUUUUUCUACCCUUGAAACCUUUCUCGAAUGAUUUGAAGUGUUAAAGAAUGUAAAAAGGAUGUUUAACACUACUAAGACCCUUAACUAGGUGUAAAAGGGUCAGAAUUCAGGCUUAGAUGGGAUGAAAAAAGUUUGAAAUACCCUUAAUUAAUAGAAAACACACAACUCCAGGCGUGUCUAAUGGAGGUCCUAACGGAAAAAAACCUCGUCAAGAGGUUGACUGCCCAUCAUCUGUCAUCGUCAAAGUCACCUAAAAUUUUUGCAUGUGUGACGGACCAAUUGACGGUCUGUCACAGGUUUGACGGCCCAUCAGGGCUGUCGUCGGCAAUUAUUUUACACUUGGCUCUAUUUUCAGCGACCUUUUUCCUUUCCAUGUUCCGGGUCCUUACAACAACAAAUCAAACACUUAAUAAGAAAUAAUCUUAACAUAACUAAUCUCAUCAUAACUAAUCAUUUCAUAACUUGUAUUCAAACCAAACGACUCCUUAUGGUAUUAAAAAAUGUCAUGUGGAAUGUUAGAAUAAAAUAUAGGAAAAUUACGCGGUUAAGCAAACUUAUACUACUUAAUUACUCAUCAUAGCUAUAGUUUGCUAUAAUUACCACUCGCGACUAACAUUAUACAUUUAAUUACGUGGGCUAACUUCGAGUUUGUAUAAUUAGCCUACGUUUGUAUAUGUAUAAUUCGCCACAUUUGUAUAAUUCGCAGCUAACAAUUCUUUGUUUGAUUUGUAUUUGUAUGUGAUUGUUUGUAUUUGUAUAUGACGAUGAUUUCCUUUGAUUUUUUCAGUUUUGUCAUCAUAUACAUUCAAUCUUUUUGUGUAUAACUUUUUAAAGUUUGUAUAUACAUGUAGUUUUUGGAUUUUGUAUAGUAUAAUUUAUAUAAUGUAAUUUGUAUAAUAUAUUUUGUAUAAUUGUUUAAAGUUUAUACGUUUAUGUUUGUAUCAAUUUGUUAUUUCAAGUUUUAUUAUAUUUGUAUAAUUUCAGACUUUAUAUUAUACAAAAACACGUGAAUUAUAUAAACGUACCUACAAAUUAUACAACAGAUGAAAUUAUACAAAUUAUUGUCCUCUCUUGCUCGCCUCUCUCUACCCUCUCCCAAUCUCGCUCGCCUCUCUCCUCCCUCUCCCAAUAUCGCUNNNNNNNNNNNNNNNNNNNNNNNNNNNNNNNNNNNNNNNNNNNNNNNNNNNNNNNNNNNNNNNNNNNNNNNUCUCUCAAUCUCGCUUGCCAUAUAUACAAAUACAUAUGUAUAAUAUACAAUUAUCUAACCGAUAUACAUAUACAAUUCACCUCUCUCCCACUCUCUGCCAUCUCUUGCUCGCCUCUCUCCUCCCUCUCCUAGUUUCGCUCGCCACUCUCCUCCCUAUAUCAUGUAUCUACGAAUCAUAUUUAGAAAACUAUAGUUAUGGAGUAUAAUUAUGCUAUUUUUGAGUGGCUAUAUGCGAAAGUUUUGCUUAAAAGAAAAUAUACCGUUCUUUUUAAAACAGACUAAAAAAAUGUAGAUCUAACAAAUUGAAACAAAUAAAGUAUUUACCCUAGUCCUUACUUAUAAACUAUUAUCAAAUUUAGCCCCCACUCUAUUUUUAUUACAAUAAAAAACAUUACUUGAUUGCUUGAGUAGUGAACAAGUUGUGCUAAAACUUAAUUGGAAGCCAUUGAAAGUUCGCUUAAGCUUUAGUUUGAAAAUUUGAAUUUUCAAAAAUAAAAUUGAAUUAAGUAAUUGUUGAAAUAAAUUAGAUUCAUCCUAAGAGUUUGAAUCUCAAAUUUGAGACAAUUUAAGGUGGUUUGAAUUGGAAAUUCGAAGAAGAUCUUGGAAUAAGAUGACAUAUUUAUCUUUCGCGUAUUACUAGUUUAUUCCAUACAUAUGUAUCUGUUGUGUAAUUUUUUUUUGUAUAUCUAUGUAGACUGUUGUGUGGACUGCAAGUGACAAACGUUUACCCCUAGUUACUCCUGAUAAAACUCCUUGCAUGUGGUAACUUUUUUUUUUUUUUUUGUGUGGGUGGGAGUGGGAGGGAGUAUUCCUAUAGUUGAAAAAAAUACUAUAAUAUUGAUAUUGAAUUGGAAUUAAAAAUAGUAAUUAAAUUAUCAUAAACACUGUGUUAUGGAAGCAAUUUCCAUCUGACUUCGAUGCAAAACAUUAAGGUCGGUCAGUCUCUAAAUUUCCACAAACUCUUUCAAGCACGCACUCAUGGUUGAAAGUAGUGCCCAGAAGUUCACAAAGACUAGGAAGUAAAAGAGGGAUAAAGUAUAUGAGACAGAAAGCCAACAAAAGGGAUAAAAAUUUCUUUAUGUGAAUAUGUUGUCUUAUUAGGAGAAGACAACAUAUAUAUAUAAGUGUAGGAAUUGCAUGUUUUGGUGAGGAAAUAAAUGAGAUAUCCGUUGAGAAUGAAUUUGUACAUAAUUCUCAUCAGCACAAUUAAUUCGAUAGAAUGAAUAUGAAAUUUUACUUUGCAUAUUCAUCUGCACAAUCAAUUUAUGUGAAAACGCUAACAAUCGUUCGUAUAUGUAAAGGAAAGAUGAUAGGAAUAAUUUCUAGGCAAAAGAAAGGAACAUGUACUUCAGCAUUAUUAAUAUAUUUUGAUAAGAAUUGACACGUAGUGAAAUGAGCCAACAACAAAUAUUCAUCAAGUGAAAUACUCUUGAACUAAAUGAACAUAAGUUGAGACCUCCAUAACACAUAUCAUAUUCUUGAUUUUAUACAAAUUCCACGAUACUAACAAAUUAAAGUGUUUUUAUGGUCAUGCACACAUACCUUGGAUCUUAUGAAUGCUCUAGAAAGACGACUCUCAAGUCUUUCAUAAAAGGCGACCAUUUCUUUGCACUCAACAUAGGUGAUUCCCUCAAGUGUAUCUCAAAUAGACCACCUGAAGGCAAUAGAAUCAUUAGGAGCAAAGCAAGAUCAAUCUUAUAAAACACUACCUCACGUCAUAGGAAUUAAAAAUAAAAAAAGGUGUAUAUUGAGGCCUAAUGGGUCCACCACACUACCUCAAUUAAUGGGUUUUAGCCCCAUUCCCCUCGACGUUUUAAGGAUCAUUUUCCAUGUCAAAUCCUUGGUUAAAGGAUGCACUAAAUUUCUAUCAGACCUUACAUAUUUCAAGUAAAUAACAUUAUGUUUCAACAACUGUUUAAUUACAUCAUAUUUCUUUUCCAAACUAUUCCAUAUUUCCUUAGUAGAUUUAUAAGUAACAAAUAAAUCAAAUAAAGAAUCAGUAUAAUUUUGUAACCUUUUUUGUUGUUGUUGUAUAGAACUCAGAGUCAAGCCUGUAAUCUUCUUAUCGAAAAUUGACAAAAAUACAAAGAGAAAACAAUAAAUUUGUACCAAUCACGAAACAAUAAAUUCACCAAGGCCAAGUUGCUUUCGAUGAACUCAUUUAUUAAUGUACAUUGUUUAGAUUUGUCCCCCAAAAGUAUCUGUGUGGAGUAGCAUGUUACGUUGUUGUAUAUAUCUAACUAAGUCUGCCAUAUCUGUUAUAAAUUUUACCAAAAAAAUGGAUCAGCAGGUUGGUUAUUUUUCCAAUUGUGUUUGUUUCCUUAUUUAGUUAAACAUAGCUAUUAUAUUUACAAAUACAUAAUUAUAAUAUUUAAAUAUCAUCAAACAUAACAAUAAUUAAGGUUUUAUAACAAAUUCCUAAAAAGGAAAAGAAAAAGUAAACACGACUCCCACCAUCAUUCCCCCCACCCCCCAAUCUAUUUUCUCUCCUUCCAGCGGAUCCAGAACUGUCACUAGGACGACCUCAAGGAAUUUUCCUUGACGCUUUAUUCACUAGGUUAAGUGCAAAAUUUAAAGGUUUUUCCUAUACAAGAUUCUUAACAUAUACUUUUCAAAGGAAUUAAUGUAUUUUUACUAACACUUUAUUUUCCUAUUAUAAGCUAGUCCAAGGAGAUGGGACAUAUAGUCUAAACUCUCAAUUUUGACUGAUUGCUCUCUGGAAUAGAACACACGAUCUCAAGCAAUUUUUGCAGUUCAUUAACCACUAUAUUAAAUCUUCAACUUGUGUUAAGAUAUAUAUAUAUAUAUAUAUAUAUAUAUAUUUAUUAAAUUAAAAUUAAACCUCGAUAUAUAAUAUAUAAUAUAAUUUUCCGACUUGGUCAAUAUAAUUGUCAGAUCUAUUUGAAGAAUUUAGUAAUUUUUAAAGUUGUAUCUAGAUUUUUUAGGGGUUGCAUCAGUAUCUAGAAUUGAGUGUUUUGUUAAUCUCUCCUAAUAAGUAUUGUAUCUAAAAAUGUUUUUGGGUUAUAACAGUGUAUCUAGUAAAAUUGAGAAAGUGUAUAUAACAAAAUUGAGUGCUUAGUUGAUUACUCGAAUUGAAUGUUGUAUAUGAUAUAGAGUGACAUGCUCCAAAAUCACUGUAUCUAGCAAAAUGAGAAAAUAUUGAUACAACUAGAUUGAACGAAUAAUAUAGUGUAUCCAAUUAAAUUAAGUUAACAACACAACAAAAUUGUUGUAUUAGUAAUACAAUGCGAAUUUCAAGAGAUUAUAUAUGAGAUACAAUACGAAUUUCAGACUUGUUGUCACGCAUCGUAAUUAUCAAAAGUGUUACUAUGUAUGGUAAAAUCAACACCAAAGUAGCGCUAUUUGUGAAAUUCCUCUAAUAAAAUCAACCCCCCAAACUUCCCCUUCCUCAACCCCUUUAAUUCAACUGGCUUAAUUCCGUUUAAUUUAUUGGUAAACUAGACCAACUUAUAAAUUGACAAUUGACUCAAAAUUUUCUAAAAUUCAGAAAAUAACAAUGAACCUAAAUAACUUAUUAAAAUGGGAUAGAGUACUUUCAAACAAUUUAUAUUUUGUUCCAACAGCUAAACAAAUAAAUGAAAACCUUAACUAUUUGCUAUAUCAACGGGUUUUGACCACUGAUAAUUUUUGAACUAGUAAAUGAAGUCAUGAUUCACGUUGUAUUAUAUAAAAAGUAGGCAGAAGUUUUGGAUUCGAAGAUAAAGAAUAUCUGAAUAUGUUACUACCACUAAAAAAAAGCAGAUUUAUAUAAACUUAUGUCUCAAUUUACGUGAAAUUCAUUUUUAGUCAGUUUUUAAAAAAUAUACUUUUUCCGUCUCAUUUUAUGUGACACUUUUCGGAUUUCGAGAUUCAAACAAGUUUAAUUUUAACCGUAAAUUUUUUGUAGAUCUUUUAAACAUUUUGAAUUAUCAAUUGUUGUGAUUUCUAGUACUUUUUAUGUAGUUUACAAAUAUAUAAAUUUCAUUUCAAAAAAAUUGAAGAUUUCAUGCGCAAAUUCCCGGUCAAACUUAAACUGUUUAACUCUCGAAAAAUAAAAAGUGCCACAUAAAUUGGGACAGAGGGAGUACUAUUUUUUUAUAUUUAGUAUUUUCUCUGUCCUAAUUUGACAUCUUUUGAAUUUUGGAGAUUCAAACAAGUUUAUCUUUGAUCGUAAAAUUUUCAUACAUUUUUAAAUAUGUUGAAUUGUCAAUUAUUGUAACUUAUACUCCCUCUGCCCCAUUUUAUGUGAGGUAGUUUGACUCGAUACGGAGUUUAAGAAAUAAAUGAAGACUUUUAAAACUUGUGAUCCAAAAUGAAUGAUAGAAAUGUGUGUGGCUGUAAAUCAUAUCAUUAAUGGUAAAAUAGACAUCUUAUAGUUAAAUUGUUACUUAAUAUAAAAAUGUGUCAUUCUUUUUGGAACUCACUAAAAAGGAAAGUAAAUCACAUAAAUUGGAAGAGUAAUACUUUUUACAUAGUUUACAAAUUUAUAAAUUUCAGUUCAAAAAACUGAAGAUACCAUGCGCAAAUUCCUAAUAAACUUAAAUUGUUUGACUAUCAGAAAUAAAAAAUAUCACAUGGAUUACAAAGAGAGUAACAAUUUGAUUUUAAACUGUUCAUUUCACCCUUAUAAGAUGAUCUAUGACACACAAACAUUUUUUAGACCAUAAAUUUUAAUUUUUUUUCUUUAAUUAAACAAUAUCACAUAAAUUGAUCUAUAUAGACGCACAAACAUUUUUAGAUCAUAAAUUUUAAAUUUUUUUAAAAUUAAAUAACUUCACAUAAAUUGAAACUAAAAAAGUGAUUGACUUGAAAACGCACAUGAGAGAAAAAAUGGGAGGAAAAAAAAACACUUUGGUAGACAACAGGCAAGUGGAGCAGUGGAUAAAUAAACAAGCCCCAAGUAAUAAGUAUACAAAGCUGGCCGGCCAGAGACACUCCGCUCCCUCGAUACCUAGCAACCCGCAUUAUCUUUUCUAAUUAGACUCGUAGUUGUGAGACAAAUUCAAAAUUUAUAUUUAAUGAAUUAUAUCUUUAUAAUUUUAUUAUUAUAGUGCUUUUCUGUAGUUUCAAAUGUGUAUAAUUUAUUUUUAAAAAUAUAAAUACUUCAUGUCCAAACUCACAAUUAAAUUUAAAAAUUCAAUUCUCGAUAUUCAAUACUUGAUAGUGGCACAUCAUUGAGACAGAUGGAGUAUUUUUUUUUUGAAACUAUCUAAAAAGAAAAACAGAUAAAUAUGACUAUAUUAUAUCUACACUAUAUAAUUCGAGUCUUAAACAAGAAUUUGAGCUACGUUAAUUUGCUAGUUUUACAUUCAUCAAAAUCAAAUAGUCUAUAUAUAAUUUGAGUGAUAUAUAGUUGAAUUGGUUCUUUUGCUCCAUAGGUUUUUUUUUAUAGAUUACACUUAUAAAUGUUGCCUAAAUUCUUAAUUAUGCAUUUGAGAAAAAGUGUGAAUAUUGCAAGUCCUAAAAAUAAAAAGGCUCUGUCUAAGUUUACCUUUUGCCGUCUCUUGUUCACAUGAAGAGCUAAUUUAUGGCAAUAAUUCACAGACCCUAGCUAAUAGUUAAUUAUUAUAAUGCAUUUAGCUUAGGGUUGGCAAUAAUCACAUAUACUUUAUCUAUUACGCAGAUCAUCAUAGGCUCCAAAUCCUAUUUUCCUUGACCCCUAAUUUUAAAAAGUAAGAGAAGAAUUAAUUGAUAUUCCUAAGAGAAUGUGAGAUAACCAUCAUUAUCGUUGUUAUAUAUCAAGCCGUAAAUAAAAUCGAGUAAAAACCACUACAAGAAAAGUGUGAAUUACAUGGAAUUUUCCUGGAGAUUAGUAUUCUGUAGACAACUUAUUUUCCUACAAAUUUUCAUACUAAUCCCCAGAAAAAUCCCCAUGUAAUUUACACUUUUCUUGUAGUGACCUAAAAGAUAUUAUGCACAAAAAUUUAGAAACAUGUGAAGUGAUUUAAACUUGUUUCAAGUAAACGAAGAUAUCAAAAUAAAACACCUCUAUGGCAUAUAUAUAUAAAAGAAAUCAUAUGUGAUAUACAUAAUAGAAAAUAUAACGGUUUGUCAAUUGUCAUAGACAUCAUUACAACACGAGUAUAUCAUAUUUUCUAUUAUGUAUAUCACAUAUGACUUCUUUUAUAUAUAUAUAUAAAAGGAUAUACUCGGUAUACAGUGGAGAUAUACAGAUAAAAAUCCUUUUUAGUUUGAAACUCAACUCAAAUCCAUCUCAAAUCACCUUCGAAAUUGUUACCUUUAAGACGUUCCCAACAAAAAAUUUAAAUUUUGUUUAGAAAAAGUUAGCAAAAGGGCCGUGAGUGAAAAAGAGAAAAGAAUCUACAUAGGGAGGAAUUUUUUUAGAAGAAAGUCUAAUUGGAAUAAAAAGAAAAAGGAAAAACAGAAGAGUUGGUAAUAAAUACAAAAAUAAUAUCAUGAGAGGGAGGCAAAACAAAUCAAUAAGAAAAACUACAAUAAAAAUUAUCUUAGGAUAAAAGAAAAAGAUUUUUUUUUAUAAAAUCUUGUUUACUAGCAAAAGGAUCGCGAGUGAAAGAGAAAAAGGACAAUCUACAUAGGGAGGAAAUUUUUUAAAAGAAAGUUCGAUUGGAGUAAAUUAAAAAAGAAGAAGAGAAGAGUUGGUUUUAAAAUAAAAUAAUAAUAUGAUGAGAGGGUAUCAAACUCAGGCAUAGAAACGAAUCAAUCGAACGACUUUGAUCACUCACAUACAAGUUACAACCAUAGUAUCAAUUAAAUAAUUUAUUACAUGGAUACUCUUUUUUUUAUUUUUUUUAUUACAUGGAUACUCACCUUUAAUUUUAUAAGUUUUUUUUAACUUCUAUAUAAAUAUAUACUAUAAUUUAAUAUGAGGUUAGUAAAUGCUGGAAUGGUCAGAAGGCGUAAUGUGAAUGAUCUUAAUGAUAAUAAUAGCUUAAAAAAAUUCAUAAUCAUCAUCUCAUUAAUAAAGGUAUUUCAAAUCAUUAUUUAAAAGUUUUAAAACCAUGACCAAAGCCAUUGAAUAAUGUUUCAAAUCAAUAGCUCAUUCAUUAGAGAAAAAACAUGUUGAUAGUCAUUACUUCAAAUUCACCCCAACAAAUUUCACUAAUGGAAAAAAAUAUGUUCCUACGAACAAUGUUUUCAAAAUAUAGAAAAAUUUAAAAGAAAUAUUUUCUUCCGUAUCGAACACGCCCUUAAUUUCAUGCAUUUUAAUUUUGGGAGAAGGUCAUGGUUUUGCAUGCACGCUACAUAACUGUGACCUUUAUAGUUGCUAGAGUUUAGGUUGGUUCACAUAUAUAUAUUUAGCAUAGUCUCCAACAAAAACAAAUUUGCACAUGGAAGAUUAUCUUACAAAUAAGGAAAACAAUUUGAUUGAAUCAAGAAAGCAGAAUUUAUAAUAUUUUAUUGUACAUGUAGUAGUUUAUAGAAAGUGAAUACCAGCGUUAACUUGUUGUAAUCUAAACCUUACUCAAAUAAGUAAUAACCAAACUACAAAAUUACGUUAACUCAUAGUAAUGAGCUAGUGUACUUUGAGUAAAAUUGUUACGUGCGUAUAUCUUUCUUUUAGGAAAACGUUUAUAUAAUAGGAAAAGGAGUAAUUAAAACAAGUACAAAGGGGAAAAGAAGAAAAAGGUAAAUGAUUGAGCUAUUGGAUAGCUUUCUAUACUAUAUGAAAGGGCAAACAAGAACUAAAAGAAAGUAAAGUGAAGUACACAAAAAUAAUUAUAAUAAUAAAUAAUUGUUACUUAUUACUACUUUACUAUUAAUAAAUAAAUUAAAUGAUUGUAAUGUUUGGUAAAUGUUUAUGGUCUUAUUAUUUAGAUUAGAUCUUUGGAUUUUUAGGUGCAACUUACAAAGCAAUACAUACAGAACAUAAUAAAUUAGUAGUUUUAGAGUCAAAUGUUGUAGUAAUAAUUUUUUCAAAUGUUCUCUAAUAUUUUAAAUAGUUAACUAGUGUGAUUACUUACGGUACUUUUAUAAUUUCUAAAUAGGUAAAAUUUAUUUUUAAAAAUAAUGAAGAUUUUAUAUCCGAAUUCAUACCGAACAUAAUUAAUUUGAUCCUCGUAUUCCAAAUGAUCACAACAAUCAUUUUAGGGUGAAGGGAGUACUAAGAGGUCGUUUGGUAGAUGGUUUAGAGAUGAAUUAUGCAUAAAUAAUAUAUAUCAAGUUUGCUAGCUGAUUAGGAGCUAAGUUAUUCUUGUAUAUAUAAAAUUAAUACGGUAUAUGACUUACAAUUUAAUUAGAAAUUCGCACAACUAAUACAUGUAUAAGUUAUAUAUGGAAGAAUUCAUGUAUAAUUUGAGAAGGGUAAAGAUGAAAUAAGUAAUACAUGAAUAACGAAAUCCUGCAUAAUUAAUCAUUGCAUAACAUAAUACAUAAAUUUCCUCAUAACGAAGAAUAUUAGCAAGUCAUGCAUUAUUCUAAUCAGUUAUUAAACGACUCCUAAUCAUAUAAAGAUAUUUUAAGCUUUAUUAAUAUAAGUUAAAUCUAUAAUGGAAAAGAGGGCAAAUAUACCACUCAACUUUGAGAUUUAGAGCAGAAUAUAACCCUCGUUAAAAAAUGGUGUGUAUACAUAUUCAUGUCGUCUAACAAAUGAUACAUUUUUACCCUUUUUCGUUAACAUAUCUAUAUUUACUUAAUUAAAACGAAAAUAUACUAGUUUUUUAAUUUCAAAAAUGUCACUUGGUUUUCAAACCUUAUCUCACUGCUUUUUUACACCUCUAGUCCCGAUGCAAAUAAAAAAAAACAUUUUUUCUUCUUACUCAGUCAUAAAAUAAUUUAAAUCGAGUUUGAAUAGAUAAAGAAUUGUGCUUUUUUCAAUUGGAUUGGGUUUGGGUGUGUUAAAAAAUGGAUAAGGUAACAUUGUUAAAUCAAGUGACAUUUUAGGAAUCUAAAACUACUUUUAAGGAUUUAAAAAAAAAAAUUAGUUUGUUAACGAAAACAAAAAAAAACAUACAUCUAUUAAACGAUGAAAACAUAUAUGCAUUAUUGAUUAAACGAUAAAGAUAUACACAUAUCAUUUUAGCUAAUGAUAAUAUAUCUAUUUUAAAUAGCAAAAAUCAAAAUAUAUAUCCCCCCUAAAUACCAAUCUCUAUAUAAAAUAAUAACGCCUCUAAAACAUGCAAGUGCAACUAGCUAGAAAUUACUAGAAUUAGCUAAUUUUAUUUUACUAUAUGUGGCUGAACAUGUGAUUCUGAUAAUUUUGAUUUCAUAUGAGAUAGUGGACGUAGUCACGCAAGAAAUUAAAGCAGAAUAUAUAAUGGAAUUGUCAUCAUGUUUUUUCUUAUUAUAUCAAAGUCUCUCGUGACUGAUCUAUUCAAUUCAGCCUGCGAUGGAUGGAGUGACUUUGCCUUUGCCUUUUGCAUGCAAAUUGAAACACCUAUCUAAUCAUCCUAUCUCCCUAUGCAUCUAUUCAUCAUCACUACUCUUAAUAAAAGCCUGCAAAUUUUAAACUAACUUGGACCAUCAUAUAAUAACCAUCAAACUAUGGAGUAGCAUUUUUGUUUUCCUCAUUUUUUACUUUCUUUUUUUUUCCCUAAAAAUAUUGUUAUACUCUAUAAUCAAAUAUAUUAGGAUUAUUUUAGUAUAGUUUUCUUUGUCAUCUGAUUAAUCGCUUCUAUAACUUGUAGUAUUACUAAUUUUCAUAUGUUGCUUUUCAAUCUUAGCAAAUGACAUUUGAGCUGAUGAUUCUAUGGUUCAGGUUCAACGAGGUCAAAAAACUUGGUCUAAUGUGGUUUCAAAUAAAUUGCAAACAAUUUGAUGAUAAUAAUGAUUAUAUGUAGCUACCUUAUGGAAUUUUUUUUAUUGAAAGUACCUUUGAAUUUGACGUAAAUUAUUAGUUUUAUCUCUGGAAUAUUGACCGCCUUAAAAGCACUCGAUUUGCCACAUAACAUAACAAGUGAUCUCAAACCCUUGUACGAGUAUAGUGCUCUUUAUAAAAAUCCAAAAAAAAUUGUUGAAAACACUCCAAAACUUGGCAAGAAUGUAAGAUUGUAUUUCACGACCUCAUAUUACAAGAUCAGAGUUGUAUUUGAAUUCAAUUAAUUAAAUAAAGAGAUAAUUUUAAAAAUAUCAAUUUAAGAAUAAAACUAAUAACUCACGCUGAAUUUAUGAGAUUUCAAUAGUCCGUCUAAUAACAAAAUCCAAUUAUAACAUUGAACAUUCUUGUUGCUAUGGAAGCUAUACCUACCUAGGUAUCUAUGUUAAUAAAAGGCUGCAAAUUUUAUAGUGAGAUGGACCAUCAUAUAAUAACCAUCAAAUUAAACCAUCUGUCACCAAAUCAAAGUAGUACGUAGUGGGUAGGUGGGGGUGGAGGAGGUUCUUAACUUUCACAAAAUUGGCACAAACCGUUAGGAAAAUGAAGAAUGACAAGUAAUAUUUUGGAAUAUAUAGCUAUUCUUUUGGUGUUAGAGCUACUCAUAUAUACUUACUUGUAGGCCGGCGACUCUCCUUUUCACAUGACUACGUAGGUUGCAAUCUCUGCACCCUUUGUCCCUUUCUUGUUUUUCUUUGUCUUUUAAUUUCAAUAUUCACUCAAAUAUGAUACAUAUAAUAGUGUCUCGAAAACAAGCUACAAUAUAUAUAUAAAAGGUGUUACAUAUUAAUAUGCAUCAUAUAUAUGCAUUGCCACAUUGUGCAACAACUUCUUCUGUCUGUUGGUGGGUAUUAUAUUAUAUGCCCUUAUUUCAUGUUCUCAUUUAGAGAGCCUCAUUAAUUAUGUUAACAUAAAGUCUUAUGUUAGUGGUUACAAUUGUUGGCUAUAAUGUUACAUUUAGCAGCAUAUAUAAAAGUGCUAAAUGUAAUAUUAUUGUCCGAAGUUUUGAACUCUAAUUUUUGUUCAGACUUUAUUGAGUUAUAUAUUGUAAGUGGACUUUUGUAUUUUGAAAGAGACAAGUGAAAAAGAUUAUUGUUGGACCAAUAAAAAAUAUUACUCCAUUGGAACACCCAAAUUACACAUUCGAAAACAAGUAUAAAUCAAUUGAUCCCAUAUUGUUUUAAGAAUAAUUUAAAUUAUUUUUUCACUUUUAUUAGACGAUGAAAAAGAUUAUAUUUAAGUCAUUUAUAUAACGAUAAAGAAAUACCUGAGAUUGUGUAACAAUAAAAAUAUAUAAACUAAUUUUUUAACAAAUGAUAUAGUAUCACUUUUAAAUCGCAAAAUUUAAAAACAGAGAAGGGCCUAAAAUGCCCCUCAAGUAUUUGAAUUGGUACAAAAUUACCCUCCAUCCACCUAUCGGCCCUAAAAUACCCCUGAGGCCCUGACGUCCACCUUUCGGCUAAAAAAUACCCUUAUGUCUAACGGAUCAUACUCAUUAGGUGGAUGGAGGGUAAUAUUGUACCAAAUCUCAUAGUUUAAGGGCAUUUUAAGCCCUUUUCUGUUUAAAUAAUUUGAAAUUAUUUAAUAUAUAAGCUCACAUGAUUGACUUGAUUUUGAAUUUCAUAGUAAAUUUAAAGUUAUAAAAAGGUUAGACAUCUACUCUCUACACUUCUCCCUCCCCAACCCUUCACUUCCUAUCUCUUCCAAAAAAAUUUCUAUUUCGAUCUUGUCCGCCAUUUCGAUUAGUCGAGGUAAGUAUAGAGUUUAGUUGGAUCCUCAUUUAUGAGUUGGGUUACAUUAUAAUAAAUUGGGGUUGAUUUAAAAUAGGCCAAUAGAAGAUAUCAUGAAAUUAAUUAUUUUUUCAAUAUUAUUUUCAAGUGUAUCGGGUCAAAAUUCGAAUCAUAAGUGGUAUUAUAGAAAAAUAGAAUUUCUAAAAAUAUCAUUUUUAUUAUUUAUUUGAGAAUGAUUUAAAUUUGGACCAAUCACAUUAAGCAAUAUAAUAAAUAAAUAUUUAAUAAUUUUACUUUAAAGAAGCCAUUAAAAAUAAGGGCAAAUCUGAGUCAAAGGAUUAACAUCGAGGGUAUUUUUGAGCCGAAGGGUGGACGUCAGGGAUAUUUUAGGGCCGAUAGGUGGAUGAAGGGUAAUUUUAUACCAAUUCAAAUACUUGAGGGGCAUUUUAGACCCUUCAAGUCCUUUUCUCUCUCUCUAUAUAUAUAUUUUAUUUAUUUUUCUUUUUUCCGAAGCAUAAAGUGCAUUACUUCAUAAGUAUUAAAAGUCCUUCCCGUCCCUUGUAUAAAAGGAACAAUACACAGUCUCUUCAAAUUUACGUAUCAAAAAAUAAGAAUUAAUUAUUCCUUCCGUUUACUUUUGCUUGUUUAUAUAUAUUUUUUAAAAUCGCCCAACAAAGUUUUUACCAAAAGCACAGAUGUUUUGUUGGGCCCUAAGCAUGAAAGUGCACUACAUCAUAUUUGAAAUCCUUGCCGUCCCUUCUAAAAUAAAAAUAAAAGGAGCAAUAUACCCUCUUCUAAUUUUUUUUCCAUAUAUACUGUUAAUAUUAAAUAACUAUAUAAAAUAUUAUGUCAAAUAUAGAGUUCAAAAAUAUCAUAUUGAUUCGGACAUGCCAAAUGAAUAUGCAGUAAUGUAAAUUUUAAUUAAUAAUAUGAUGAUAACAUCCCUCGUGGCCUUUAUUAUUAUGAAACUUGUUUUGUUAGAAAUCUUUUUUUCUUUUUUUUUUGUAACAAUGGUAAGGCAUCAAAAGCCGGCCGUGGGAUUUGAAUACAUCAUAAAUAAAAUAGUUUAUGCAUAAGAGAGGAAAUAAUUAACAACUAAAAAGUAAAAACCAUCUAAAGGUCAACCAUAAUAAUAAUUUUAAGAAAAAAUGCGACUAUCAAACGUAAGAUUGUAGAUGAAUUAUAACAAUCAUCAAUGCUGAAGUAUCUAGGUCUCAAUGAAUUAGCUAUUGGUAUAAAUGCUUUCUAGAGUAACCCCUUUAUUUAUUAUCUUGCUUUUUAUCGUUCCCGUUAAUUUUCAUUAGUAUGAAUUUAGGAAUAAUGAAAAAUUAUUUUUUAAUUAUAUCAACCAAAUCGAUUCGAAAGGUAGAAAUCAACAAAAGAAAAAGUAAGUGGACAUGACAUAUUGAAUCAUGAGUUUAAGUUUUGUGCAUCGUCAGUGUACAAAAUUUUCUACACCAUCAGUUACUUUUAAUGAGAUUUAACCAUAGUAUUAAUAAAAUAACAUUUAACUAAAAAAAAAAACAAUACAACAAAGGUAGUUGAAUCAGACUUGGAUUCUAACCAAAAUUAUUUUCAUAACUAAAUUAUUUUCUUCCAAAGUACGUCACUUUCUUCCCAGGGAACUUCAACUCCUAUAUUUUGCUCAUCUACGUUUAACUUUUCCAUUAAUCUUGCAAAAUACAAUUAUAAAUGUUAGAUAGCUUACAAUUAAUUAUAAAUCUGAUCAUAUAAAUAGUCAACAUGUUUAGUAAAAUAUAUUUAAUAUUAGUGAAAGUUCAAUAAAUAAACUCCUUCCCAAUAAUCUAAAGAGCAGAGCUUAAGUAUUGGGGACAAUAUGAAGACACUUUAAGAUACAAUAUUCACCUUUCAGGAGACUAUGUUCACUUGUUUUUAGUGCAUUGAAAUUCUUCUGCUCGUGAAGAUAUGUUUAAAAGGGCUUUUUUUAUGUUUCUAAAUGAGAAAAAUGUGAAAUUUGUUCUAAUUGCAUGACGAUAUAUCACUAAGUAGAAGAAGCGUGUCAAGUUUCAAAAUUGUUUGACACUUUAAAAAUUAUUUCUUACCGGUUGUUGGUUGACAAUGUUUGAUGUUGUGAAAAAGUUUGAUGCUGUGAAGAAUUACUUGAGCUAUAGAAAAAAGUGAAAAACCUACGAUAAACAUAGUAAUUGUAAUUAACUUUGAAAAAAAAAUUUAAUUAUGGAAAUAAUUUUGGUUAGAAUCCAAGUAUGAUUCAACUACCUGUUGAUGUUCUUUUUUUCCAGUAAAUUGUUGAUUUUCUUUUUUCAUGAAUUAUGGUUAUUUUAUUAAAGUAAGUUACUAUGGUUAAAUCUCAUUAAAAGGAACUGAUGAUGGUGUAGAAAUUUUUUUACACCGACGAUGCACAAAACUUAAACUCUUGAAUCAUAACUCUUUUCUAUCCGAUAAGAAGGGUAGUAGCACAAAAUUUAUUUCUAAGGAAUUGCCCCAUAGAUCCUAUAUAUAUCUAUAUAAGAAGAAUUCAUGUAACGAAGGAGAUUCUUAUUUGUACAAAUGAUACUUUGAGUUUGGAACGAGCAUGAAGAGAUUAACGAUACUUCUUUAAUUAGUUGAAAAUGAAUUAUUAAAAUAAAUCAAUUAUAAAAUAGUAGUAACUAAUGAUUUCGCAUCUAAAAAAGCUAGAAAACUAGAUUUUAAAAUAUGAUGAAAAAUAAAAUAUUAGGGCCCCUCUCUUAAGUUUCGCUUUAGGCCUCCAAUCUUAUUGAGUCGGCCCUGGCCCUGAUCAUAUGUUAAUAAUUUUUUUUAUUUAUUUUGUUAAUUUAUUUCAUUAUAGAAUAUUAUUAACUUACAUACUUAAUUAUUAGUAUUUCUCACUUUUCUUUCCUCUUGAAAAUAAUAUUUAUUCUUUCUAUUGAGAAUUCAUUACAUAAAUUAAAAACAAAAAAAUAUCAUGAUGUUAAAGAAGUAAAAUAUAUAAAAGACAAACGCCAAUAAUGUAAGGAAAAUAUCGACAUUUAAAAAAGCCGACUUAGAAUAAUGGAGAGAAAAUUUUAACUAUUCAAAAUUGGAGGAAGAAGUUUAAUUUAUUAAGUAAAGUUGGAGGCCGGAUGCGAUUUAGGCCCUAUAUAAUAAAAAUAAGCACAAGACACAUCACACGUUAAAAUAUACAAUUUAAUAUCGGUAACAUAAUUGCUUGAUUGUGUAAUUGAAAAUUUAUUUCCUCAUCUUCGAUUCUGAAAUUGGUAAUCUUGGCUUGUUUUUUCUCAUAGUCAUAAUAUAACCUUCAUUGUUUGUCUCAUCAUCAUCAACAUAGUCAUUGUUCUCAUUUUCAUCAACAUAAUUAGUACUAGUACUAAUAUUCUUCACUAUUUUGAUAUCUUUUUUCCUCAUUUCCACCACAAUAUUCUUAAGCCAAUCCACCACUUCUAACAUGCUUGGUCUAUUUUCAGGAUUUCCAUCAGUACAUUUCAUGGCAAUCAAGAUUGUGUUCUUCAAUUGUUCACGAUUGAACUUUCCUUUGAGCCUAGGGUCAGCAAUAUGAUUAAAAUCACCUUUUUGUAUAUAUGGAAGAGCCCAAUGCACAAUGUCACGUUUGACACCAUUAGGAAGUUUUUCUAAGGGUUUUCGAGCGCUUAUGAUUUCAAGAAGUAAUAUUCCAAAACUAUAGACAUCACAACUCUCAGAGACUUUUCCCCACAUAGCGUAUUCGGGAGCUAAGUAGCCUAGGGUUCCUUUAACCCUUGUUGUUAGAUGUGUAACACCAUCAGGUAUCAACUUAGCAAAUCCAAAAUCUGCCACUUUUGCUUGGAAAUUUGAAUCUAAAAGGACAUUGCUUGCCUUUAUAUCUCUAUGUAUGAUAUGAGGAUUUGCUUCAUGGUGCAAGUAACUACAAAAAUAAAAUUAAAAUUAAUUAGAUAGUUGAGAAGAAUUAUAAGCGGCACUACAAAAAAAAAGUAUGAUUCUCAGUAAAGACGUGUAUAUGACGACUUUCUGGGUCAUCAAUUAACGGAUAUAGAGUCAAAAUUUUUAUUAAAAAAAUAAUAUGUAUAAAAGUAAACACGCAAAAAAUAUCAAGAGAGAAUUCAACAUAUAACAAUAUACAUAAAUUAUUAUUUUUAUCUAUCUACUCAAUAUAAUUUUCCAGCAAAGGGCAUCUAUUGACACCCUUUUGGCCAGCUUGCCAUGAAAAACAAGAAGGUAAAAAAUAAAAAGAGUUUUCGAUAGAAAAAGAGGCCGGCAAUAGAAGUAUUCAGAUAAUUAAUUCAAAUUCAGCGUAUAUAAUAACUAGAGAGUCAAAUAGAUUUUUAUGGAUAUACAAAACGAAUAUACGUGUUAUCAUCUAGACUCUAGUACUAUUAUAUACUCAUCCAAGUUUCAAUUUGUUUUUGUCUACUACUUUUUCAAACUAUAUUCAUGAAAUUAAUAUUUAAGAUCAUAAAAUUAAAAGACAAUUUGGUAUAUUCUAUGUAUCUUUGUUUCAAGUCAAAAUCAGACAAAUAAAUUAAGAUCGAAGGGGUUAAGAUUUGAAUGCAAGUGCUUACCAUAAUCCAUCGGCAGAUCCAAUAGCAAUUUUCAUUCUUCGUUGCCAAUCAAGAAGACAAUCAGCAGAAAGUGUGCCAUGGAGAUGAGUGAUUAAGCUAUGAUUAGGCAUAUAAUCAUAAACAAUAAGCCUUUCAUCCUCACCAGCAUAAAAUCCUCUAAGACCUAAUAAAUUUUUAUGUCUCACCCUUCCAAGUAUCUCCACUUCUAUUGCAAAUUCCAUUUCUGCUUUCGCACUCAUUGCCUUUAGCCUUUUAACUGCUAUCUAAACAAUUAAACAAAAAAAAAAACAUGUAAUUAGUUAUGAACUUCAUCGCUAAUCUGUCAUGAAAAUUACUCAUAGCUAGUAUAAUUUUAAUGAUAGUAAUAUGUAGCUAAAGAGAAUUAGUGACGGAUUUUGUUGUUUAACUACUUGAAGUAGAAAAGAUAGAGUUGAUUGCCUCGAUGCCUUUACUUGUUCGACCCCAAUAAACACUUCCAAACCCUCCUUCACCAAUCUUGUUAUCAUUAUGGAAGUUGUUCGUAGCGUUAACAAGCUCUUUUAAUGUGUAAAUAUCCCAUGGAUAAUCCCUGUUCUUGAUCUGACCACUGAAUAAUUUCAUCACGAACGAAAAAGAAAUAUUUAAAAUUAAUUAAGCAUAUACAUAAACAUAUAUAUGUUAAUUAAAAUUAUUCGAUGAUAUACCUGAUUUCUAGUUUUUGAUCACCACCAAAACAAUUAAAACAUCUCUUAAACAUUAUUGUUUUUGGGAGAGAAAGGAGCACAAAUUAAAGGAAUUAUAAUAGAAGAGGAACCAGCAAGAAAAUGGUAGAUAAAUGUUGAAUAUAUCAAUGCAAAUUAAUGGAAUGAGUCGUACGUACAAGAGAGACAAAAUGGCAUCCUUGGAAGUCAAGGACUUGAUUUUAAUUAAAUUAUUUGAUCAUGAUGUUACAUAUAUAUUAUUUUAUUUUAUUAGAUUAAAAAAACACUCAAAUUUAAGGGUUUUAUUGUGUAUUAGAUCUUCAAGAAGUAUAUAUAUAGGGUGUGUUUGGUAUAACAAGUUUCUUAAAAUGUGGAAUGAUUUUCCGAGAGAAAACAAGUUUUAUAAAUAACUUUUGAAGUUUAUUGUUUCCUUCUUACUGAUCAUUCAACGUCCCCAACCCCCAUCUCUUGACCAUUUCACUUCCUCCACCCCCGAACUCUCACUUCCCAACCCAUCUCAAUUCUCAACAUAAGAAUAUUUUGCUAGUUUAUAUAUAAAUGCUUAGUGAAUAUUAUUUUUUAUUUUUUACUUAGUUAUCAAACAUUAGACAAUAAGUAAGAAACACACUAAUUUUCAAAAAAAAAUAUUUUCUAAUAAAGCAUUUUCAUUCCUGCAAAAUACACGUUAGUUUUAUGCCAUUUGAUGAAAUCAAUUGAUCGAAAUAUUUAUUGCGAUAUCUGAAUUUUGCUUCACAUAUUAAAACAAUAAAACUACCUGCCUUUCAAAAGAUUGUCAUGCCGCCCAAAUUUGCUUCAAAAGUAAUUACCAACAAUAUUUAGUGUAAUUUUAUAAAUAGAUUCAGAAAAAACAAACUUUUUACGCUUCAAAAGUUAGCAUAAAAAACAAAUCUCAACUGGAAAAUGAAGUUCUUUAAUGACUUGCUUUAGUGUUCCUCACUUUAUUGUAUUAUUUAACAUAAAAAUGAAUGUAAAUUGUCAUUUCUCUUGAACAUGAUCUCUUUGUCCACUUUAUAUUGUAACUACUAUCACGCGACAAGUCAAACUUAUUUAUGUUUUGAUUGUAAUGUAAAAAGUGAUAAUUAUUUUGACUCUUAUAAUAAUUAAAAUUCAUUCAUGGGGAAAUUAUGCGAUUAAGCAAAUUUAUACUACUCUCCUUCCUCUCCCAAUCUCGAUCACAUCUCUCAUCCCUCUCCCAAUCUCGCUUGCCAUAUAUACAAAUACAUAUGUAUAAUAUACAAUUAUCUAACCUAUAUACAUAUACAAUUCACCUCUCUCCCACUCUCUGCCCUCUCUCGCUCGCCUCUCUCCUCCCUCUCUCAAUCUCGUUUGCAUAUAUACAAAUGCAUAUGUAUAAUAUACAAUUAUCUAACCUAUAUACAUAUACAAUUCACCUCUCUCCCACUCUCUGCCCUCUCUCGCUCGCCUCUCUCCUCCCUCUCUCAAUCUCGUUUGCAUAUAUACAAAUGCAUAUGUAUAAUAUACAAUUAUCUAACCUAUAUACAUAUACAAUUCACCUCUCUCCCACUCUCUGCCCUCUCUCGCCCGCCUCUCUCCUCCCUAUCCCAAUCUCGCUGGCCUCUCUCCUUCCUCUCCCAAUCUCGAUCACAUCUCUCAUCCCUCUCCCAAUCUCGCUUGCCAUAUAUACAAAUACAUAUGUAUAAUAUACAAUUAUCUAACCAAUAUACAUAUACAAUUCACCUCUUUCCCACUCUUUGCCCUCUCUCUCUCGCCUCUCUCCUCUCUCUCUCAGUCUCGCUCGCCUCUCUCCUCCCUAUAUCAUGUAGCUACAAAUUGUAAUUAUCAAACUAUAGCUCUGGAGAGUAAUUAGGCUAUUUUUGAAUGGCUAUAUGUGAAAGUUCCUCAAAUAUAAACCCAUCCUCUUCAUGGUACUGGGCCUUCAGUUGGAGCCUGAAUGGGCCUCCACUGAAGUAAGGGUACUGGCGUAAAGUAUUGAAAAGGCCUGCCUGUUAACAAAUGCCUAGGUACAGCCCAAAUGGAGUGUGGGUUGUACAACUAAUAAAGGAGGCCUACGAUUAGGUCAAUAGUUACUAGUCAACUAAAAAUAAUUGUUCAAAUUAUGCAAAAUGUCCGUCCAUAAAAUUUAUUUGUCAUCGUUUUAGCCUAAUUUAUAAAAUUUACUUAAACUGGUUAUUCGACCUAAUUUAUAAAAUUUACUUUAAUUUUGGGACUGCUUAUUAGAGGUGAUUUGAAUUGAUCGAGAUUGAAUAAUACUUCAUGUAUAGUUAGUUUGUAUAUAUAUAUAUAUAUAAAUUAUAUCCACUCUUUUGAGUAUAUCAUAUAUAAUGUACCGUCAAUUUAUAGCUUAUGUAUAAAUAGAUGUAUUGUAUAGUCAAUGUAUAUUUUCGAUAAUUUUUGGCAAGCUAUUUUGUAUAAACAAUGUAUACUUUCUAUGAUUGUUUAAAUUAACCCAAAAUAAAUUGAGAAAAUGACAUGGUCUGGCUAAUAAAAGACAUAUUAAUAAGUAGUUGGAAUUAUAAGUAGAAAUAGUGUUGCAAUGGAAGCACUUUAUUUUUCACUUCUGUCAAUUUUGAUCAAACGUAAAUAAUGGAGUUUGAAUUUAAAAUUUAUAGGUUUUGAAUUUACUACCACAUACGUAACGCAUUUUAGUUACUGAAUUUGUAAUAAAAUAUUUAGACAUAUUAAUAUGUAUAUACAUACUUGAUCUAAGUAAAUAUUCCUAAGUUCAUCCGAACCUGUAUGUAAUACACGGCUUCUGCUCUUGCCUGCUGCUUUCCUAUGGAAGUAUUAACACAUUUAUAUUUCACAAAAUUAAUGUUUAAUUCAUCUAACNNNNNNNNNNNNNNNNNNNNNNNNNNNNNNNNNNNNNNNNNNNNNNNNNNNNNNNNNNNNNNNNNNNNNNNNNNNNNNNNNNNNNNNNNNNNNNNNNNNNNNNNNNNNNNNNNNNNNNNNNNNNNNNNNNNNNNNNNNNNNNNNNNNNNNNNNNNNNNNNNNCACAAAAAUAAUGUUUAAUUCAUCUAACCCCCCCCCCCCCCCCCUAAAAAUUCAUCCUCGGCAUAAAACCAACAUAAAUUUGUAUAACGCAAAUGGACAUAUCCCUGUCCUUUUUUUUUUUCUAGUUUCAAAUCGGUGUUUGUAAUCUGCAUUUGAGUUUUAAUGAAAUUCGAACCACCAAUUGCAGGACUUAUUCAAGGGUAACACUUACGACAAGAUUUUCUCUAUAUUUAACGUUCGAAUUCAAAAUCUCUGAUUAAAAAUGGAAUAAUCUCGCCACUGCACCACAACCCAUAUCGUAUCUCUAUUCCUUUCUGAUCCUUCAAUUGAGUGGUGAUAAUUUGAAUUUUUUUUCUUUAAAAGAAACAAGUGAGGACCACAAUCGACUUGUCAAUUGAUAAGAGAGACUCACAUAACAAGAAAUUUCUCGCAUUUAUCAUGCCAUACGUGAAUGAUUGUUACGUGUCAAGUGUAAGUUCGUUUUACACUAUCCUAUUUUGGUCUAUAUAUUAAAAUAUUUGGUUAGGUUAAAUAUAAACAAAAGCUAAGAUAUGAUUGAUUAUUGUUGAAAAGUUCAUUUUUUCAUGUAAUUGUUAUGAACUUAUCACGUUAUCGAAUGUGAAAAGAAAAAAAGAUCAGAUUCGAUUUUCUUGAAAAACGUAACGGAAGGAACAAGGUUAAGGAGAGGAGAGUCAUGUUUCAUUAAGGACCAACUAUAACAAUAAUAAUAUGGAUGGUAUACUUUUACAAUUGAGAUUUAAAGAAAGUCAUAUAUAUAUAUAAAUUUGUUUUUAUUUUAUUAAAAUAGAGAAAUUAUUGUCAAUAUACCGUUAGCUCAAUAAAUAGAAUGAAAAAUAUCCAAAGAUACACCCACUCAAAGUCAUAAUGAACCAAUGUAUGUUUUCUUAAUUGAGAACUUUUAGUUUAUUGUGAAGAUCGUGAAAUUUUGUAUGAAUUUAAAACGUUAAAUUGUUGAAUAUUAUUCACAAUCUACAUAUAGAAGUUGAAAUUCCUAACAUUUCAAUAUCCUGGACGUUUGCAUUAUCAAAAUCUCUAUUACAUCAUCAAAAGAAUGUCACUACAUCAAAAAUAACUUUAACGGCAAUAACUCAAUUGCCUCUAAAUAUGUAUUUUAGUGGCAACUAGCAUUCUUUGUAUAUGUCGCUAAAAUCUUUAGCGACAUUGGAUCUAAUGACACUUAACUAAUGCCGAUAAAAACUUUAGCACUCUUUAUUAAUAUGUCAGUUUAUUGCCGCUAAAGUUAUAAUGUGUGGUGCAGUAGAUAAAAAAUAAUUUAUAUUACUGCUAGCAAGAUAUCAUAAACCAAGAGUGCUAUUGGUAAGCUUUCUCCGAUCUAUCUAAGUUCAUUUUUCAUUUUUACAUCUCCUUAAGAAAAUCAUAAAUAUUCUUUAGAAUUUUUUUUAGAAAUUUUAUGAAUUUAUUUAUAUUUUUUAAAAUAAAAUAAAAUUGUAAGUGUAAAAUGAAAAAAAUAAAUUUUUUUUUCUUAUGACUUUAUAAUAGAAAAGUAUUUUAGAACAACUAUUUUGAUAAGUGGACAAGUAAUAUGGGACAAAUGAGAUAGAAAGUAGUUCUUACUUUAACUUCUCCUUCCAUUUAAUUUUAAAAAUAAGUCACUUAAAUAGAAAAAAUACGCCAAUUAAGUAAUCAAUGAAUAAGUAAUUUACUAAAUUAUCUCUAUUUAAUAAAUUAUGUUUUGAGAAUGGAACAUUAUUAAGAAGAUGAACUAUAAUCAUAUAGCUGGAAUAAUAUACUGUCUCUUUUCACUUUUACUUGUCACAUUUCGACUUAACACACACAUUAGAAAAAUAAUGAUUUACAUGAUUGUUUUAUCACUAUCUCUAAUAAAUAAUGUUUAUUAUUAGAUUUUGAAUAAUAAUUUAAAGAAUAAAUAAUUAAUGACAAAAAUGAAAAAAAGUUAGUAAUAUUUUUUUUGAUAUAUUAAAUAUAAAAAUAAAAUAAAAUUUAUUUUUAAAAUAAUAAACAAAUAAAAAUGAACACGCUAUAGAAAAUUGUGUUGGUAAAAAGACAAAAGAUAAAUAAAUGGUUAUCCAUGUCAUGUGUGAAUUGCAAUGACUCCUAGAUCUUCUAGGUGUUGGACCUCAGAGUUUUUUUGUUUUUUUCUUAUGUGUGUGUCCAAACAUCCAGGCUAAUCAUCAUUACGUAAAACGGAAUAAAUAUCCUAAGCUCAAUAAACAAGUUUAACUUCUUGUUAAUCAUUCUUAAUAUUUAAUUAAUUCCACUUAUCGUUAAGUUUCCAUAAGAACGUGGUGCAACCAGCUUAAUAUGAUUCGUCCUGCUCUUUGUCUUUAUAUACUCCAGUGGAUACUAUGGGCCAACUUGACCUAAUCUAACAAUUACUACUAAUUUAAUUAUCAUUACCAUCCAACCUUGAAUGAUUAUAAUUCAAAACACCUUCCAUUUUCAAUUCUUCUUUUCUUUUAACAGCCAUCAUAACAAAUUUUUAUUUUGUUUUGAUUUAUCUGAUAUUCACAUUGGAGUUAGACUAAAUUGGGAUUCACAUUAUAAAGUAAAACGUUGUCUAACAAAGGCGACUCCUCAUCUAAAAGGACUUAAUCUAGAGACCUCUGAUUGAGAAUAAAUAAGUACUUGUCACUUCACCACAAUUCUUAUCGGUCAUCAUACAAAUUAUUAUUUUUGUUGUUAUUGAUCGAUUUAAAUAUGAAUUAAUAUUAAAUAAAAGAAGCUUAUAUGGCAACAUAGAAGGAAAUGUGGCUAGUCUGUAGGACCUUAGAUCUCAGCCACUACAAGAUAAAGUUUUCCAAAGAUUAAAAAGCUACCUAAUCAGUGCUUGGUUUAAAUAUUCUUGUCCUUUUGUUUAUGACGUGUUUAACCCAUCGAUUAAUUAGUUAAUCAUGUCACUCAUUGGAACUAUAACUAGUUUGUAGUUUCUCGCUUAAUUUAAUUACUCUCUCUAUUCAUUUCAAUUUGAUUAAUCUUCGAAGUUAUACUGAUCAAUUAGAUUAGUUUAUUAUGUUUAAUUAAAAUGUAGAUAUUCAAAAUUCAUGUAGUUUGAUUCUCGAGAAGUAAAAUGUGACAAGUAAAAAAAAACUAUUUAUAAUAUAUUAUAGUAUUUGAAACAUAAAUACUAAUUUAGGAGUCAUAUACUCCCUAUGUCCCUAAUUACUUAUCCACUUUUGAAUUGACACACCUAUUAAGAAAAUAAUUAAUGACAUAAUGAGUUUAUCAUUUUACCCGUAUUAAUUAUGAAGUGGAUGAAAAGUUCUACAUUUUAAAAAAUAAUUAGUCAUUUAAUUAAGGGUAUAAUAGGUAAAAAGAAUUUGUUCUUUCUUGAUUUGUCAAAAUGGACAAGUAAUUAAGAACAACUAUAAAAGGAAAAAUGAACAAGUAAUUAGGGACAGAGGGAGUAUGAUUUUCCCUUAUGAAACCGGAUCGUUUAUAGCAAUAAUGAUUCAAAUUAUUGGUUGUCGGAAUCCUCACAUGACGGAUGAAUUCCCUAAUAUUAGAGACAAAAUUUUUAUUAUGAACCUUAACCAUCAUAGGAAUAAGAAAAAUCUAUCUUUAUUUCUACACCCAUAAAGGUAUAUUUAUACAUUAUAUAAUUUAUAGGUAGAGUUUAAGAAUAUUUCUCAUUUGGUUUGCUCUUGUAAUAUUAUGAAUUUCUCCGGGAGAAUUUUUUUAGACAAGUCUAUAUUAACCAAAUUUCUAGAGGAGGUUCAAUUUUAUGUCCCUUUAAAUAUAUUCACUUUUUGAAUAUUAAUUUACAAAGUAGAGAUCUUAGCCAAACCCCUGCCACUACAAUGCAACUAAUUUUUUUUUGAUUUUUCAUUUAGUGUUUGGAGCCUAUAUUGAAGUCAGGAGCAUAUUUAGAGAGGGUGUCGUGGAUUCACGUGAACCCAUAUUUUCCUUUCUAGAUCAUAUAUAGAAAAUAUUUAAAUAUAGAUGUGUAAAUUCACGUUCAAUGUAUUAUAUAAUAAUACGAUGAUUGAGUGCACCUCUCUAAGUGAGGAUAAAAAUUUAUACGUAUUUUAUAUCUACUCGUCUUUUUGAGUAACACCUCUUAAUUAAAGUAGUUAUCAGUAACAUUUUUGACGUUUCAACUAAUUUUUCUUUUCUUUUUUCCGUUAAUCUUUCAAAAUUCCAAAUGUGUUAGAAAAAUCAUAAAAAUUUUAGCACUAUAAAAAAUUUAUAUAAUUAAAUCAAAUAUGUAUAGUAAAAUUUAAAACUAGUAUAGUGUUAUAUAUUUUGGACCUAAAUAUUUCUUUUUAAAAUUUAAUGGUUCAUAUUAAGAACCUAAAAAUCAAACCGAUCAAAUUUAUAUUUAAGAUGCCUUUUUUUGUAAUCAUGCACUCAUCUUGCUGAAAUCUUAAAUACAUCUUUGAUUGAAGUCUUAAUUAAAUUUAGAUCACAUACUGUAAAAUCCAUCCAAAAAUAUUGCUUCCAACAAAAAAAAAUUCAUAAGAAAAGCUCGAAUCCAAAACUUGAAAGUUUUCCCACCAUAAGCCGGGUUGGUAACAAUAGUAUUACAAUACCGACAACCUAUAUAUAGCUACUCGAUAGUGGUAAUUAUUUCUAUAAUAACAGUGGCACAAUUAACAAAACAAACAAGAAAUGAAUCGUCGUUUAUCAAGGUCCCAAAUAAGAACAAGAUUUUUGUACAGUGGUUCAGAUCCUCUUCAUGUGCAAUGGACAAAGUUUCCUAAAGUCUAGGCCCCAUUAUUAUAAAUGUUGUGCUGAAAAACAUAAAAAAUAAUUUAUAAUUUUCUUCUACAUCCUCUUUGCUUUGCUGUGGUGCAUCAGAUUCUUAUGUACUCACAAGAUAAUGUAUGUUUAGAUAAUGCUUGUGUCUACAAAUAAUGAUGCAUUAGUGAAUAGGCAAAUCCGUACAAGAAAUGACAACUAUUUCCAAGACCUCAUAAUCAGUGUUACCCUCUUCCCAAAUUGUUUCUUUAUUCCUCUCCUACAAUUUAUCUUCUUCAAUCCGUCUACUUUUAGUUGCCAUGUUUUUUUUAAGAGUCAAAUGAUAUGCAAAAAAUUAUAAUUUAUAAUACUUUUAUUCGUAUAGUUUUUGAAUAUCUAAAUUUUUUGUUUAAAAAUAACGAAUUAAUGUAAUUUGAUUUAACUUUGAAAAUUAGUUAAAUUGACUUUCAAAAAAUGCAACAUGACAACUAAAAAUGGACGGAGAUUAGUACAAUUUUUCUUUUUAGACUCUGAUUUUUUCUCAUUUCUGAAAGAAAAAUUAGAUGUGUUGUUUCUAAUUAGAAAUAAAGUAGUUUGAGGAAGUGCAUGAAAAUUAUAUAUUAAUUGGUCUUAUAUAUAAAGUUGGUAGUUCAAAUUAUAAAAGUAGUAAAUCUCUUUUCGACAAUGCAUGAAUUUUAGAUCACUAUUAAUUAUUUUUUUACUGGAAUUAGUUAUGAACUUUCACUACUAGAAACAAAAGUUUUUUGAACAAAUAUGCAAGAAGUUUAUGCUAUUGAAUAUGAUGUUUCUACUGAAUUAGCUCAUCAUUGAAAAAAUGCAUGGUGAGAAAUAUUUUCUCAUUGAAAUAGUGAAAAAAUUCUUAAUCUUCCAUAUGAAAAUAUUAUUAUAUUUUCUUUUCUCCCCAAAACAAUCAAAAUAUUUAUGAGAAUUGCCACUAAACAUUUCCAAUAGUACAUUUUUAGUAGUGUUCUUCGUAGCUUAUGUAUCACCAAAUUGCUUGUAGCUAGCAUAAGUUUUUGAUAAUUUGUAGCAAAUCAUCAUAAAAUAGGAUAAGUAAAAAGAAUUUUGUUGUUUAGCGACAAAAUUUAUCUUUCGCUAAUACAUUAUACAAAACAUUGGUUUCUUAAAGGCAAAAAAUUCUGUGGAUGCGGUGAGCCGUGAAAACAUGAAUGUAAAGAUUAAAAGGUAAGAGGAUAUUGAAAUUAAUGUCACAAAAAAAAAGGCAAAUAGAGACAAAUGAGAAUUAAGGAAAGGACAACAGGAAUCCAUGAAAAAAUCCCAAGUAAUGUCGUGUUAUGUUAGAGAGGAGGAAACAAAAAACAAAGAAAUGUGCAAUUUUGGGAUAAUACAAGUAUACAGCCUACAUACAAUAAUAACAACAAACAUAAGCCAACACAAACAACAAAGGUUGCCACGUGAAGCGGCCCUUUUGGAACCCUAGUCUAAGAAAGGCACUAUAUAUCCUUGUCCUUACUUAUGAUGGCUGCUAUAGGUUCUCAUCCCUCUUCUAUGGUCGUUUUCUUUAUAGUUAAUUGUAAAAUAAUUCCAUGGGGUAAAACAAUUCGGAAUAGGUGGACGAAUGAUGUGACAACAUGUGGCAAGAAUAAGCAAUUACAACAAUCUAAUAAGAAUCAUUGAGUAACAUCUCCGGGACACGGUCAGUCAAUGCGGCUAAGUGUAGGAAAGUUUUGAAGUCAACACCAGCGUAACCAAUACCUAGCCGGUAAGGCCCAUCUAGGUCCAAAAGUUUGGUUCCAAAUUCAAAAUCCUAGCCAAGCAAGAUAAGGAUAAGAUACGCGUUACAGUCUGUAUUUAUGAAAGGUGUAGAAAUCCUAGUCGUCCGAUAUGCAAUAGUAGAGUUGAUCAUGACUAAGUAAAAGAUAAUCAGAGGGGCGAAUUAUAUGGAAGUUGUAUUAGGGCUUCCACGAUUCUUAUGAAGCACAUUAUAUGCUAAUAAGUUUAUAAUUUAUCUAUUUAUCUAGUCUUUAAGCUUAUUGUCACGAUUCAAAAAAUGGACGUGAUGGGCACUUGCCUAUUUCCACCAAGACAAGUCAGUCUUCAAUCCAACGAAACGAAAGAAAUGCGAAAAGUAAAGCAAGAAUAACAAAAAGGCAGAAAAUUUAGUCAUUCUAAUUAAUAUAACUCUCAAAAUAUGGUUGUUACGUGUACAACUCACUAAUACAUAAGGUACAUAAAUAAAAAAUAAGUUCAAGUCUCAAUGUCUUUGUUUAUCAAGUCGAACAAAGCAUGACAUAAAGGAAAAAGAGGGUCAUCGGGAUGACAAGCAACUACCUCUCAAAGUCCUUCUACAAGCCUCAGGUAUAGCUGAAGAAGAGCAAUAAAACAGAAUUGGACUCAGAAUCUACACAAGUGUAGAAGCAAGGAUUGAGUACCAAAUAACACGGUACCCAGCAAGCAACCUGAUAAACAAAGCAAAACUAACUAGAAAACACGCAUUACUUUUAUCCCAACCAAAUCUCCUCAAACUACAAGCUACAUAGAAAUCAACCCAAUGUCACAGUUCAUAAUACACAGUUCACAAGUUCUCAUGAUCCUAGUAGUCAUUAUUCAACAACCAUCAAGUAGCAAGUAUGACAAUCACAAGUAGCAAGAUCAUCUAAGUAUAAUAAUCAAGCACACUGAACACAAAUCCACAGAUAUAUCAUGCACAAUAUCAAUCGAAACUCAUGGAAACCACCCAUGGUUUAUGAACUAGCUGGUAAUGACCUCAACAUUAAUAUCACUCAUCGGCAAUGACCCCGACAUCAAUAUCACUCAUCGAAAAUGACCUCGGCAUCAAUAGCACUCACAGGUAAUGACCCCGGCAUGAAUAUUAGCAACGAAAAUGACAUCAACAUCAAUAGCACUCUCUGACAAUAACCUCUACAUCAAUAUCACUCACCGAAAAUGACCUCAGCAUUAAUAACCAUCACAAGUUUCAUCAUAGUGCUUGGAAAACAAUGCAAGUAAGCAAUUUCACACCACAAGAAAGAGACAAUAACUUAAGCAAAUCAAGUCCACAUUAAUGCCAUCAAAACAUUUCAUCAAUCAUCACAUUAGGGUUCACAACAAGGCAAAUUCAUAAAGUAUUAUUGAAAUCCUAGCCAAGCAAGAUAAGGAUAAGAUAGGCGUGAUGGUCUGUAUUUAUGAAAUGUGUAGAAAUCCUAGUCAUCCGAUAUGCAAUAGUAAAGUUGAUCAUGACUAAGUAAAAGAUAAUCAGAGGGGUAAAUUAUAUGGAAGUUGUAGUAGGGCUUCCAUGAUUCUUAUGAAGCACAUUAUAUGCUAAUAAGCUUAUAAUUUAUCUAUUUAUCUAGUCUUUGAGGUUACUGUCACGAUUCGAAAAAUGGACGUGAUGGGCACUUGCUUAUUUCCACCAAGACAAGUCGACCUCAAUCCAACGAAACGAAAGAAAUGCGAAAAGUAAAGCAAGAAUAACAAAAAGGCAGAAAAUUUAGUCAUCUAAUAUAACUCUCAAAAUCUGGUUGUUACGUGUACAACUCACUAAUACAUAAGGUACAUAAAUGAAAAAUAAGUACAAGUCUCAAUGUCAUUUUUUAUCAAGUCAAACAAAGCAUGACAUAAAGGAAAAAGAGGGUCAUCGGGAUGACAAACAAUCAACUACCUCUCAAAGUCCUUCUAAAAGCCUCAGGUAUAGAUGAAGAAGAGCAAUAAAACAGAAUUAGACUCGAAACCUACACAAGUGUAGAAGCAAGGAUUGAGUGCCAAAUAACACGAUACCCAACAAGCAACCUGAUAAAUAAAGCAAAACUAACUAGAAAACGCACAUUACUUUUAUCCCAACCAAAUCUCCUCAAACUACAAGCUACAUAGAAAUCAACCCAAUAUCACAGUUCAUAAUACACAGUUCACAAGUUCUCAUGAUCCUAGUAGUCACUAUUCAACAACCAUCAAGUAGCAAGUAUGACAAUCACAAGUGUCAGAUUGAUCAAUCACAAGUAGCAAGAUCAUCUAAGUAUAAUAAUCAAGCACACUGAACACAAAUCCACAGAUAUAUCAUGCACAAUAUCAAUCGAAACUCAUGGAAACCGCACAUGGUUCAUGAACUAGCCGGUAAUGACCUCAACAUUAAUAUCACUCACCGGAAAUGACCUCGACAUCAAUAUCACUCUUUGGAAAUGACCUCAGGAUCAAUAACACUUACAUGUAAUGACCUCGGCAUGAAUAUUACUCAACAAAAAUGACAUCGACAUCAGUAGCACUCGCAGACAAUAACCUCUACAUCAAUAUCACUCACCGAAAAUGACCUCGGCAUCAAUAACCAUCACAUGUUUCAUCAUAGUGCUUAGAAAACAAUGCAAGUAAGAAAUUUCGCACCACAAGAAAGAGACAAUAACUUAAGCAAAUCAAGUCCACAUUAAUGUCAUCAAUCAUCACAUUAGGGUUCACAACAAGGCAAAUUCAUAAAGUAUUAUGAUCAACACAUUGUCUUUUCAUUAAUCCUCUUUUAUUCAUUAAUAUCAAUUAAAUGGAAUAAUUGAACCCAUCACCUCGUUUCCAUUACUUCCCAACACACACAAAUGAAAGGAAAUACAUGAUUCUACUAAUUUUACAAGAUUUAGGAGAUCAUUUGCCUCAAUUUCAAUCAAAGUCAAUACAAGACUUGAGUCUUCCCUUUCCGAACAAUUUCCAAACCCACGUAAUCUAAUUCACUCAAGUAAUUAUAAUAAGAUUCUAAAAAUAACAACACCCAAAUCAAACACUUUGUAAAAAUGGGCCAAAACAACUCAAAAACCCAAUUCUUAAAAUGAGGUUUGAAUCCAAAAAUCUUAAGUGAACAUUACCUAAAGGAUUUGGAAUCCAUUGAUGAAAUUCAUUUCGAAAAAGGAUUAAAAAUCGGUCCAUAAUCACCAUUUUACUAAACUUUUGGGUUCUUGAAGAAAACCCCAAUUAAUCAUUUCAAAAUCUUGAUUUGAACACUUAAUUUCAUAAAUAAUAAUGUGUAAAUGAAAAUUUAAGAUUAUGAGUCUUUACCCAAAUAUUUAUUCUCAAAAAUCUUGUCCAAAUUGUCACACCAAAGCUCCCAAAACUCACAAAUUGUGAAAUGAGGUUGAAACCUCGAUAUUUAAAAGAUAUUAUGUUCAAGGAUCCACCUCAAAUGGGAAAGGACAACUCACAAAUGAGAUCCGCGAAAGAGCCCCGCUUCCCCCGAACGCGGGUCACCCCUCCGCGAUCACGAAGGGUUGGCUUCAACAACACAAAUAAGAAAAAUCAUUCAAACACGAAAUCAUCGAAAGGAUCCUCGAGAUUCGUUCAGAACCCCGUACACACAAACCAUAUAUGUAAAUUGGCUAUACAUGACAAUACGAACUCAAUGAAACCAUUGAAACACGAAUUUAAGGUCUCCUUGACCCGAAACUCAUAAAAUUCAUAAGAAAUAAACAAAAUGCCUAAAAAGGCCAAAUCAAGCUCGGGUUCUCUAAAAAUUCAACGAAGACCUCACCUAGGCCUAAAAUCAUCCCUCGAAUUUAGCGGAACUCUCGAAACUUUUAUCUGAGAAUCCAAACCCCCAAUAUUGACUAAAGUCAACCUAAAGGCUAAAAUUUCACAAAUUUCCAACUUAGGACCUCAAAUCCUCAAAAAGACUCCAAAUCUGAAAUCGACGACUUUCAUAGUCCAAUUUCCACAUUCCGGGACUGAUGGAAUCAAUAGAAUUUCAUUUCAACACUAGAAAUUUCAAAAGACACCAAAAAACAUUUUUAAUAACUUUAACCUUUCAAACUCAAAUCUUACAAAAUUCAUAACUUUAUUUACUCAAAGUUUGAAACCAACUUUCAAAACUCAAUUAGAAAUAACUCGGAGUCAAUAUCAGGAUGGACAAAAUAGUAAUUUUAUGAAAAUUUUCAAAAAUGACCAAGCGGGUCAUUUCACUUACUCUAUUAUUCAUUUUUUGAAAAAAAAGAGUCAAUUAUGUUUUACCCCCGAAAGACAAAUUAUUAUGAUUUGCAUGUGAUCGAGUUGGAACUAAGUAAAACCGUGUAAAAAUAGAGAAUUGGAAGUGAUCAAACAAAAUGUUGCCGAAAUCGUUGCUGGUGUGGAUGAGGGAAUACAACCGCAACUCCGUAUGUACCACCACAACACUCGAUUAAUAGACACAACUCGAGGUGGAAUGGGUGCAACUUUAUAUGCGACAUAUUGAUGCGACCACAACUUUGGAUGUAGUGACACAUCUCACCUGAUCUACAUCGCUACUCAGUAGCAUCAGUUUGAUCAUGCUAUACGAUGCAACUAAGCAGAUGCGAUUGCAUCAACACAUGGGACGUUGUUGCGCAUGUGCGAGCCUUAGUUUUAUUCAAAUUUUAAUGUGUAUUUUCAAAAACUAUAAAUACUUAAUGGUAGGAUUUAUUUAGCAAUUCAAUUUUUAUCUGGUUUUUGAGACUAGGAACAAUACUUUUCGUAAGAAAUGUAAGUCCCCUCCAUUUUUGGCAUUGUGAUCAAAUUGUUGUUUAUUGAAAGCAAUAUUUUGGUUCUUGAUUCUACUACUUGAUCAUUGUAGGCAUGUUUUUUCAAUUUUUUAUUUCAACUUUUGUAAUAUCUAUGUUGUCCUAAAAGGGAGUAACAAUGAUACUGUUUACUAGUUAGAAAUUCUAGUAAGUAUUUUUUUGGUGUAUGAUUAGUUCUUUCAUUUUGUUUGAAUUCUAAUGAAAGAUUGUAACACCUCAGAUUUGAAAAAGACUAGAAAGGGUCAAACGGGCAAGUCACGAAUCCAAAAUGGACCAUGGACCCUUCAUAGUGCCCUAGAUGGGCCGUGUAAGGGUCCACGACCCAUUAAAGGGCUCGUGAAAACUAUCCAGAACUGCCCUAGGCAGGAGCCACGUGGACGGUGUCUCAGACGGCCCGUCUAGGGGUCGUCAAGUCAUCAAGCCAGAAAGGGUUUCACCUUAAGUCAUUGUUAAGGACCACAGACGUCUAAACGGUCCGUGUCGGGCAGGGAAAUUUCACGACCCACUUGAUGGGCCAUCAUGAUCUAGACGACCUGUAAAGCCUUUCGUGAGAGGCAUUUCAACAGUUUUAAGUAAGGGUCAUAUAGGUCUUUUCCCAACUGUUUUAACUCAAUACUAUGUCGUUUUACCUUCUUACCUAGGCCAUAUAUAAACACUUUUACCCCCAAAAUCACCCAAUUCAAUUCACUCUCUUAAAUUCCCAAAAGUUGAUCAAGUUCAUCCUCUCAAAUAUUUCUUUCUCUAAGGAAGAAAAAUAAAUCUAGGGUUUCAAAUCAAGUCUCCAAAUCCACUAUUAAUUGCAAGUUUAUGGCAUCAAGGUAUGAUAGUAUUCACCUAUGGAUCUCUUUCCUUUAUAGGGUUCCAUUCUCCAAUUUCGUAAAGCUAGAUUCUCCAAUCAAAUUAGGAUUUUAUUCAAUUGCCUUGAGUUCCUUUCAAUGUUGAUUCAAUUGAUGGUUUUAUGUCUUCUUAUACAUGAAUGGAAGUAAUUACAUGUUUUUUAGUUGAAUUCUCAUGGACCCAUGAAUGAUCUAUGAUUUUGACUAUGAACCAUGAAACAUAAAUUUAUGAAGAUAUGCAUGCCUUUUCUUUAUGAAAUUGAUGUUGAGGAUGCUUUGACUUUGAAAACAUGAUGAAGCUUAUGAAUUCUUGAAAAAUGCAUGUUUUAUGAAAGUAAUGCUUAUGACUCAAGUAAGCUUAUAGAUGAAGGUAUCUAUAUGUUCUAUGAAGCUUGGCCACAUGACAUGAAUGACAUCUAGAUUUACCCUCUAUGCUUUUUAGCCUAUUUUUCUAAAUUAGGUCUUGAUUAAUAUGAUAUCUGGAUAUGUCAUCAAUGAUUAUAGAUCACGCUUUCAAACAAAGUUGUUUAAGAUCCUUGCAUAGAUCCCCACAGAUUGAGAAAUAGACAAAAGUCAAAUAAUAAAUAAAGUGAAAAAAAUUACUUGGACUUUGCUAAAGAGAAAUCCCCCUUCUCUAUAAUGACCUUUGCAAUAGAAAAGGCAGCGAAGCUACAAAGGUUCGCUACAGUGAAGACCCGUUCGCUAUAGCUAAGGUCAAUAUUUUAUUUUCGUGUUUUUAAGUCAGUUUUUUGUCCAAUCUUGAUCAUAACUUAUAAUAUUCGACCAGAGGAUCCUAAUGGUGACUUUUUCAAAACUUUGGACUUUUCUUUUACUAAGUAAGUGAUUCCAAUUUAUCUUUCUCUUUUGUUAUCCAUUUUUUCAUAGAAUUAAAGGGUAAGAUCUUUGUAGAUGGGUUAAACUCUAGGCUAAUUAUUAUUGGGGCAGAAUGCUAAGGGAGGGUAAUUAUGCAUGAUUUUAAUCAUUUCCAUUAAAUUUUAUUUUGGGGCAUGGAAUUGUUAAUCUAGGUUUUAAUUUUGAUAUAGGGGAAUUGUUGCUCCCAAUUGCACACGCAAAUGUACGUGGUCGCGUAAAUAAUAAAGUGACUCUUAAAAGAACCGAAUUAUCGAACCCAAAGGACUUGUCGAUUAACUAUUUACUAAAUUAUACUAGUCUAAUUAUUUAUUUAAGAGUGUUGCAACCCAAAGGACUUGUCGAAUUGAUUUUUUUUUGUAAAGAAUAGAAUGCAAGAAUGAAAUAAUAAUAUUACUUACAGUGGUUGGGAUAAUUCCAGGGCUGCAACAUAUAUCAUAUUUCAUGUAUCAUAUUUCAGGCAAUGAACUAAUUUCGAUUAUCAAGUUACUGAUUUACAGGGUUAAUUGUAUGAGUCGGGUCUCUCGACCUCUAGCCGCCUACUCCAGUUAGCUGUCUAACUACAUUGUUGAGCGGGGAUAGAAGGCCUAACUGGCGAGCAUUUAUAUUUUAUCAUGUUUCGUAACCAAGCAAGUUGUUCAUCCGGGCGUCACUCCUGAACGCACAUCAACUUAAUGGAAGAUUGAGCUUUCUAUAUUCUCUGGUCUAUCUACCCUCUCCUCUCUCGAUUUUAAGAAUAGACAAUAUAUUUAUCUCUAGAUGGCCAGUCAAGAAAUACUAAAACAAGAAUAUAAAAGUAACUUCAACGAUAACCAAGAAUUAAUUCAAAAAACUUUAAUAUUCAAUAAUCAAUCCAUAGCUACAGCCCCAGAACAAGGGCGUUUAACCACUAAUCUCUAAGAAAAGAAGAAAAGCAAAGAACCUUAAAAAGUAUUGACAACUUUAUACUUUGAUGCUCUAUGAUUGAUCUCUUCCUAAUUGAUCUCCUAUAUUUUGAUCUCUCUAAUAAUUAUUUGUAUAUCUUACCUAAAUUCCAUAGUGUAAAGAUCUAAAUUACAUUCUAUCCCUACUCUUUUUCAAUUUACGAAAAUCCCUUCAAAAUCAGUGCUAUCCAGAUACAUAGAAAAUAAGUCGGAUAUAUUAAUUUCAAUACAUUAAAACAAAUUCAGUUACACUUUUAAAGGAAAGUGAAUCAAUUUUGAAUGUGAGUUCCCUAAAUCAUUCUAAUCAAUUUAUUGUCAAUCUUUCUCAAAUGGUAACAACUUACAAUUAAUUCAAAAUUCAAAUUUUCUUCUCUCAAUUAUCUUCCAAAUUCUCCUAGCUUCAAACAAUUCAAUUAGACGCAAAUCCUUCCAGAAUCAACAAAUUCAAAAUUCAUUUUUUUUCCUCUCUAUUCAUCGUCUCAUGUUCAUCGAAUAAUCAUUCAAAUCAGAUUCAAAUUUUCCAAAGAAUUGAUAAGAUACAUGAUGAUUAGUUGUUGGAAAAGAAUUUCUUUUGUGAAUCUCAAAUACACCAUUGCAGUAGAUCGAUGAGAUGAGGAAAAACUUGAAAACCCGAUAUAUAGUGGAAUGAUAUCACAGGAAAAUGUUGAUUCUGCUGCUUGGCAUACUCUUCAUCUCACCUCGAUCAUGGCACCACAGUAAGAGAUGGUCAAAGAAGUUACUGACCACUUCAAUUUGUAUUUUAAAAUACAUUAAAAAACUAGUUAAUGUAUUCCAAAAUUGUUCUUCUUAUUCUUUCUAAAAAAAAUUCAAUUUUUGAAUCAAACUUGUCGAUAAAUUGUAUUGAUACAACAUGAACAUGCCCAUCUUGUUGAGACAUUCCGAAAUCUGAGAAAGUGAGGUGAGGUAUGAAUGAUACAAAAGUGAUGAAAUUGUUGUUGGUCAAAAAAUUGAUUUGUGAAUCUCAAAUCAACCAUUGCAGUUGAGAAAAAUUUGGAGAUCUGAUACAUCGUUGAGGGGAAGAAACAAGAGUUUGAAUUUUCAAUGUAUCCGUUAUAAAUUGAUAUAACAAACAGAAAGGCUGAAGAGAUGCAUAGCUUUGAUGGAUCAUUCAUACCUUUUAUAAUGUUGUUUAAUUUUUUUCUGAAUUUUGUUUCUGAGAUGGAUAGAUUUAUCAAUACAUUACUAUUUAUGUAUCUCGUUUAAAUUAAGAAGUGUUGUAUUUCUACUAGAUACAUUAAAUAAGUAAUUGAUGUCCAUAAGAUGUAAGGUUUGAGAUCGAUACAUUACUUUGUGGUAGUUGCUACGUAUCAGAUACAAUUAAUAUAAAUUUGAAUUUACGUAUCAUGUCUAAAAUAUUGUAUAUUUGUUCAUGCAAUAAUAGAAUGUUGUGUAUCCGAUACAUUAUAUCAUGUAUCAGUUAUAUGGUUUAGUAGAUGUAAUAUUUGUGUUCCAUAAAAAUGUGUAUCUAACACACAAUUUGUGCAGUUGUGUUUGAUAAAAAAAAUUGUAUUUGAUAUUAACACUAUUUGAAAGACAGAAUAUUGUGUACCUAAUACAUGAUAUAAUAUAUGUAUUAAUGCGCUUCAUGUUUAUUGUAUCAGAUACAUAGCUGCAAGAACUUCAUAUUUUAUCUCUAACUAAACAAACUUUUGAUAAUAACAUUUGUGUUUCACUGUUUAUGAAUCUGAUACAUGUUUGUGUGACACUUUAAUGUAUCAUGUACUGUGUACUGUUACAUAUCCUUCUAAAUUUGAAUAAGAGAGAAGAUACAUAGCAACACCUAGAUACAUGAUAAAUGAUACAUUUGGAAGAAGUUUUAUAUCAAGUAUCAAAACUAAUUAAGUUUAUGUAUCAAAAUUAAUAUUUGAACACGAUACACUGUGUAUGAUAAAAUUGUAAUGUAUCAUAGUGUUGAAACAAAGACAUUAUACAUUAAUUUAAGAAACAAAACUAACUAGAUGCAUUAAAAAUCUAGUUAAUGCAUCUAAUUAGUAAUUUGAACACGAUACAUUGUACAUAGUGAAAUAGUAAUGUAUCAUAAUGUUGAAAUGAAGACAUUAUACAUUAAUUUAAGAAAUCAAAACAACCUGAUACAAUAAAAAUCUGAACGCAUAUAUAUCAGAAAAAAAGAUGAACAAGAAAAAAUCGGGAAAAAAAAAUCAACAAUCUAAUCUAUUUCGACUUCUCUUUCUCAACAAUCACUUUAGAAGACAAAUGUACAUUCACUUUUUAAAACAUUUACUUUAUAAAACGAAGGUACAUCCUUCUUCUCAUUCUCAUUCUCAUUCUCCUUCUCAACAUUCACUCUUGUAAUUAUUAUUUUUACUAUUAACAUAGACGUCACUCAUGAAUCUCGAUCCAAAGUCCUUACAAAAGCCACCAGUAGAUCGACUUUUUUCGUCUUUUUGAGCAUUUUUUCCACAGUCUAUUUAGGAGGCGAAGAUGCAUCCUUCUUCGACUAGUUGAGUAAUACCAACACUAAAAGAAUGAUCUUGAUCCAUAUGCAUCAAGAAAUAAAGAAGAAGAAAAAUAAAAUUGAAGAAGACGACUGUGGAGGAGACACAAUAUAUCAAUUGAGUAGUUUGAAUUUGAUUGACCGGAGAGAGAAUUCUUUUGCAAAUAAAAUUGAUAUGAAAAUUCUAACGGAUAAGAUUGUAGAGAAUUCUUUUGAAAAUCAAAUUAAUAUGAAAAUUGCAACUGAUAAGAUUGUAGAGCAAAUUAUGGAGAGAAUAAAGGAGUGAAAAAAAAGAAGGAAAUCAUGUGUUAAGGAUGGGAUACUUAUGUAUCCGAUUGACUUGAAAAUUUAGAAAAAAUAAGGGAUUUUGGAAAUAUUUUAAAAUGGUAGAGAAUGAUGGAAAUUAUAAAAAAUAAAGAUGUGUAUAUAAGUAAUUUAUCCUAAUUAUUUUCAUGGUUACUUAUAGAUGUAGAAAACACAAAAAGUAAUUGAGUCCAAAAUAAAUUAGGUACUCAAAAUCUUAACAGAAUUGGAUUCCGCGUGAAAACCGUUUGCUGUAGCCGACUUCCAUUGGAAAUUUGAAAUAUUGCCUUCGUAGUUGACACGUGGCAUUUGAUCAUAUUGAUACUGCAACUUUUGAUUCCAAUAAGCAUAGGAGUAUAUUUAUUUUAUAAAAUUUAAUUCAUUAAGCUGCCUGCUUAAUUUCCUUCUUCAACUUUUCAUCUUUAAUUCGUUUUAGUUUUAAACUUUUUCAACUUUACACUAAUUUACUCCUACAAAUAAAAUACACUAUUUAACACAAUCCAUAAAAUUCAUGCUCAAAAAGGGAAGAUAUAAAUAGUAAAUGUGAGGCAAAUAAUGAUUACAAUAUAUAUUUUUGGCCUCACAUCAACACCCACACUUUAACUUUUGUUUGUACUCGAGCAAACAUUGAAGCUCAUCUCAAAAACUCAUAUUAGGAAUGUCAUCACUUUGGUUUAUACAAACAAUUAGGCCAUAUACCAAUUUCAAAACAUCAAGUACACUUCUCAAUCAUUAUGCAAAAACAUCCAUAUAAACAACAAACCUCUAACCUCCUAACCUCAAGGAAGGACUUUGAACUCAUCAAAUUUAAGCUUGCUCCCCUACUUUUAUCAAAGACAGUUAAUAAAAUCAUCUAUCCAUCACGAAACAAAUGUCUUCACAAGAAGAAAUAGUCCACACACUCAAUUAAAAAGAUUGAAUAUAAAUUAAGGACUUCAUAUCAAGAACAACUCUCACACUCACAAAGAAAAUUCACAUGUAUGCACAAAGAACUAUAUGCUUGUCCAUUAUGUACAUCUCUACUAAUUAAGCAUGCUUGAAUAGAAUCAAAUAAGACUUUGACGGGUUGUAAUGUAGGCUAGGGGACGGAUAGGAAAAUUAUAUAAUAAUGACUUACACUUUAUUAAGCACUUUGCAAUUUUAGACUUCAUCACCCAUUAUUUUCUUCUCUUUAUUGUCAGCCCUCUCUUCAACAAUUAUUUCACAAGUAAUUCUCAUCAUAUCAAGAAUGCUUCAAUCAUUUUUUUUUUCAUGUCACAUUCUUUCAAAGAAGAUCUUUUAAGCCCUUUGUAGCUAUCAUUGAUUACCUUUUCACUCAAUCAUCUUUUUUUCUUCAGAAUUAACAAUUAGAAUAAGUCUAUGCUAUAAUGCUCAAGGAAGCAAGGUGCAAAAAUUAGGGAUUGAACAAAAGAGUUGAAGGAAAAAUAUGGCUACCAACAAAAGGGUACAAGCUAAAAAGGGAUAAGUAGUGAUAUAAUAUCUUAAAAGACUAAAAUUUACUAGACAAAUCAAAGAAAGCCUAUUAUCAUCUCCUAAACAAAGUAACAUUUUUUAUUUCGCUUCAAUAACACACAGGGCAAGUUCUAGACUAAGAUGCAAAAUAUGGAAUAAACAAAUUCUCACCACACAUGGCACAAAUAUCAAUCAUGAUAGAUCAAUUCCACUUCUAAGAGAGACAAGAUCAUAACAAACUACAAAAUAAAAUAAGCUAUAUACAAAGUCACAACCAUGAGCUUUGGUCUCAAAGAGUCUGCAAUUUCCUUAUCAAUCAAGCAUUCACAAGAAAGUACUACUAAACAAUUAGACCUAAAUAGCAAGUAUCACACCACUCAAAGGGGUUUUUUCUUUUCUCUCAAAAAAAAAAUUAAAAGAAAAAUUAUUCCUAAAAAAUUAAAAGACACUCGGUUCAAAGAGACUAUCCUUAGGAAAAGAACCGAAAACAAAAGCCAAGAAACCCAUCCUAAAAAGAAAAGACUCAAUAAAACAGUAAAAACUAGGAAUUCAUUCCUCCACCCCAUACUUAAAAAGAUGCUAUGUCCCCAAAACAUCAAGUAAAAUUUAAAACAAGGGUUAGAAAAACUCCCUGAGGCCUUUAGGCCUAGCUAGUAGUAUGUUCUCUUAAUUUUCAUCAAGAGUCGUCACCCCACACUUAAGCUCAAACGUGCUCUUUAGCUUCAAAUUUUGGAUACUCAAACUUCUCCAAAACCUGUAAAAACAACACAAAAAAAUGAGACUAAAAAAUAUAAGAAAUUACACUAUAAAUUGAGUUGCCUCCCAGUAAGCGUCUAAUUUAACGUCGCAGCACGACACAAGUAAAUUCACUACUUUUCUUUCCACUUUGAACUUAUGAAUUGUACCCCUAACUUUGCAUCUAUUUUUCUGCACCUCUCAAUGGGAGGUGGUAUAAACAUAAAGGAACCAAGUAAUAUAUGUCGCAUCUUGCACUUCUUGACCCUUAGGUGAGGAAUGUCGUUUUGUCUACGUGUACUAAAACACUUUAAGAUGUAGUGGCCUUGUACCUCAUCUAUUCACUCAUCCAUUAGUUCAGAUUUUAUAGAAAAGUGUUUUAAAUGAGAUUCAAGUUGGCUCAACUCCAAAGCACCAUUUUUUACAACAUUCUCACUUUUGUACUCUUUCUCAACAUCGAUAUUAAAGAAUAAGGUAUAGUUGAAUGGUUGGAAUUCCUCUUUUUUCUCCACUAGUUGGUCAUCAUCUAGACAAUUGGUAAUUGGGCUUCAGACGCCUUAAUCUUUUUGUUCAAGUCAGCCUCCAAGUCAUGAAUAUUUGAGCCAAAUUGAUCUAUUUCUUGUGUGAGCUCAACUCUUCCUUCAAUUAGUUGGGUUGUCAUGUAUGUGAGACCAUCACAGAUAGACUCUUCUAACUUUAGAAGUUGAGUUUGUCCUUGUUUCAAAAAUUGACUCACUAUCUCCGUUUCUCCAUAACUUUCUCUUUGUUGGGCUUCAAUCUCUUCUAAUUCAGUUUGGAUUGUAAUUUCUAAUUGAAUAGCGUCAAGCUUAUCCAGCAGUUUCAAGAUUUUUUUGUGCUCUUCCGUGCAUUCAAAUAUUUGUUCUGUGAAUUUUGAAUUAACUUUGUCCAACAUGUCCGUACAUUCCAUAAAUGAAUUCACAUUACGCGCCUCUUGUUUUGCAUUCUCCGCUUCAUCGCCCCUACCAACAUCACAAAUAACAGAAGGAUCAUAAUAGGGGUUCGGGGGAAGGGAAUAAGAUUUAGGACAACCAUUCCAAUGAAUAUAUUGACGACCACAUAUAUGACAUAAAGGACAUUCAUCACCCAACCACGAUUUAUUCUUAUCAUUCAUAUCAAUAAGAGUACCAAAUUAUUCAAAGAAAGAAAAAAAAAAUUAAUUGUUCAGAAAAAAAACUAACUUAAAAAAAAUAAAAAAAAAUAAAAAAAAAGCAAAAGUAUAACCUAGAAGAAUAGUUAAUUUCUAGGGCCCCGGCAGCGGCGUCAAAAAUUUGUUGCUCCCAAUUGCGCACACAAGUGUACGUGGUCGCACAAGUAAUACAAUGACUCUUAAAAGAACCAAAUUAUCGAACCCAAAGGACUUGUCGAUUAACUAUUUACUAAAUUAUACUAGUCUAAUUAUUUCUUUAAGAGUGCCAAAAUUGCUUGAUUUUAUUUAUAAAGAAAAAAAUGCAAGAAUGAAAUAAUAAUAUUCCUUAUAGUGAUUGGGAUAAUUCCAGGGCUACAACAUAUAUCGGAUUUCAUGUAUCGUAUAUCAGGCAAUGAACUAAUUUUGAUUAUCAAGUUACUGAUUUAUAGGGUUAAUUGUAUGAGUCGGGUCUCUUGACCUCUAGUCACCUACUCCAGUUAGCUGUCUAACUACAUCGUUGAGCGGGGAUAGCAGGCCUAACUGGUGAGCAUUUAUAUUUCAUCAUGUUUCGUAACCAAGCAAGUUGUUCCUCCGGGCGUCACUCUUGAACAUACAUCAACUCAAUGAAAGAUCAAGCUUUCUAUAUUCUCUUGUCUAUCUACCCUCUCCUCUCUCGAUUUUAAGAAUAGACAAUAUAUUUAUCUCUAGAUGGCCAGUCAAGAAAUACUAAAACAAGAAUAUAAAAGUAACUUAAACGAUAACCAAGAUUUUAUUCAAAAAUCUUUAAAAUUCAACAAUAAAUCCGUAGCUACAGCCCCAGAACAAGGGCGUUUAACCACUAAUAUCUAAGAAAAAAAGAAAAGAAAAGAACCCUAAAAAGUAUUUACAACUUUAUACUUUGAUGCCCUACGAUUGAUCUCCUCCUAAUUGAUCUACUAUAUUUUGAUCUCUCUAAUAAUUAUUUUCAUGAAUUAUUUAUAGAUAUAGAAAAUCCAAAAAAUAAUUGAGUCCAAAAUAAAUUAGGAACCCAAAACCUUAACAUAAUUGGAUUCCGCGUGAAAACCGUUUGCUGUAGCCGACUUCCAUUGGAAUAUUGCCUUCGUGGUUGACACGUGGCAUUUGAUCAUAUUGAAACUGCAACUUUUGAUUCCAGUGUAUAUUAUUUUAUAAAAUUUAAUUUAUUAUGCUAUCUGCUUGAUUUCCUACUUCAAUCUUUCACAUUUUUAAUUCGUUUUAACUCCAAACUUUUUUAAUUUUAUACCAAUUUACUCUUAUAAAUAAAAUACACUAUUUAGCACAAUCUAUAAAAUUCAUGCUAAAAAAAGACAAAUAUAAAUUAUAAAUGUGAGGUAAAUAAUGAUUAAAAUAUAUAUUUUUUGCCUCAUAUCAGGAAUCUAGAAACUUUAUAAAAAUGAGUUAUUGAGCAUAUGAACUGCUCAAGAGAGGUUAAUAGGGGUAAAACUAUGUGAAUGAGAGUGAGUUGAUCAUGAAAACCUCGGGUUUGAUAUAAUAACCUGUUAAUUAUUCGUUAGACCUUCCAAAAAGUUAGAAUUAGGUAAGUUUGAAUAUUCAAGACCUUCAUUUGAGUAAAUAGGAUAUCAAAAUAACCUUAUACUUUGUUGGUAUCAGGUUUUGAGCAUUUUGAGACAUUGAGGAAAGGGAAAGCUUGACAAUUUAGGUUGUUCGCUUUUCUAUUCAAAAAAUGAUAUAGUAAACUUAUCAUUUUAUUAAUUACUUCUUAAGGAUGUGUCAACUCAAAUAUGGACAAGUAAAAAUAGAUGGAAGUGUCAACUCAAAAUGGACAACUAGCCUACAAUUACAAACUAAAAAUAAAACUAAAAAUAAAACUAAAAUCAAAUAGUCUAACAAGACUAAAACUAAAACUAAAAUCAACUAGCUACAAUUGUGAACCCUCUUAGUCUUUAGGUUUUGAGUAAACAGGCGGCCUAGUGUGAAGUGGAUAGAGUACUGAUAAUUUGAUAUAGUUAUAGUGUCUAGUUAUAUAUUAAAUUAUUAAUAUUUAAUAUUUAGAAAGGAUAAAGUAGUAAUUAUUACCGUCUUAUUGGGUUAUCGGUUUACCCAAUAGAAAAAACCUAACCAAUAACCAAAUAGUAUUUUUAUAAACCUAUUAAAAACGCAAUAACCCAAUAACAAUUUUUCGGUUCGAUUUAUUGGUUGAUUCGAUUUUUACACACCUCUAAUAAUAGUAUUUUCAUUAGUCAUAACUCAUAAGGUCGAGCUGCUACAAUUAAGGAUUAAUUACCUUACUACGCAUCCUUUUUUACUCUAUUUUUCUAUUAUUCCCUACAAUUUCAAAAAAUUACAAAAAUCCCUCGUUUCCAUAAUUUCUCUCACUUUUUCGGACACAUCAUUGUAAACUAUUACCCCAAGAUUUUUUUUCCUUUUUUCAUGACUAAAAUCACGUAUCAUCAAUUAUCUCCAUCACUUUAUUUUUUAAUUUCAAAUCUUUUCUCUUUCUGAUUUAUCAACUGUAACACCCCAGAAAAUUUUUCGAACUAAGACUCGAACCGUUCUUCGUAGUGAGUGAGAUUUUACCAAGGAAUUAAAAAUUUCUUGAGUGUUAAGGUCACUAGAUGUAGCACCUUGAGUUUCAAAAAGAAUUAAAUUGGAAAUAGCAUAUGAGUUUUGGGUCGACUUCAAACGACCAUAACUCCUAGAUCAGGAUGAGUUAGGUGUGAUACCAGAUACCGUAGGAAAUACCUUUGAAUUAUCUUUCCAACGCCGCUGAGUUUGCUAAGUUUAGAGGUCAGAUGAGUGAGAUAUGACCUUUUAAAGUUAGGUUGUCCAGUUAAAGAAAGUCAAAACCGGGUUUUAGAGGGGUAUUUUGGUCUUUUCCUUACCAAAACAGAUUUGAUUCGUUUUUAGCAAUAUUUUAGGGGUCUAAUCUGAUUAGGUUCAGUUUUAUAAUCAUAAAAUUAGCCUAGGGUUUUAGUUGAGAGUUCAAGAAGAGAAAAGAAGAGAAAAGAGGAGAAAAGAGGAGAGGAUCAAGCGUUCGUCGAGAUUCUUGCGUCUUGUUGCGGAUUUUCGCUAUGAGUUUAAUCCCUAAGAGGUAUGUUAGCUUCCAUAGUGUUGGGUUCUUUCACCCACACACCAAUCAUGAUUUAUUCAGCGUAAUUUCGUUCUUGAAAAUUUAAAGAUUAGAGUUCUUGAUAAGUGUUCUUGAAGUUUCAUUAAGUUUUGAAGUAAGAUUCUGCUUAGGUCAACUUUAAACAACCAUAUCUCUUAGAAUAUUAAGAGUUACGUGAGCCAUAACCUAUCCAAUUAAAGGUAAUUCAAUCUACUUUCCAACCCCACCAGUUUCACGUCAAUCCAAUAUUUGAGUAAAAAUUUAUGACCAUUUUAGUAACCUAUACAGUGCUGUUACGAAUUAGCCGACGGGAAAAUAUUGAAAAUAAUCGUUUUUGUCUUUUUUACAUCCAAGAAAAACCAUCAACGAAUUUCUUGACCAAUAAAAGGCUCAAAACAAUCAGAUUUUCAUCUUCACUCAUGAAAAUCAUAAUUCUUGGCCAUGGAGAUUUCAAGAAACUAAUUCAAGAAUUUCAAAAAAAGGUUUUCUUGAUUUUUACCUUCAAGCUAGGGUUUCAAGGCUUCUAAUCAAGUUCUUAUUGUUCUUCUAGGUAUGUAAGGCUAUCAUAGUGUUGGACUAGUUCGUCCUCACGCCCUACAUAUACUUUCAGAGCAGAAAAAGAGUAAUCUAGGAUACUUUCCCUAGAUUUGAGUAUUCUUGAGAUAAGUUGAUUUUGAGCUCUUGAAUUCGUGUUUCUUUUAAAAGUUCUAUUCCUAAUUAUCGAGUAGCUAUAUUGUCACGUCCCGAGCUACCCCCGAGACGCGGACACGGGACCUAGNNNNNNNNNNNNNNNNNNNNNNNNNNNNNNNNNNNNNNNNNNNNNNNNNNNNNNNNNNNNNNNNNNNNNNNNNNNNNNNNNNNNNNNNNNNNNNNNNNNNUUGACCUCAUCAAUGAAGUUUUGUGGGUCUUCACCAAGUUGUGACACUAAAACUCGGGCGGAUUCAUCCUUAUAAAAAUCUCAAACUCUAGCUGCCACUGAUCCACCAUUUCUAUUAGUAGGAACUGGAACUUGCUGAUUGUUCUCGUUGGUCAUACCUGAGCCAAAAGCUGAAUUGGCAUUUCGAAACUCUGCAUUCGAAACUUCAUGAUCUGGGACCAGAAGAACUGCGUUAGCAUUGCGUGUAUUAGCAUUCCUUACCUAAGCUCUAUGAGAAGGCAUGAUCUCAAGCGCAUAAGGAUGGAUUAGAAAGGAGAUCAUCCCAACGCACGAUAAAAAUAUCAAGAAAGUGAAGCUUUUGCCUAAAACACUUCACAGCCUCCCUCUCAUUAGAUAUGGUGCACUUCACACCCAUGAAAAGGACUCUACUUAGUGCGGCUUUUCAGACAUCCUAGAACUCUUAAACCUAGUGCUCUGAUACCAAGUUUGUCACNNNNNNNNNNNNNNNNNNNNNNNNNNNNNNNNNNNNNNNNNNNNNNNNNNNNNNNNNNNNNNNNNNNNNNNNNNNNNNNNNNNNNNNNNNNNNNNNNNNNNNNNNNNNNNNNNNNNNNNNNNNNNNNNNNNNNNNNNNNNNNNNNNNNNNNNNNNNNNNNNNNNNNNNNNNNNNNNNNNNNNNNNNNNNNNNNNNNNNNNNNNNNNNNNNNNNNNNNNNNNNNNNNNNNNNNNNNNNNNNNNNNNNNNNNNNNNNNNNNNNNNNNNNNNNNNNNNNNNNNNNNNNNNNNNNNNNNNNNNNNNNNNNNNNNNNNNNNNNNNNNNNNNNNNNNNNNNNNNNNNNNNNNNNNNNNNNNNNNNNNNNNNNNNNNNNNNNNNNNNNNNNNNNNNNNNNNNNNNNNNNNNNNNNNNNNNNNNNNNNNNNNNNNNNNNNNNNNNNNNNNNNNNNNNNNNNNNNNNNNNNNNNNNNNNNNNNNNNNNNNNNNNNNNNNNNNNNNNNNNNNNNNNNNNNNNNNNNNNNNNNNNNNNNNNNNNNNNNNNNNNNNNNNNNNNNNNNNNNNNNNNNNNNNNNNNNNNNNNNNNNNNNNNNNNNNNNNNNNNNNNNNNNNNNNNNNNNNNNNNNNNNNNNNNNNNNNNNNNNNNNNNNNNNNNNNNNNNNNNNNNNNNNNNNNNNNNNNNNNNNNNNNNNNNNNNNNNNNNNNNNNNNNNNNNNNNNNNNNNNNNNNNNNNNNNNNNNNNNNNNNNNNNNNNNNNNNNNNNNNNNNNNNNNNNNNNNNNNNNNNNNNNNNNNNNNNNNNNNNNNNNNNNNNNNNNNNNNNNNNNNNNNNNNNNNNNNNNNNNNNNNNNNNNNNNNNNNNNNNNNNNNNNNNNNNNNNNNNNNNNNNNNNNNNNNNNNNNNNNNNNNNNNNNNNNNNNNNNNNNNNNNNNNNNNNNNNNNNNNNNNNNNNNNNNNNNNNNNNNNNNNNNNNNNNNNNNNNNNNNNNNNNNNNNNNNNNNNNNNNNNNNNNNNNNNNNNNNNNNNNNNNNNNNNNNNNNNNNNNNNNNNNNNNNNNNNNNNNNNNNNNNNNNNNNNNNNNNNNNNNNNNNNNNNNNNNNNNNNNNNNNNNNNNNNNNNNNNNNNNNNNNNNNNNNNNNNNNNNNNNNNNNNNNNNNNNNNNNNNNNNNNNNNNNNNNNNNNNNNNNNNNNNNNNNNNNNNNNNNNNNNNNNNNNNNNNNNNNNNNNNNNNNNNNNNNNNNNNNNNNNNNNNNNNNNNNNNNNNNNNNNNNNNNNNNNNNNNNNNNNNNNNNNNNNNNNNNNNNNNNNNNNNNNNNNNNNNNNNNNNNNNNNNNNNNNNNNNNNNNNNNNNNNNNNNNNNNNNNNNNNNNNNNNNNNNNNNNNNNNNNNNNNNNNNNNNNNNNNNNNNNNNNNNNNNNNNNNNNNNNNNNNNNNNNNNNNNNNNNNNNNNNNNNNNNNNNNNNNNNNNNNNNNNNNNNNNNNNNNNNNNNNNNNNNNNNNNNNNNNNNNNNNNNNNNNNNNNNNNNNNNNNNNNNNNNNNNNNNNNNNNNNNNNNNNNNNNNNNNNNNNNNNNNNNNNNNNNNNNNNNNNNNNNNNNNNNNNNNNNNNNNNNNNNNNNNNNNNNNNNNNNNNNNNNNNNNNNNNNNNNNNNNNNNNNNNNNNNNNNNNNNNNNNNNNNNNNNNNNNNNNNNNNNNNNNNNNNNNNNNNNNNNNNNNNNNNNNNNNNNNNNNNNNNNNNNNNNNNNNNNNNNNNNNNNNNNNNNNNNNNNNNNNNNNNNNNNNNNNNNNNNNNNNNNNNNNNNNNNNNNNNNNNNNNNNNNNNNNNNNNNNNNNNNNNNNNNNNNNNNNNNNNNNNNNNNNNNNNNNNNNNNNNNNNNNNNNNNNNNNNNNNNNNNNNNNNNNNNNNNNNNNNNNNNNNNNNNNNNNNNNNNNNNNNNNNNNNNNNNNNNNNNNUGAAGUUGACCAAUCAAUAAUCUUCAUCUAACUGACUGUUGACCCUCAUCUACGGUCAGACCUACGGACCGUGGAUCGAUUGACGGUUCGUGCUGGUCAACCGUCAAUCGGGACUGAAGCUGGGCUUUUGGGGCAUCGAUCCACGGACACGAACUACGGUCCGUGACCUGACCUACGGACCGUAAGUCCGGCCGUGGGUCAACACUUAGCCAAAUUUUCUGACUGAGUCUUGGAGGGGUUGCAGUGGUGAACCAUGGACCACCAGCGCGGGCCGUGGUCUGACCUACGGUCCGUGGAUGGUGACCGUAAGUUGCACUUGCAACUUCUCGAAAUCUGUAUUUUUUGUCUGUUUCGAAUACGGGGUGUUACAUAUAUUGUUAUUGAGAUCCUUCAUAUCAUGAAUCAUAACUCUUGAAUUCAUAAUUCAAAUUCAAGAGAGAGUUAAGAGUAGAGUUCAAAGAAGCAUUUGAGUUCAAUUGUGAAUCCUUUGAGAUCCAUCAUCAAUUUGAGUUAAGUUUUGAGUAAGUGAGUAAGAGAAUGAGAAGAGUCAUAUACAUGAGUUCCAUGUAGUUAUGUAGACCUUUGAGUCGAGUCGUUCAUGCCAAUAAUUUUGCAUGAACUCCAUAAAUUGAGUAUCAUUGAGAUGAGUAGUAUCUUCAAGUUCUAAGUCUUGAGUAUUGAGUUCAUAAUACCUUUUGAGAUUAUAUUCCUAAUCAUGGGACUAUUACAUGCUACCCAUGAAGUCCUUGAGUUGGGUUAUUCAUGUCAAUAAUUCCGCAUGAACCCUAUAAGUCGAGCAGUCUUGAAGCGAGAAGUAUGUUCGAGUCCUUGAGUUGAGUAGUUCAUGCUCAUAAAUUUCGUAUGAACCCUCUGAGUUGAGCAUUCUUGAAGUGAGUAGUACUGUUGAAGUUCUUGAGUUCCAAGUAUUGAGUUCUAUCUAUGGUUAUUGAAAAUCUUGCAUUGAGUCGUUCACGUCCAUAAUUCGGUAUGAACCAUAUUUUAAAAAGUCUUUUACAAACGUUUUAACUUUGUUUUAAGACUUAAGUUUUGAGUUAAGCAAAGAGUAAAGAGUAAAGAGUUGAAGUUCAUUUCUUCAAAAGUAUAUGGAGACUAUGUAUUCCCAAAAAGAGUUUAAAAAUGUUUUCACAUUUAAAUAAGAAUGGAAACUGAGAUUUCCAAAGAGCUUUCGGGCGAGUUUUUAGAAAACACUAAUAGCUUUCUAAAUGAAGCAAGCAGGAAAACUGAGAUUUCCAAGAUAGCCUUUGAGCUAAGUUUUGAGCAAUUAUCUCAAAUCACAGAAAGAAGUAUGUUUUUAAAACAUAAAGAGCUAGUAUAUUUUGGGAGUAGUAUUGAGCACCGAAUUGAGGGCGAGCAUGAGUUCAGAUAACUCACGUCUCCUGAAAACCAUGUAGCCACCAUGGGUAGAAAAGGGUCAUACUUUUUAGAUGAAUCCUUACAUCAGUUUAUUGUAUUUUUACAUACAUUUCAGACAUAUGUUGUAUCCUUGCAUACACAGAGAGUUUUCAGCAUGUUUUUAAACAAUUUGUUUCUUUAUACACUUAUUUUAAAUUGCUUUAUAUUGAAAUGAGUUCAGUUAUAUUGAGUUGAGUAUACAGAGUUGAGUACCCAGAGUCGAAUAACAUAUCUUUGAGUUGAGUAUCUUAUCCUUGAGUACUUCUGAGUUGAGUAAGUUUGAGUAGUUUUGAGUAGUUUGGAGUAUUCCUUGAGUUGAGUAAGAUUUGAAAAGAGUUAAGUAUGUUUCCUUUUAUCAAGUUUCAAGCUUAUGUUUAUGCUUUAGAAUUCCCCUUACAUGCUCGUACAUUCCACGUACUGAGUCAUUUGGCCUGUAUCUUCUCAUGAUACAAACACAGGUAUUGAUCAUGAUCGUCAAUAGGAGCUUCGUUGAUACAUCCGGGAGUUCGAGUUAGCUAUGGUGAGCCUCCUUGUUUCCGGAGGAUUUCAUUUACUUUUCAGUUUAGUCAGGAUGACGUGGGUCUUGUCCCGACUUCCAUCUUUAUCAGUUAGAGGCUUCAUAGAUAGUCAGUAUAGUUGAGAAGUCUAUAUUAUUCAUUUAUUUUAUUAAAUGUUUUAAAGACUUAAGUUGCCUAUUUUAUGGCGAGUUGAAUAAUUUAUUUUAUUCGGAGUUUUCUUUUGAGUUAAAGCUUUCUAUUUAAGUUUUAUGAACUUUUAUUUCAGUUUUUAAGCUUUGUAUGCUUGAUUCAGUUUUCCGCUUGUAGUCAGCCAGGAUGAGGAUUCGCUUGGGGACCAGCAAUGGUCUUCGAGUGCCGGCCACGUCCAGGGUGUAGGCUCGGGUCGUGACAUCAACUAUAAGUUAUUGAAGAGGUAGUUAUUCUUCAUCUUCUUCUUCAUCUAUUUUUUUCUUUCUACUUCAUCAAGUAGUCGAUUUUUUAUUUUUUUUCGCUUUUCCAUCUACAAAUUUAAUCAAAGAAGGAUGCAUCUUCAACUUCAAAAUCGAUUGUGGAAAAAACGCCCAAAAAAGGAGGAAAAUGUCGAGUUGUUGAUGGCUCCGCUAAGGGAUUUGGGUCGAGAUCUAUGAGUGACGCCAUUGUUGAAAGUGGAAAAAAAAACUACGGGAGUUGAUGUAGAGAAAAAGAGAAAGUGUAGAAGGAUUUCUUCAUCAUUUUUUUUUUUUGCUUUCAGCAAAGCAGAUUGUUGACUUUUUUUUCCGAAUUUUUGUUGUUCAUCUUUUUUAUGAUACAUAUGGGUUCAGAUCUUUUAAUAUAUCUAGUUGAUUUUGAUUCUUAAAUUAAUGUAUAAUUCGUUCGUUUCACCUUUAUGAUACAUUACAAUUUAAUCAUGUACAAUAUAUUGUUUCAAAUAUUAGUUGUGAUACAUAACCCUAAUUUAUUGAAACACAAAUUACUAUGUAUCAUGUUCAUAGUUAUGUAUUGGAAACACAAUUAUUACAAAAUUCGUUAUCUUUUUACUACCGACACAUACACCCUGCCUUGUUUAACUAGUAGAAGGCUAUGUAUCGGUAGACACUAUCAAAUAUUACUAUUGAUACAUAAACACUAAUGUUUUAUAACAAAAUCAGUUUGUAUCAUAUUCAUAGUUAUGUAUAUGAUACAUAACUUUGUUAUGUGUAUAACAUAGUUAUGUAUCAUGAUGUUGUGAUGUAUCGCAUGUUGUUAAGUAUCUGCAACACUGUUUUAUCAUAUUCAUAGUUUUUUUUUUGUACAUGAUACAUAAUUAUAUAAAAUUGUCGAUUUUCUUUUAAUCUGUUAUAAUUUGGGAGAGAAUUUGAGAGAAGAAAAUUUGAAAUUUGAAUUGUUUGGAGCUGUUAUUUGGGAGAGAUUGACAUCAAUUUGAUUUGCAUGAUUUGGGGAACUGACAUUUAAUUUUAUAUUUAAUUUCCUUUUUAAUCUCAACAAAGUAGUUGUAUAAUGUAUCAGGAUGAAAUUUAUGUAUCUGGAUGACUGAUAUUUGAAGCGAUUUUUUAUAAAAUAGAAAAGAGUAGGGAUAGAAUGUAAUUUAGGUCUUACACUAUGACAUUUAUGUAAGUUAUACUAGAAUUAAAGAAACAAGAAAAAGGUCAUAUUUGUUACUCAACUAUGCUAAAUGGUUCAAAAAAAUAAAUUCUCCAUCAGUAAUUGGGAUCAGAUCUACGUACCUUCUCCGUUGCUGAAGUUGUCCAAAUUUUCCCUUUGUAGAACAUGUUUAACAUAGAUUAGCCAUAUGGCUCAAACUUAAGCCUCGUAGUUCAAAAUAUGCGAGGGCAAAUCUAACCUCAAUUAUUAAAGAAGGAUAUAUAUAUAUAUGUGUGUCACGAAAUUUCAUAAUUCAAAAAUCGAAUUUCAGAAUUUUCGAAAAUUUUAAAAACAACAAAAGAUGCUUCACUUUUUCCAACUUCAAAUAACUCGCAGAAAGUCAAUUUUAAUUUGUAUUCAUGGCCAAAAACAACUGAAUCCAACUUUCAAAUACCAUUUUUCACUUUAAAAAUAAACUUUUUUUAAAAAAAAUAAAAUGAAAUCGCAAUGAAAUAUGGACAAAUGAUCACUAAAUACAAUUUCGAUUUAAAGAUUAGUCAAACUGACUCUCAUGACCAGUAAAAGUAUAUCGAUUUUGAAUUAUAAAUGUGGACAAAAGCACAAAAGCGACGGGAGUGAUAAUAUGAGGCUGGAGUUACGUAGGGACUAGCACUCCCUCCACAAAUAAUUUAGUAUAGUUAACAAAUAAAAUAUACUAUAGAUUAGUUUUUUUUCCUUUGGGUGAUCAAUUUGGAUGAUAUAAUAUGGUAGGAAGAAUGUUGCAACAUACAAGGACAAAGAGCAAGACAGUGUUCCUUAGCAUUCCAUAAGUCACAAACAUCCAAAUCUCCAGAUAUAAAAUAGAUGCCAAGAAUAAAAACAAACACACUUGCACAAGAAUCCAUAUCCUAAUUUUGAAAGCUAUGUCUAUAUAUUAUUAAUACAUAUUUUGGACUUUAUCUUACCUCUCCACUCAUUUUCUCUUUCUUACUUCUGGACCUAUUAGUAUUUUGAAAUGAUUCCCUACGUGGACCCCUUGAUCUCUUUCUAUUUCAAACUUUUCGAUGCAUCUAAUAGUAUCAAUUUUAUGCUAUCAAGUAAGUCCAUACAAAAUUAAUUCGUGACAUUUUGUAAAAACUAUAAUAAUUAACUACCUUGCAAGGGUUUGAAAAUCAUCAAUUUAAAAUGCUUUAAUUAAAGCAAGAAAAAUCAGGGUACCAUGAAAAAAGGCCAUAUCUAAAAUAUGUAAUGUAUGCAGUUUAUUCUAAUCUUAAAUAUCAGUCGUUGAUUUCAUUAUUUAAAGUGAAGAUAAUUUUAUCGUUGCUCCGAGCAGGAGAGCCCGACUCUAAAAGGUUAAACAAAAGGCAAGGUGCCUUAGACCUCCAAAUUUAAAGGGUUUCAUUUUAUUUUAUUUUAAUAAUAAUAUAGGUGUUUUUUCAGGAAAAAAUAUUGAAUAAGUACUAUUUCACACAUUUGGAAUACUAUCUAGAAAAAGACUAAAAUGGAUUGACUAUAUCAACAAUUUAAAAAGAAUCAUUAAAAAAGUUAAUUAUAAAAAGUUAUUAACAAUUUUGCAUCUCAAAAAUCUAGAAGAAUAAAUUUCAAGAAAAAUAUAUAUAAAUUUAUUUUUAAAAUUGUAAUUAAGGCUUUCAUUUGAUUUUCACUUUUAGAUCAUAAUGUGCUUGAGACGCCUCUAGCUCAGAGACUAAACACAAAAAAGGAAGACCUCAAAGAAGAAGAGAAACAAAAGAAAUGAAUACAUUGGAUACCAGUAAAGCUAGCUAUUCAUAAUCUUCUCUACAUUUUUUUCAAUAAGUUAAAUAAACAAAACUAAGUUAUACAACACUUUUAUUCCUUUCCUUGUCCUUCCCUAUCUCUUCUAUAUUUACUUUUUUUUUAACUCAACUUUUCAUGGAAAAAAAGAAGAAGAACAUGUCUCCUCUUUUUCUUUCUUUCCAAAUUUUCAUUCUUCUUGUGAAAUUUUCGAAAGAAACAUCUCCUUUAUGCCUCUUCCCCCUAAUUUCCAUACAUUGUCAUAUUCUUCGUAGAAGCUAAGAGAACGUGUACACGUACAUAUAUAAAUAAAAUUUCAAGGUCUUCAAUCUUGUAGCUCUUAAACUUGUGUUGUAGUAUUGUGUUGAUCAUGAAGCCAAUUUGAGAAUGUUUGAAGAGUGUUCAUAUCAGCUCUAUAAUGUUUUUGAGUAAAUUCAAGGAGAGUAGGCCAUGUGAAAUCAGGAUAUAUUCGAGGGUUGUUGGAGUCCACCAAUUCAUUUGGUGGGCUCACCACCUUAUCUUUGUUUGGACAAAGAAAGAAAGCUAGUGAUUUCCUAGGAGUCUUGUUGUUUACUACUGCUCUGUGCAGGCAACUUUUGUAUCUUCCAUUUGAUAGCGCCUGCAAAAGGUAAAAAAAAAUAAUGUUUAAACCCCACUAGAUCAAAUUUAUGUGACCACUUUUUCACCUAUAUUUCAACUUGUUCAAUGGAGUAUAUAUAUGUGGACAUCAUAUUCAUGUUGUACGUCCUAAUUAAACACACAUGAUAUAUAUCAUUUCAUCGUUACAAUGUGAAAAUAUCUUACCAUAAAUGUGUCGCCUAUGUUAACCACAAAUGCAUUGAAAUUUGGACUGAUGGAACGCCAUUCAUCGUCCACAAAAACUUGAAGUCCGCCAACACAAUCUUGAUGGAGAAUUGUUAAUGAUGUUGGGUCACAAUGAGGCCCCGUUCCUAAGGUGAGCUCCGGUUUCUGACAUGGUGGAUAGUAGUUGAGUCUCAUUAUCGAAUCAUUUUCUUCGAAAAAUUCUUUGAAGUGGCUCUUCUCUACGCCUAGGCUCAUCCCUAAGAGUUCCAUGAUCCCAAGAGAAAGUGUGUUCAUGGAAUUGCAAUAUUCUUGAUAAACAUUCCUAUAUAAUUUAAGUGGAAAAAAAGGUUAACUCAUUUACAUAUAUAAUCGAGAAUAUGUAUAUAUAUAGUGCCUCUAUAUCAAAUUGUUUAUCUGGUUUUGAGUGACACAAAAUUUAAAAUAAUAAAGAAAUUUUUGAAUCUUGCAGUCAGCUGAAACAAAUAAAUAUAUUGAAACGAAUAGAGUAGUACGGUCCGUACCCAAGAUGGUUAAAACUUUCACCCAAUGUCCUUUGAAAAUACUCUUCAACUAUGUGAGAUGAUUCUUCUUCAGCAGAGUAACGAAAAGAGAGUGUCUCUUUCCAAGGUAGCUUUGACGAAAACCUUCCAGUAAAGCUACUAGCAUAACCACAAUGCUCACCAAUUUUCCUCUGAGCCUUUUGCUUUUCCAAAAGCGGCAAGUCAAAGAACGUAUCCAUAUAACGAUGAGCAUUAGAAAUAAGAUUAGCAUCAACUCCAUGGUUCACCACAAGAAAAAAGCCAUGACUCCGACACGCUUCUCCAACAAGCUUAGAUGCUUGUUGGGCCGCGUCAGAGUCACCAGAAAGAAAACCCCUUAAGUCAAUAAGGGGUACGUGAAGUUCUUGUACUACGGCACAAGGCUUCUCGUGGUCGGGCCAUAUGAAUUGUGUGGGAAUAUUAGACUCACGUUUCAUAUGCGAUGCAUCAAAAAUAAAUUGUUUUGUUUCAUCUAUCAUUGGAGAUUUUGCAUUUGUGAUCAUACAAUCAAUAGCCAUUAUUGCAUGCACAGAGUAGGAGUAGUAGUUAAUUUGUGAAGAGCCAAAAGUGAAGGAUAUAUAAAGAAACUAAAGAGAGAGAGUUGAGAUAAAGGAAAAGCCAAGGCCGUUCAUUGGGAAAAUAGGUGAACAAAAAUUGGAAUCUUAUAGGUCUCUCACUUAACAGAGAAAAUGAAUAGUUUGCUAAAAAGGGCUUAGCAAUGCUUAAAAUUGGGAUAGAGGUCCUUAUGUUGUUUGUCUUUUUUACUAUUGACAUCAUAGAAGAGUUUCUCAUAUAUUUUAAAUUAAAUUUUAAAAAAUUAUGUUUGAUAGUAAUAGAUUUUGAAUUGGAUUUUAAAAUUUUAUUUUCAAGAUACUAAUUAUUUACAAGUUUCAAAAAGUGGUCACAGAAAUUUCACUUGGGAAAUCUUGUAGCUCAAUUGAUUGAAUAUUUAAACUCCCAUUUUACUAGUGAAAGUUCAAUUCUCCACUUUGUAAUCCUCUUCAUUUUCACUCACUUAAGUAUUAUUUUUAUUUUAAAAAAACUAAAAUACAUUUCUAAACACAAUUUUAAGUUAUGAAUAUAUAACUUCAAAAAUUUCAUUCAGAAUUUAAAUUUUAACUUUAAAAUUUAUGAUCAAAUGAAAUAAAUUUGCGGAGAAGUUGAUAAUGGUUAAAAUAGAGAUAAAAGGUUCAUAUGUUGUUUGUCUUUUCUACUGUUGGACAGGAAAGCGUUUCCCAAUGGUGUUUGGAGUUUCCUUUGGUCGGGUGAUUGAGCCAUCACCAUUCACCACCCAACCUUUUUUAUUGAAGCAUACUCUUUUCAUUCAUAACAUUAACAUAUUCCUCAUACCGUCAUCACUGGCGUCACCUAACUAUUUGACUUGACACGGUUAUUUUUUUAUUUUAAAAAUAAAUUUUUAUUUUUAUUUAUCACAUUUUACAUAUCAAUUUUUAUUUUUAUUUUAUAUUUAGAAUUCCUUAUUUAUCUCUCAAAUAUUUUUUCAAGACCUAAUUAGUAUUCUUUAUUUAUUUUCCAAAUAUUUUUUCAAGACCUAAUACUAAUUAGAACAGUGUGCUAAGUCAAAAAGUGAUAAGAAAAAUUGAACCGAGAUUGAGAAUUUAGUGGGGGUGCUAAGACUUCUUAUCCUAAUGAGCAUUGAUUGAUAAUUUAGUUGGAGGUGGGGUGGGGGCUGACAGGGUCGUCUCGACCAUAAGGCCACUAAAGCAAUCGCUUGGGGUCUCAAUUUUUUUGGGGCCUCUAUUUUCUCUCAAAGAUAUGUGUAUAUAUAUUGUUAAAAAAAAUUCAUGUAUUGAUAAAUUUGAAAUUAUUUUUUUGUAUAGAAAAUAUAAUUGAGAAAUUGAAUAUUGUUUAGUUGAUUGUAGUGUCUUUUCUAGAUUCUUAUGUGGCUAGUUAAUUGUAGUAUCCUUUCUAGUUUCGCAUGUGGGUAUGUAUUUUGUUGUCUAGCUCAUUUAUAUUUUGACGAUUAUCAUGAACCAACAAUAUUGUGUUCUUAUACUUAUUUUUCUUUAUUCUCCUUUCACUAUUUUUCAUUCUUUCAUUAUUGAAUAUUCUUAAGUCUCUCAAACGUUCAAACAUUCUACAUUAUGUGAUAUCUAUUGUUGUGUGUUUAUAAAAAGAUCAAAUUUGUUUUUGGUGUCUUAUUAAAAUUUCAAGCACUAAAACUAAUCAACACUAUUUUAAUAUUAUUUAUUAACUUAUCAAAUUCAUCGCUACACUAUUUUAACAUCAUCAUAUUUUUAAAAUUUUGAGUCAUGUUUUAUUAUUCCAACUUUAUAUUAUAUAAUUUUCAUUGAAAUUUACAUUAUUUGCAUUCUUACUUCAUAAUGUCUACAUAUAUCCUGCUCCUCCAGACCUCAUUUGUAGGAUUACACUAGUAUAUUAUAAUUAUUCAAUUUAUAUUUAUAUCAACUAAAAAAAUUAGGGCCUCUUUAUAAUGUUUGGCUUUAGGCCCCUAAACUUGUUGAGACGGCCCUGAGAGAGGGAUGAGGGGGUUAGAGUUACUUUUUAAGUAUAUUAUAAGUUAUAAGUUGAUUAUACUAAAUUUUUAAUUUUUAACUUAUAUUAUAUAUUUUAGGCCUAAAAAUAAGUGUUUAAAUUAUUAUUUUUGUCUUUUUCCAAACAACUUUCAAAAAUAAAAAAGAGUUUAAAAGUCAAAAAUUAUUUUAGAUAAACCAAUCAAAAUACCCUCUUAUUAAAAAUAAUUAUUAACAUAUUAUAAUAAAUUAAAUUACAUUAAUAAUAUGAAGAAAAUAAAUUUAACUUGUACGCCCCUUUUUUUAUUUAAGGAGAUUCUAUCCAAUUAUUAAUCGCGAUGCGGAAAAGAGCAAAGAAAGAAAAGUUGAAGACGGUUUUACGAUACGAAAGAACCCCUCUUAUCUUGUGGCUAGCAGAGGCGAAUCUAGAAUUUGAAGACUUUGGAUGCACCAAUAUUACCUUAGCUUAAAUAUGAGCUCUAAUAUAAACUUAAAAUAAAAAUUGUGAAAAAAACAUUCUAGCUAGAUUCAAACUCAAGUCUCAUGGGUAGAUCCUCUAGCUUGUACCAACAGCACACUGACACUCCUAUGCUUUGCAUGGAUACACUGUUAAUUAUAUCUUAAUUUAUGUAAGUUUCUUAAAAUAGAUAUACAUAUAUGUAUAUGAUUUUUUUUGAAAUUAACGGAUGCACGUGCAUCCCACCUAGAGGGGUACAUACGGUGGGUCAGCCUCUGGAAUGGCUAGCAACAUCAAUACUCAUGUAUCUAAGUUUGUGUAAUUUAUGUAAAUUUCUUAAAAUAGAUAUAUAUAUGUACAUGAUUUUUUUUUAAAUUAGCGGAUGCACGUGCAUCCCACCUAAAGGGGGUACGUACGGUGGGUCAGCCUCUGGAAUGGCUAGCAACAUCAAUACUCAUGUAUCUAAGUUUGUGUAAGUUACCUAUUAAAAUACGUAAAAAUAAUCUAACAAUAUUAUAUAAAGACAUAAUACAUAAACAUGACUCUUAACUUGACGUCAACCGGCAAUUAUGACCUUUAAUUUUGGGUGUGCAUAAGUAGACACUUAAACUUGUAUAAAAUUGAACAAAUAGACACAUUCAUCCUACAUGACACCCUAUAUGGCAAGUUUAUGUCCUAUGUGGCGUCCUACGUGUAUAAUGUCAUGUAGGACACGUGUGUCUACUUGUUCAAUUUUAUACAAGUUUAAGUGUCUACUUGUGCACACUCAAAGUUGGAGGGCAUAGUUAUCCGCUGAAGCCAAGUUAAGGAUCAUGUUUAUAUAUUAUGCCUUAUAUAAAUUAGGCAUAAUACAUAAAUAAGACCCUUAACUUGGCUUCAAAUUAUAACUUUGACCUUAACUUUUGAGUGCACAAAUAGACACUUUAACUAUCCAAAACUUAAACAAAAAAACACUCGGAUAUUUCAGGCAAAAUGUGUGAUAUACAAAUGCGCUGACGUGGAAAAGUGAACCACUCCAUUGCUGCCAACUAACUAAAAUAAAUACACCUAGAUUUUAAAAAUAAAUUAUAAUAUAGGGUGUGUUUGGUAUGAAGUUUUCUCAUGUUUGGUUGGGUUAAAUGUUUCGGAAAAUGUUUUCCACCCCCCACCCACCCACCCACUCCCUACCANNNNNNNNNNNNNNNNNNNNNNNNNNNNNNNNNNNNNNNNNNNNNNNNNNNNNNNNNNNNNNNNNNNNNNNNNNNNNNNNNNNNNNNNNNNNNNNNNNNNNNNNNNNNNNNNNNNNNNNNNNNNNNNNNNNNNNNNNNNNNNNNNNNNNNNNNNNNNNNNNNNNNNNNNNNNNNNNNNNAUGCUUUCUGUGAUUAAAAUUGAGUUUAAGGGUUAUUUUGGUCAUUUAAGGAUUUUUCUUUAAACUUCAAGCUUUAUUAAUAGUGAUGUAUUCAUUUUAGAGUUAACAUGAACGUUUACUACCAUAUAAAUAUAUAUAAUUUAUUCAAAUUUAAAAUUUAAAACUAUUUAUUUAAGGUCAGUUAAAAAUUAACUUUUAUAAAAAAAAAUUGUAAUAAUUAUUAAAUGUCACUUGCAUUUUGCAGUGAACAACAAAUAAUGCAAAAAAGAGGGGAAAAUUGUUGAAAAAAAUAGAAAGAGGGUUUAAUUGUCCUUUCAAUGCUUUUUUUACUGUUGGCCCCCUCAAUUUUUACAUCUGACGCGCCUAAUUUGUGUGUAUUUCACGCAUUUUGCCAGGUAGGAUCCGAGUGUUUUUUUGUUUAAGUUUUGGAUAGUUAAAAGUGCCUAUUUGUGCACUCAACAAGUUAAAGGUCAAAGUUAUAAUUUGAAGCCAAGUUAAGGGUCUAAUUUAUGUAUUAUGCCUAUAAAUUACAUUUCUUUCACGAACUAGAACUAAACAACGUAGCGCAUGUACAAAUUCAUGUAACAUGUAAAGUCUUCCAUUCGAAUUCUAGCAAAAAUAACAUUUUUAACUUAAAAGAUAAAAAUAAAAUUUGUAUUUAUUUUGUUUCUUUUUAGAUUUCAUUUAUAUAGUUACAUUGAAUUUAUUAUUCUUGUUUGUGUGAUCGCCAAGCCUAUGCCAAUAAAUAUUUUGCUAGACUUGUAAUGAUAAAGUUUCCGUUUAAAAGAUUCACAUAAAGAAGAAGAGGAAUGUUUUAUGACACCAGUGUAAGUCUAUCACUCUCCUAUUUCAAUUUAUUUUAAUUACUAAUAUAUAGUAACACAAAUAUUUAAGAUUUAUUUUAGAUCAUAAAUUUUUUUUAAAUUUUUUUUUUCUUAAAUUUUAUACUAAGUAAAAACUUAAACGAUAUCACAUAAAUUAAAUAGAGAUAAAAUAAGCUUAGGUUCAAAUGUCGUUUAGUGCCUUUGUCUUCUCCUUUUUGCAGCCCCCAAUAUGUUUACUUAAGAAAGCUAAUACUUUCUCAUUUUUCUUUUUAGUUAAUCUAAAAAGGAAUGACACAUUUUUAUAUUAUUUAAAAGUUUAAUUUUAAAAUAUUUAUUUUAUCUUUAAUAUAAUGUUUUAUAGUCAUACAGACAUCUAUAACUUAUUUAAGACCAUAAUUAUCAAAAGUUUUUUUUUCUUUUAUAAAUUUCAAGUUAAAUCAAACUAAACGGGAUAAAUAUAACAACGAAAGCAAGGACAGGGGAAGCCGUAUCAUGCCGACCUGUAAAUAGACAGUUUCUAAUUUAAAUUAAAGAAAGAAACGCUCUCUACAUUAAUUUCAGUAGUAAUCUCUUUAAUUUGCAACAAGUUAACAAAUAUGAGCAUUUAAUACAUCAUGAUGAUCCAUUGAAUGAGACGUACAUAUAAAAUAAAAAAAAUAAAAAAAGGAAGAAAUUAAAGCAGUAAUAAUGAACCAAGCAAGAGGGGAGGGGAUUGGUGGCUGUUCACAUUUAGCCAUAAGGUGGAGAUUGUAAGCUCUAUAACCGGUUGACCAAGCUUUUGGGACGUCAAAAUUACUUAUUUUAAAAAACGUGAAGUAUUUAGCUAAGUAUUAAAAGAAAAAAAAUAUGCUUAUGAAAUAUGAAGAGUAACAUAGAAAUUAUUUUUCAAAAUAAAUUGAUUUUGAAAGUUUGACCAAACAUAUUAGCAGUCGUAUUAAAUGACACACACAAUAAUUGGACCUAAAGAAAAUGACAAUUAGCAAAACAAGAUAUUGGAACUCUAAAGUUUGAAGAUAUAUAUAUAUAUAUAUAUAUAUAUAUUAUAUAUAUAAUUUUAAAAAAAAGGAAAUUUGAGUUUUACCAAUGACUGUCAGCAUCUCUCAAGUGUAAAAUCCAGUUUCAGCAUGAAAGGUGAAAGGAAGUAAUGGAGCUUGAGGGUGACAUCUGGAGAAUUAUAAGCUAUAUAUUAUGCUCUUAAUUAUAUUUAUAUGUAUAUAACAGCUAUUAAUGUGCUUAUGGUUGUCAUUUUUUUAGAGGAGAAUUACAGAGGAUGUAACAUGUCUAUAUUUAUUUUUUAAUAAAAGUUUGUCAUUGUGCUUAAUUAAGCUAAUUUAAUUUACUUUAAAAUGUGCAACUUGUAUAUAUCCGUUAAGAGUAUCUAGCUAGAGGAAUUAAUGUUGUAAAUCCAGGAUUCCUUCUUUAUAGAAUGCUAUUUUCCAAAAAUCAAACUCACACAAACCAAAUUAUUUUCCAUUGCAAACAUUAUACUUAUAAUAUAAUUUAAUCUUGUGAUCGACAGGCUUGCACCAUAUAUGAACAAUCUAUCAAGUUGUCCCUUGGGGAACAUCCAAUAAAAUUGGAACAAAAAAGCUAUCAAGCUAAUCAAAUAGGUAGAUCUCACACUGAUGACUUCGUCUCGGAUUAGUGAGGGUUCGAUUCCCAUCUUAUACUAUCCCUUCUCCCAUUUUUUCUUUUUCUAUCUGCAAUUUUAUUUUAAUUUAGAAAUAAAAUCCUUCGCUGGUAAUGUAAAGACAGAGAAUUCCUUGUGAGUCCUUUUUUUCAUUUUUUUUUUGUCUAAUGUAAAAUAUAAAAGUUCGUCAUAAAAAGAUUAAAAUUAUUUUGAGCAAUUUAUAUACAAACUUUUUUCUUAUGGGAUCAGAAAUUGCUUUUAAGGUAGUGGCUCGCUAGUCGCUACAACACAACGUAUUAAUUAGUAAAUUUUUCAAUUUGUUUGUUAUUGACAAUAUUGUAAUACUUUUCCAAUCAUAUAAGUGGCCUAUAUCAAGAGUAACACCCAUAAAGUAAAAGAAGUCACCAAGUCAUUAAUCUUAUAUGGCUCUAAGUGGCUUAUCGCGAUGUCUAUUAUGAUGAACAUUAAAUUGGCUUACUUCCCAAAGUUCUAUGAUCACGCAUUAUGUAUAAUGAAUCUCAAAGACUAAUCUAAUAUAGGUUACGAUAAAUAGUAUUCAUCAUGAUAUUAUUGAUGUAACGAUCUAAUCUAAUAGUGAUAUUAUGACCUAGAACCGCACGACUUUAAAACACGUCAGUCAGUAGUGUGUAAGGUUUAUUUACUUUACUUAUAUACUCAAUAUCGUUUUUUUAUAUUCAAAUUACAAAAAUAAAAUAAAACUAUAUAUACAAUCAUUUCCUCUUUGAAUAGACUGGGCAUUUCCAAACACACCCCACCCCACACACAUUGCCUUUUGAUUGAGUGCGGGGGUAUGGCAUUGAUGUUGGGAUUUGUAUGAUACUGACAUUUUGAAAGUACUAUAUAUAUUACUAGUUAGCAACUAUAAAACAGAAGUACAUGAUGCAAUAUGCAUAAUACAUCAUAGUGGAACUUAUCUAUGAAAGCACAAACAUAAUUUCGACAAAUUAAAGUCAGCUUGGCAUUAUAUUAGUGAUUUUUUUUGCUUUAUCAAGACAACUAAAUGAAACAAUGAGAAAACAUAACCUACUUUAACAUAGUCAUGUCUAACUAUAUAUAUAUAUCUAUAUAUAUAUAUAUAUAUAUAUUGACUUCAAUACUUAAACAGCACAAUAUAAUUUUAUAGGUAAUGAUGAUAAUGUUUGAGCAAAUUAAUCCUAUCUAACAAUUAAUAUUUGUCGGUCAUGUCGGUAUAACAAAAAUAACUGUAAUAAAUACGUAUAUUAAUAAAGAGUGUUAAAUAUUUAUCAACAUGAGUUAAUUGUCAUUGGAUCCAAUGUUGCUAUGGACUUUAGAGACAUUUACAAAGAGUGUUAAUUGCCUCUAAAAAUAUAUUUAGCGACAACUAAACUAUUAUCGUUAAUUAAUUACCGAUAAUGAAUAUUUUUUGUGUAGUAUCCGUUGUCCUGGCCAAUCUCAGGCUCAGGUUAAAGGGAUCCGUUCAAAAUUAGCCAAAAACUUUAAUCAAUUAGCCAACAGAGAGGUUUUAUAAAAAUUAAUAAGUUAUUAUUCGUCCAGAGACGAAUAUAUUGUUUAUAGCACAUGCUUGAUAUGUAAAUUCACUAAAUUUAUUCCAAAAUAUGUCUUUAAAGAUCUAUUUAAUAUAUAAAAAUUAUAAUAAAGAUAGUAUUUUUCUAGAUGUGAACAUGUUGCAUGAAAAAGAGAUUUCCAUAUAUUAGUUAGUGAUAGAAGUAGUUACAGUUAGUUAGUUGGGCACAUAAAUCAAAAUAACAUAGUUAGUUAGAAUUGAAUCCAUUUCAGUUGUAUUUUCAAUUCUAUAUAAAGUGUAAUACAGUUCUAUACAAGAUAUGAAAUAUACAGAUCACUUUUCUCUCUUCUUCUCUAUUCACCUCCAUUGAUUGAAUCCUCGAGUUUUUCCUGGACAAUCUUUCGAUCCUCGAAUCUUUAGGAUUCCUGCAAUCGAGCCACUAUCUAGCAACAUUGGUAUCAGAGCCACUCUUUUCUCGGCUACAAUGGUGAAUGGUACUCGAUCCAAUGGAGAUCCAAGCAAUGAGGUUGUCGAAACUGUGGAAUUACGUGAUAUGAUGCAGCAAUUACUCAUACAGGUAAACACUUUGACUGGGAAAGUUUCAUUGCUGGAAAAAUUAGAUCAAGCAAUGAUUAAUUUGAGGAAUCAAGUUACAACUGGUGGAAUCAGAGGGGAACAAUCAGAAGAAGGGGUACGUCGAGAAAGAGAGAACAAUUUUCACUCUCACCAUUCUAAUUUCAGUCGAUGGUCAAGGAUGGAGUUCCUGAGGUUUAAUGGAGAAGAUCUCAGAUCUUGGUUGUUUAAAAUUGACCAGUUCUUUUCCAUGGAAGGAGUUCCAGCAGAGGAGAAGGUUGGAGUAGCUGCUUUACAACUAGAGGGUGAAGCUAUUCAGUGUCACUUAUCUUUUAUGAGGUAUAGACAAUUUCUUCACCCUGCUACUUGGAAUGAAUAUGUGAUGGCUAUGGUCGAAAGGUUUGGGACUGAUUUUGAUGAUCCCAUGGAGGAGAUCAAGAAGGUUAAACAGAUGGGCAGUGUGAAGGAAUAUCAAGUUGUAUUUGAAAGGAACUUGACAAGGGUGAAUUUAUCACAGGAAAAUGCUAUCAGUUGUUUCAUUGGAGGACUGAAGCAUGAAUAAUUGAAUAUUGUUGUGAAGGUGACCAAGUUUACUGUCACAACCCGAGCCUACACCCUGGACGUGGUCAGCACUCGAGAACCAUUGUUGGUCCCCAAGCGAACCCUCAUCCUGGCUAACUACAAGAGGAAGACUAACUCAAGCAUACAAAAGCUUAAAACUGAAUAAAAUUCAAUAAACUCAACUUUUCAAAACUUUAACUCAAUGAACAACUUAGAAUAAAAAUAAUAUAUUCAACUUGCCAUAAAAUAAGCAACUUAAGUCUUUAAAAUAUUUAAUAAAAUAAAUGAAUAAUACAUACUUCUCAACUAUACUGACUAUCUAUGAAGCCUCUAACUGAUAAAGAUGGAAGUCGGGACAAGACCCACGACAUCCUGACUAAACUNNNNNNNNNNNNNNNNNNNNNNNNNNNNNNNNNNNNNNNNNNNNNNNNNNNNNNNNNNNNNNNNNNNNNNNNNNNNNNNNNNNNNNNNNNNNNNNNNNNNNNNNNNNNNNNNNNNNNNNNNNNNNNNNNNNNNNNNNNNNNNNNNNNNNNNNNNNNNNNUUGAAACUUGAUAAAAAGGAAACAUACUUACCUUUUCUAAACUCACUCAACUCAACGCAAGAAUAAGAUACUCAACUCAAAGAUUAGAUACUCGAUUUCAAAGAUUAGAUACUCAACUUCAAAGAUAUUAUACUUGGCUUGAAAUACUCAACUCUGGAUACUCAACUCAUGAAUACUUAACUGAACUUAUUUCAUUAUAAAGCAGUUUAAAACAAGUGCAAUAUAAAGAAAAGGAAAACUGUUUAAAACAUGAUGUCAACUCAUAAUCAUAAAUUCAUAAAAGACAUACUAUACUCCCUCUCAAAGUCUACUUGUGCAAUGCAUGGAUGAAGUCCCAUACCCCCAUUCAUACUAAGCAGAACCCCUUGAGGAACCAUGCAAUUACUACUGUGGGAGUUUCUCUAAUCAAUGCAAGGUUUUCAAUAACCAAAGAUAGAACUCAAUAAUUGGAACUCAAGAACUUCAAUUAUACUACUCAAUUCAACAAUGCUCAACUCAGAGGGUUCAUGGGGAAUUAUGAGCAUGCAUAACCCAACUUAAGGACUUCAUGGGUAACAUGCAAUAGUCCCAUAAUUAGGAAUGUAAUCUCAAAUGGGUUAGAAACUCAAUACUUAAGACUUAGGACAUGAAGAUAUUACUCCUCUCAUAGAUACUCAACUUCUGGAGUUCAUGCGGAAUUUAUGGGCAUGAACGACUUGACUCAUAGGUCUACAUAACAUUAUGGAACUCAUGUAUACAACUCUUCUCUUUCUCUUACUUACUUUCUCAAAACCUAACUCAAAUCGAUGAUGGAUCUCAAAGGAUUCACAAUUGAACUCAAAGGCUUUCUUGAACUCUACUCUUAACUCUCUCUUGAAUGUGAAUUAUGAAUUCAAGAGUUGUGGUUCAUGAUAUGAAAGAUCUCAUGAUAACAAAAAUAGACUCAUGAAUAUGUUCUCCAAACUCUUAUUCUCACUUGCUCGAGUCUUGAAACAAGUUAUUAGAAAUUGUAGAAGACUUCUCAAAAAGACUCGAAAGGACUUUCUCGAAAUGUUCGAAUGAACUCUCAAAACUUAACUCUUAACUCUACCUUGAAUUUGAAUUAUGAUUUCAAGGUUAUGAUCAUGUUAUGAAUGAUUUCUAGGUGUUUAGAAGUAGCUUAGAGUAUUUAUAAUCGAAAGGGAGUGAAGGUGCACUUUAAACGAACUCAAAUAGAGCAACCGAAGACAAACUGGAUGGGGCAGGCGACCCUGGCACUCUGAGUGGCGCAGGGCGCCAACCCCUAAACUUCAGAGGAGGGUUUGGGGCACUCGGGCUGGCGCAUCGCGCCAGGCCCCCAGCCCAGAAAACUCGACGAAAUUCUCUGCUCGUCUUCUCACCCUAAUUCGCCUAGAAUCGAACGGUUUCUUCCCCAAUCACUUAGAAUCAAUUACUUAACAUAAGUACACUCUAAUCUACUCAAUACAGCCCUUAAAACACUCACUUUUAUCUCAAGAAAUCAUCCAAAAUCCAACACAACAAGAUUUAGAAUGAACUUCAAGAACUCAAAUCUUUCAACUUUAAGAAUGAAAUUUUCACUGAAAAUAACAUGUUUGGCGUGUGGGUGAACAAACCCAACACUAUUGAAGCUUACAUACCUCUUAGGGAUUAAACCCAUGGCAAAAAAUCCGCAACAAGAUGUAAGAAUCUCGACGAACGCUUGAUCCUCUCCUCUUUUCUCCUAUUUUCUCUUCUUCUUUUCUCUUCUUGAACUCUCAACUAAAACCCUAGGCGUAAACUAGGAUUAUAAAACUGAACCUAAUAGGAUUAGACCCUUAAAAACUUACUAAAAAUGAAUUAAAUCUGAUUGGGUAAGGAAAAAACCAAAAUACCCCUCUAAAAUCUGGUUUUGACUUUCCUUAUCUAGACAUCCCAACUUCGAAUGGACAUAUCUCUCUCAUACAAACUCGAAACUGAGCAAACUCGGUGGCGUUGGAAAUAUAAUUCAAAUAUAUUUCCGAAGGUAUCUGGUAUCACACCUAAAUCAUCCUGAGCUAGGAGUUAUGGUUGUUUGAAGUAGACCCAAAACUCAUACUUAGCUUAACUUGCAAAAUUUCAGAUUUUUCUAUUUCCAAUUUAAUUCUUUUUGGAACUCAAGGUGUUACAUCUAGUGACCUUAACACUUAAGAAAUUUUAAAAUCCUUGCAAAAAUCUCACUCACUACAAAUAAGGGUUCGAGUCUUAGUUCAAAAAAAUUCUGGGGUGUUACAUUUACAGAAGUGCAAGGUUACAAGAGGCUUAUAUAGCAACAGUUAGACAACCUGCACAAACAAAUUAUUGAGCCUGAGUUGGUUGGUCAUCUAGGAUGUGAGAUCAAGUCUACUUCACCUCAGUUGGUUGCUGCAGCAAAUGGCAACAUGAGGGUGGACAAGAUGACCAUUGUUACCUAGUUACUCUAAGGAGAUGAAUUUACAUCUGAUUUCUUAUUGUUGCCUCUUGGAUGUUGUGGAGUAGUUUUGGGGGUCCAGUGGUUGCUCACUUUGGGAGAUAUAAAGAUGAACUUCAAGAAUCUGGCCAUGGAAUUUUGGUACAAAGGAAGGAAACAUUUACUCUGGGGAGCUGGCAACCAGGUGUUAACUGUUAGUGCUGGGAAGUUAGCAAAACAUUCAGGUAAUCAAUCUCAACUUUGUAUGAUUCAAGUAAUGCCGAUGGGAAAUGAAGAAGUAAAAGCUCAUGAGACGGUCAAUGUGAAGGACAUGAAAGGUGAUCCUAUUCUUUUAGCCUUAUUAUCUGAAUUUAACAAAUUGUUUGAAGAACCUGCUAGUUUACCACCUUCAAGAGGUGUUUUUUAUCAUAGAAUUAUGUUGAAAACUGGGACUGAACCUAUGAACAAGUGGCCUUACAGAUAUCCUUCAGUAAAAAAAGGAUUUUAUUGAGGGGUUAGUUCAACAGAUGCUAGAUCAGGGGAUCAUUCAGCCUAGUUGUAGUCCAUUUUCAUCUCCAGUUGUAUUGGUUGGAAAAAAGGAUGGGUCAUGGAGACUGUGUGUUGACUACAGGGAUUUGAAUAAAUUCACUGUGAAAAACAAGUUUCCCAUACCUAUUGUUGAGGAUCUCUUAGAUGAGUUGGGAGGAUCCAAGAUAUUUUCGAAAAUAGACCUGAGAUCUGGAUAUCACCAAUUGAGAAUGACAUCAGAUGAUGUACCUAAGACUGCUUUCAGAACUCAUUCAGGACACUAUGAAUGCCUAUUGGCCUCUUAAAUGCCCCGACUACUUUUCAAGGUCUAAUGAACUAUGUAUUUCAAAAAUAUCUCUGGAAACAUGUGCUUGUUUUCUGUGAUGAUAUCCUAAUUUACAGUAGAACUAUGGAAGAUCAUGUUAGACACUUGAGAUCUGUUUUUGUAGAGAUGGUGAAGCAUCAACUUAGCAAGUGUUUCUUUGGGGUUCAGCGAAUAGAAUACCUUGGCCAUUUUAUUACAUCUGAGGGAGUGUCUACAGAUCCACAGAAGGUUGAAGUUGUAAGGAAUUGGCCUAUACCAACCACUCUUAAACAACUAAGGGGUUAUUAGGGUUGGCUGGGUAUUACCGGAGAUUUAUCCAGGGUUUUGCAUGAUAAGAAAACCAUUGACUGACUUAACUAAGAAGAAUAGUUUCAGAUGGUCAAGUACAUCGCAGACAUCAUUUACCACACUAAAGACUGCAUUAACACAGGCCCCUGUAUUAGCAUUACCUGAUGUCACCAAGACCUUUGUGGUGGAGACAAAUGCUAGUGGAUAUGGAAUAUGAGUUGUUCUUAUGCAGGAAGGACAUCCUAUAACUUUCAUCAGUAAAGUUUUAUCCCCCCGGCAUGCUGCCCUGUCUGUGUAUGAUAGAGAACUAUUAGCCAUAGUCCAGGUUGUAACUAAGUGGUCUCAGUACCUGUUAGGACAAAAAUUCAUCAUAAGAACUGAUCAAAAGGCUCUGAAGUUUCUUAUGAAGCAGAAACUACACACAAAUUCUCAAUUGUUAUGGCUAACCAAGUUGAUGCCAUUUGACUAUGCGAUUGAAUACAAAAGAAGAGUUGAUAACAAGGUAGCCGAUGCCCUCUCUAGAGUUUCUGGUGCAGAAUUAUUGGCUUUGGUGGUGUCCCCUACUGGUACUGAUUUAUUUCAAGCUAUAGUAGAUAGCUGGUCUUCAGAUGUUGAACUUCAACAACUCAUUACAGACUUACAGACCUAUCCCACUACUCAUAAGCAGUUUACUUGGUCCCAAGGUCACCUAAGAAGAAAAGGGAAGCUUGUAAUUGGCAAGGAUCAAAGUCUUAGGACUGAGAUUAUGACAUUAUGGCAUGUCGGUUCUCAAGGAGGUCAUUCAGGUGUGGAGGCUACACUGAAAAGGCUUCUCACUUUGUUCUAUUGGAAGCACAUGAGGACUGACGUAAAAUAGUUUAUUCAAAGGUGUGAUGUUUGACAAAAAGUUAAGUCUGCUCUUGCUGCAUAUCCUGGCUUACUACAACCUCUUCUUAUUCCUGAUGUGGUUUGGUCACAAAUUAGCAUGGAUUUUAUUGAUGGAUUACCUAAAUCGAAUGGCUAUGAAGUGAUAUUGGUAGUGGUGGACAGGCUCAGUAAGUAUGGAGAUUUCAUUCCUCUUAAACAUUCUUAUACUGCUUAGUCAGUUGCUCAGGUAUUCCUUGAUAUUGUUGUUAAGCUGCAUGGCUUACCUGAGACUAUUACUAGUGAUAGGAAUGUUAUUUUCUUGAGUUCAUUCUGGCAAGGAUUAUUCACCAUCCAUGGGGUACAACUUAAUACUUCUACUGCCUAUCAUCCUCAAUCUGAUGGACAGACUGAGGUGUUAAACAUGUGUUUGGAGACAUAUUUGCGAUGCUACUGUCAUAAAGAUGCCUCUAAUUGGGUUGCUUGUUUGUCGAUGGCUGAGUAUUGGUACAAUACUUCAUACCACUCAGCCAUUCAGACCACUCCUUAUGAGGCCUUGUAUGGUCGACCACCUCUUCUCCAUUUACCUUAUCUGCCAAGGGAAUCAUCUUCAGCAGAGGUUGAUAGUACAUUAGUUAGUAGGGAACUAAAGUUACAGCUUCUUAAACAUCAUCUGAGUAGAGCUCAACUGAGGAUGAAACAACAAGUUGAUUCUCAUAGAAGUGAUCGAAAUUUUAAUGUAGGGGAUUGGGUUUACUUCAAAAUCCAACCUUACAAACAAGCCACUAUUUCCAACCAUACUUCUCAUAAGUUGGCUGCAAAGUUCUAUGGUCCAUUUUAGAUUUUAUGGAGAGUUGGUCCAGUUGCUUACACUCUCUUAUUACCUAGUUCUGUCAAAAUACACCCUACUGUCCAUGUUUCUCUCUUAAAGAAGUGUUAUGAAGUGCCUACACAUAUUUCUUAUCCUCCUACUAUUGAUUUGGCUAGUCCCCGUCCUGAACCUGAAUUAGUGUUGCAGCGAAGGAUAGUCAAGCAGGGUAGCAAGGCUGUUGCUCAAGUGUUGGUUAAGUGGCGUGGUUUUCCUACUGAAAAUGCCACUUGGGAAUUUGCUACUGUUUUAAAGACCAGGUUUCCGUUGUUUGAUCCUUGAGGACAAGGAUCUACUAUUGGGGGGAGUACUGUUACAUGAAAAAGAGGUUUCCAUAUAUUAGUUAGUGAUAAAAGUAGUUACAGUUAGUUAGUUGGGCACAUAAAUCAAAAUAAUAGAGUUAGUUAGAAUUGAAUCCAUUUCAGUUGUAUUUUCAAUUCUAUAUAAAGUGUAAUACAGUUCUAUACAAGAUAUGAAAUAUACAUAUCAAUUUUCUCUCUUCUUCUCUCUUCUUCUCUAUUCACCUCCAUUGAUUGAAUCCUCGAGUUUCUCCUGGAUUAUCUUUCGAUCCUCGAAUCUUUAGGAUUCCUGCAAUCGAGCCACUAUCUAGUAACAGAACAUUAGAUGAUUAAAACAUAUUGUUUUUCAACAUUUGAAUAUGCAUAAUUUAUUUAUUUGUAAACAUAAUAAAUAUAUUGUUUAAAAAAAUAAAAUAAUAGAAAAAAAUAUUUAUUUAAUAAAAUAAAAUCAUUAUUUGAUAUAAAUGAAACAUUUAUGUUAUUGAUAGUGAAGAUAGCUUGUGGUGAUGGUGGAUGGUGAUGAUGGUAAUGGUUGGUGUUAGUGGUUAGUAAUGGUGAUGGUGAUAGUUGUGAUAGUGGAGGUGGUUGGUGUUGUAGUGACUGUUGCGAUGUUGGCGGUAGUUAUAUAUGAUGGUGAAGUUUGUUGAUGUUUGCAGUUUAUGAUCAGUUUGAAAAUCAGAGGCGUAUCCAGGAUUUUGAAAUGAUGGGUGCACUAUUACAAAAAGGUGGAUCUAAGAUAUAAAUUUGAUCGAUUUAACAUUUAGGUUCUUAUCACUAAAAAUAAUUAAAAAUUUAAAAUAAUAGGUCCAAAGUUAUUUUUACCUAUCCAAACCACUUAGAGAGACAUUACCCAAUUUUAAAAAGAAAAAUAAAACAAGAUAACUAAAAGAUUCAAAUUUCUAACCUCACUUUGAGAGGUGCACCCAACAUAAUCGCACGGUAUAAUACUUCAAGUGUGGGUUCACAUAUCUAUAUUUAAAUAUUUUUAAAAAAUAUAACACUACUAUAUAUGAUUUCAGGAGGGGAGCCAAUGGGUUCAUGUGAACCCGGUGACCCCCUCCUGGAUACGCCUCUGAGUUUGAUGAUUGUGGUCGAAGAAUGUACGGUGGAUGACGAUGUGUUGGUGAUAGUUAGUGACAAUACUGGUUAUGAUGGUAUAGGUAUUGGUGGUAGGGAUUGAUCGCAAUAGUGAUAGUGAAGGUGGCGUCGACGGUGAUACGAUAGUGAUGACAAAAGAAUGUAUGAUGGUUAACAAUGUGUUGAUGAUAAUUGAUGGUGGUGCUAAUUAUGAUGGUGAAGUUGGUUGGUAGUAAAAAUUUACUGCAAUGGUGGCAGUAAUUGAUUGUGGUGGUGAAAUAACCAAAAACUAAUAAAGUAAAUAAAAAUACUUCUAAAAAGCUUUGUUUUAAGAGAUAACUAGUAUAUUUCUCUGUGUUUUGCGUGGUUACAAGAAAAAAUUAAAUAUAUUUUUCAAUAAUUAAUAUUAACAAAUACCCUAAUUAUAAGCAAUGUAAUAAAGAGAGAAAUAUAAAUUAAGUUAUGAUAUUGAGAUGCUAUAUUCAGAAAAACUGUUAAUGAGAUGCUCUCAAGCUGCAAUUUCAACAAUUUCAACUUAAACUGCUCAUAAAAAGGAGAAAAACACAAAAGUUAAUAUAAAAGGUUACAAUUAAUCGACCACUUAAUUAUCAUUACUUCAUAAUAAAUACAAUAAUAUUGUAGCAAUAAUAUUGGUUUAACAAAUAAUAUUAAGUUUACUUGUUCAUAAAUUAGUGGCUUUCUUCAUUUAUAAAUGUCUUUAUAAUAAAAAUAAAUAAAUAUUUUUAAGACAAUUGAGGGAGUCUGGGAGAGGAAAAUACUUAGAGUUAUAUUUCAACAUAGUUAAACAUGAAAUUUAAAAAUUAGAGAGAUAUUCUUGCUUUUUGUCUCCAAUAUUUGAUGCCCAUACUAACUACUAAGGCUCAUCUAAUAUGUAUUUGUAUCUUGUAAAAUUCAUUAAUAUUAGAGAUCUCAUAUCUAAGCUCUUAUUCUUAUACGUGUAUUUUUUAAGAGAGUAUUGCAAGAAGAAAGAAUUAAAUUGUAAUAGUGAAAUAUUAAUUAUUGUGGAGGUUAUAUUUUUGUAAUAAAAAAUUAAAAUACAUAAAGUAAAGUGAGAUGUAUAUUUUAUUAAAAUAGAAGUCAUGAUAUCAUAUAGCGACUUGACAUAAUGUUUAUCUACUUCCAUCUUAUAGAUAUUAUUAAAAAUAGUGACAGAGAAUUAAAUUUUCGAAAAAAAUACAUACAUAUAGCUUCGAAAAUGUAGAAAAGAUAUCAAGAGAUGGAUAAGUUUUUUUCUUCAAAGUAGAUAGAUAUGUUGGGGUAGGGGUGUACAUGGCUGGAUUGGUUUGGGUUUUUCAAAUAUCAAAUCAAAUUGUUUGUGUUGGAUUUUUGAAUUUAUAAACCAAAUCAAACCAAUAAAAGUCGGGUUUUUCAAUCUCGGGUUUAUUCGGAUUUUUUUGGGUUUUUCGGAUUUUCGGGUUUUUCUGGUAAAGUAUUCAUACAAACAUAUAAUUUACUUGUAUUUCAAAUAUUUCUUUAGUCCUACCAAAAUACAACUAUCUAAGGUGUUUCUUAAGAAAAUAACACAAAAUAUGAUAUGAUUAAUGACACUAAAAUAUCCAACAAAAAAAUUAUAAUGAAAUCGCGUAAAACAAAUAUUGCAAAUUAAUAAGUAAUAAUAACAAUGAUCAUAAUUUAAAAGUACUAAAUCAUGCUAAAAUAAGUUUAAUAAGUAUUAGUUACAUGACUAAAUAUUAAAGGAAUUAAAAUUAGAUUAUGUAUUUUAAUUGUCUUAACCUAUGUAAAACUAAAGAACAAAUAUUCAAUAUUAUUGUCAUUCUUAGUGUUGAAUUGAUUUUCUUUUUGCAUUAGUAUUAAUUUGAUUUUGAUUUAAGUUUUAUUAUAAUUACCAACAUCUAUGGACUAUAAUUUUUAUUGGACCAUUAAGAAUUCUAACUUUCAAACAUGAAAUAAUAUAUUAAAAGAUAAAAACUAUGAAAAAGUAUAAGAAAUAUUUAAAAAUUAUAUCAAAGUAAAUAUUUUUACGUAUAAAAUAAAAUUUUAAAGUUAUAUAUAUAAUGUCGGGUUGAUUUGGUCUCGGGUUGAUGUUUUUUAGUUGAAACCAAACCAACCCAAAUAUAGUCGGGUUUUUUUUUCUAAUACCAAACCAAGUCAAACCAAACCACUAGUCGGGUUUUUUUUCGAUUUGCGGUUUGAUUCGAUUUUUGGUUCGGUUUUGUACACCCCUAUGUUGGGGUAUCUGCAAACUUAGCCUGAAGUAGUAGGAUAUAUAUAUAUUGUUUAGAAAUAACUAAAACAGAAGGUGUCAUAAACACAUACUAUAUAAUAAAAUAAUAUUAUAAUAUAUGUUCCUUAGCUGCUUCUUUUUAUUUUAAUUAAUUAAUUAAUAUUCCUUUAUCCACAACAGCAUUCAUCACUAUACUUUAAUGUCAUUGUUUUGUUGGUACAUAUACUUGUGGUUGGCCCAAUUGUCAAAAUUCUACUAAGCUUUCUUCUCUUUGUUCUUUCUUUUACAGGCAAAAUUAAAGCUACUUCUGUUCUAAGUGCCCGCCAGACAGAUCAAUUAAGAAUCUCAACCAUAUCCCAUUGAGGGGCCAACAUUACAACUUAAAAGGUAUCACACAACUCAUGUAAAUGUUCUUUCUACGUUCAAGAUUGGACAUCUGAAUUGUACGUAAUAAUAAUAAUAUGAUACGGGACUUUGAUAUUAUCAAAACCAAAAAUCCGUAGAUAACCACAUGCAGUACAUUCUCAAUUAAUUGAAGAAACUUAACAGAGUUUAGACCAAAGUGGACUCCAAAUCACACACAAAUGACUAGUGAUCCUUAAACUAAUUAAUACUACUAGUAAAUUUUGCAUACUUGGUCAAAAUCUACUUAAUAAGACUUCAACACUUGCUAAUUAUAUACUACAUCAAAAAUGACAAUUAAUUAGCGAUAAUAACUUAAUUGCCACCAUAUAUAUAGAACGGUUGAAAUCUCAGAUUGUAUGCUUAACAAUAUAACAAUAAUAGUUUUUUUAAUGGUAAUAUAUAUUGGUAUAUAUAUAAAUUGGUGUAUAUGCAUUUUAUUAUUAAAAAUAAAAUAUUAAGUGCAUAAGUUAGUGGGUAUAAAUUGUGGUAGAAGAUGACUAUUAGUUCUUGUAACUUAUAUGAUCAUUAAUUAUUUAAACACUCAUGGUCAUUAGUUUCUUGUAACUUAUGUAACAUCUAUCACAUUUAUCUUCUACUCAUUGAUUGUAUGGAAGACUUCUUCACCUAUAAAUAGUAGUGUUUCUUCCUUUGUGAAGUGAAGUAAGAAAAAUAUUAAGUGUGAAAAAUAUUGUAAUGGAUAGUAGUGAAAGAGAGUGUUGAGACAAAGAAAAUAUUCUAAAUUUUCAACUAUAUAUAUAUAUAUAGUCGUUAAAAUAGAUUUUUGUUAUAAUGUUAAGCAUACAAUCUGAGAUUUCAACCGUACUAAUUAAGCAUACAAUCAUUCAAAUAAUUAAACCAAUCAACCAUACAAAUCUAAUUAACAAGCAAAAAGCAAAGAUGAUGGCUAUGCCCCUCUACUUAAAGUAAAAGAAGUUCAACACGUGCAUUGUUUCCUCAAUUUAACACAUCAUAUAUCAUCAGUACAUUUUUGUAUUUUGGAGGAAGUAGACAAAUCACUAAACAAUUUAUAGUGAUAAAUAAUUAGAUGCUUUUUUUUUCUUCUUUUAAGUUGAUCAGAAAUGCAUUUAGUAUAAUGCAAAAAGGAUCAAAUCAAAUAAUUCACAAGAAUUUAAAGAGUAUCAUUAGUAGAUCAGCACAAAUCUUCAAAUCUUUUGGUCGUUUAUCGUCCAUUAAAGCACGUCAACUUUAAUCAAACAUAAAUUAACCACUGACAAAGCCAUCCAUCGACUGUUAAUUUUGGAAUAAAAUCAAGAUUAUAUUUUAUGCUUAUGGUGUCUAGGUCAGCUUUCGCACACCUCGACUAAUUCCAUGGGAUACUUGUCACCUCCAGCCAGCAAUAGGUACCAGGUAACUCUGUUCACCAAGGCUAGGACAAAUGGAAAGAAUCACCUACUGUUUUUUUAUCUCCGCUGAAUUUUGAACGUGAGACUUCAGGAUUCUUAACCAUUUCAUUGACCACUAGGUCACACCCUUGGAUGCCACACAUCAAAGUUGACUAGACCAAUUAGUUUAAUACAAUCGCCAAAAAGCAUGUGACAACUUAAUUAACCCAUAAAAUUCCAUCCACAUGGCAGUUGAUCCAUUAAUAUCGAAGUGUGUUAUGAUAAAGAGUUGGUGAUAGUUCAAGUAGAAAAUACCAACACAUGAUAGUGCAGAUAUAAAAUUCACCAAAAAAAUGAUAUUUCAAGUAUGUUUUUUAUCAUUACCUUUUUUUUUUUAAAUAAAAAAUUGUUCCUUAGUUGAUAUGGGGAAAUUAAAACAUAUCUAGUUCCAUUAUCGUGCAUGAUUCUGAAAAAAGAGCAACAUACAAAACUUAGGUAAAGGAAGGGGAGGUACAAAGUUCCAUCAAAGGAGGCAAGUAACAUGAUGGUGGAAUGGUCACAAUGUCAUCAAGACAAAAUGGUAGGGCAAAUUAAUUAGUUUUCUACAAGAACAAAAUCCCAUGAAAUUGACAGACUCUGCAAGGUUGGAUCUUUAAUGUUACAACUAUACCUCUCAUAUAUAUAUAUAUAUAACUUCAAACUCAUCAACUAAUUAUAUUAUUAUGUAUUUGCAGACAAAUACAAUUUCCUCUCUUUAUACUAAAAGAUUGCUUGGUUUUUUAUCUACCCUUGUAUACGUUCCACAUUAUAAUUCAUUGGUGGGUCUGCUGAGGGAUGUUGAUUUUAUAAAAAUGGGGAGCAAAGACAAUCUUAUCUUAUUUUAUAGUCUUGGAUUUUUUUUUGGGAUUACUGGGGUUGAGUUGGCUACAUGCAUGGGCAAUUGUUUCAAAAGUUUGUCCUCAUUAAUUUGCUAGCGAAUCAUUCGAACUCAUGUAAUGGAUUCAAAAAAUAUGAUUUAGAUAUUUGACUAAAUGAACUAAUAAAAAUUCGGAUAGCAAAAAUGACUUAUUUCAAGAUCAAAUGAUUCACCUUUUGUCCUCUUGUUAAGGCCAGUGCGAACAUAUCAAAUACAAGGGAAACAUCCCACAUUACUAGCUAGAAUGUCAUCUAAAGAUUAAAUUUGUAACGUAAAAUAAAUUUUGAACCCCUUAGGCCUUAGCUAUGACAAACACUGGAAUAUUUCCUUUUAUAUCAAAGGAGAUUCAGCCGUUGUUAUAUAUUAUAUAAAAUAAAAAAGAAUAUUUUUACCUUAUUUGCACAAAAUAUACUUGUCGUCGAAGAUCAUGAUUCAAAUGAAUCCCCUUGCCUCCAUCCCAGAUCAGACCCAAUUUGUUCGCAAUCCUUAAUUCAACUUCUCAACAACCUAAUUUGCCGGUAUUUUGAAACAUUUUGAGGAUUACUAAAAAUAUUAGGAGGAAAUUUCAAAAAUGACUAUAGUUUGGGCUUAAUUAGAGAUUUAUAGCUAUAGUUUGUUGAAGGUAUAUUUUAGAAGGAGGAGAGAAGCGAGCGAGACUGGAAGAGGAAGGAAAGAGGCAGGCGAUAGAGGGGCCAAAGAGAGCCGAGAGGCGACAAAUAUGCAAUUGUAUUUGUAUAUCUGAUGGCUAAUUAUAUACAUAUAACCAGUAUGUAUAUGCAUUAACUCACAAUUGUAUAAUUGUAUAUGAUCAUACAAAUAGCCUAUGAUCGAUAAUUGUAUAUCAUUGAUACAAAUCAUUUGUAUCAAGUGUAUUAAUGAAUACAAUUUAUCAACAAAUACAAUUGUAUCAAUGUUAUAUCAAGUUUAAGUGUAUUAACAAAAUAUAAUUUGUAUCAACGAAUACAAUUGUGUAUUUGUAUUUGUUGCCGUGUGUGUUUGCAUUUAUUUGCUACCAUUUGUUACCUUGAAAAAGUUACCAUUUGUAUCAUUGAAAUAUAUCAUUUGUAUUUUGAAUCGUAGACAAGACAAGGAUCUGUAUCAUUGAAAUAUCUCAUUUGUAUUUUGCACCACUAAAAAGUAUAAGUACAGUUUACAGUUAUCAUUUGUAUUUGUAUCAAUGAUUCUUGAUAUUGGCAUUUGUAUCAUAGAUUGUUACCAGUGCAUUUGUAUUGUAGAGAGAGGAGGCAAGCAAGAGAGAGGAGAGAAGCGAGCAAGAGAGGGUAGAGAGAGGAGAGAGACGAGUGAGAGUGCAGAAAGAGGAGAGAAAAAAUUGCUAUAAAAUCCUAACUAUAGCUACAAAUUAUAAUUAAUCACAUAUUUAUCUUACUACGUAAAUUUUCCAAAAUAUUCCAAUAUACAAAUCCAAUUGAACUUUCUUAAUGCUUACUACGCAACUUUAAAAAUAACAACAUAUUCAGUUAAUUUCACGAGUAAAAUAUAAAAGAACAAUAUCAAAUAUGUAUAUAUAUCUUAUUCCUACCUUAAUAUUUUCAAAUUCCAAUAGACCCUCAACUAAAAAAAUAACAAUUAUAUUUAUGCAAUUUUAAUUUAGUUAAAUUCUUGCACAGUUUUAGAGAUAUCAAAGAUGCUCAACAUUAUAAUUAUAGGUGUUCUGAAAUAUUAUCAAAUCUAUCAAAGUAAUGCAGAGGGUCCACGAGAUCAUGAAUAACUUUUUUCUACCAUCAUUAUAUUCACAAAUCACCGGUAACAAUCACUAAUUAAUCAUCUUUAAUAUCACCAUCACUAUCACUAUUUUUAAAAACAAGCAGUUAAGAUUAAGAAAGGACUGCUUUAAAGGUAUAAACAUUAAUAACUAAAAACAAGCGGUUACACCCCCAAUGGGUUUAAUUAGAAAAGUACACAAUUAAAUAUAUAAUACAUUCUUAGAUUAUGUAUACAUAUUAUAAAUAUUUAUUUAUUUUUAAAAAAGUUGUUGGUGCACUACACCCUCAUAGCAUCAUAUGAGUCCACCUCUGCCUCACUACCACACUUAAUAUCUCCAUCAUUAAUUAUAAUUAUACUAGUAUUUAAAGAUGUGCUUUGCACGUAUAUCCUAUAUUUAUUGUAUGCAAGGACGGCUUUACAUGAAAAAUGUGGGGCAUGUGAAUUCUCUAUGUAAAAUAAUGUUUUUAUGUAUACAUUUUCUCUCAAAUUAAUAUAAUAAUAUAUGUUGACAUCAUACUAUAAAAUGGCUAAAUGGUGCACUUGAUUGAAUAUUGAGUUAUUUACCUAAAAGACUAGCGAUCAAUUCUCACUAAAUGUAUUAUUUUCCUUCUCUUUUUUGUGGUGCUAUAGAAACCAUUGAACAUACCUUUCUGGAAUGUUACAUGGUUAGACAAUUCUGGUUUGAGAUGGGACUCAUAUUGCCAACACUCAAACUCACUGGCUGCAAAAUGUUCAUGAUCUUAAUGUCCCUAUUCAUCAAUCGCCUUUACAUUGGAUAGAUUUAUUCCCUUUCGCCCUUUGGCAUAUCUGGCUACAACGAAAUCAACAAGUUUUUCAAAAUAAUGCUAAUCCCCCUCAUAUAUUAUCCCUUCCCAUGAGCCACUGAAUUCAAAUACAUGACUGAUUCUUCUAUAACCUCCCUAAACAGAAAAUCCUCUGGUUUUCUCCGACCACUAAUGCCUUUAAGCUGAAUAUCGAUAGAGCUUUCUAUAAAGAUAACCAGAUGGGGGGAGUAAUCAGAGACUCCCAUGGUAAUUGGGUGGUUGGUUUCAGGAAAAAAAUAUAUGCUCUCACUCAUGUUAUGGCGCUCUUGAAACAAGUUUACAACUUGCUCUUGACAGGUGCAUCAUUCCCAUUGAAGUGGAAACUGACUCCAAAUUUUUACACCAUACGCAACCUAUUUAUCAAAGGUUUCUAUUGAGGAGGUUUGGGGAAUCCAGUACUACGCCAUAACUUCCGACAGGGGAAUAAGUUAGCAGACUUUUUGGCUAAGGAAGGAAGCAGGCUAAAUACUACUACUGAAACUGCUAUCCUUGAAACCACUCCACCAGGUGCUACACCUAUUUUGCAAGCUGAUAAAGACGGAGUGGUAACUAUUUGUAUCUACCUCUACUAAACUAGCAAUGUUUGGGAAUCAAAAUGUUCUUAGUAACGAUGCAAUGUUACUACUUUAGAUGAUAGAGAUGCUACUAUAUCUACUAAAUAAUGCUGUAAUGUUCUAAUUUAUAUAUAUAAAUUAUCUCCGUUUCUACCAAAAAAUAUUGUUUUUUAUGAAAUUUUAGAUAUCUUAUAUGUUUUCAUCAAAAUUUAUUUAUAAUUUAAUGAUGUUUAAGUAAAUAAACAAAAAAAACUUAAUAGUCCCUAAAGUUGACCUAAUCAUCCCAGAUUUACUUGAAGAACAAUCCCUACUAUCAACCAAUAUCCCAAUUAAUUAGCAUUGUCGUUCUUACCACGAAUACCAUCGUCAAUCACCUCACCACACAUGAUCUUCAGCCAUUACCAUCAACUGUCAACUAUUAAUAUCAACCAACUCCAUCACAACAAUCAUAAUCAAUUGUUAUCAUCACACCAGUUAAAGGUGUACAUGGAUCGAAUUGGUUUAAAAUUUUCAAAUAUCAAAUUAAAUUAUUUGUGUCGAACCUUUAAUCUAUAAAACAAAUCGAUAAGAUGGAGUUGCUCGGAUGGUGAGUAUCCCUCACUUCCAAUCCGAAGAUUGUGAGGUUGAAGCUCAAAAUACUUGUGAGAUGCAAUUAGGGGCAAAUAUAGGUGGGGUAGCAAUUAGGGGCAAGUAUGGUUAAUUGUGAGAUGGCAUCAAAUAGUAUACAGUCCUUUCCAUUCAAAAACACACUUAAAGCUUUAUGACAAUCAACUAGCUUUUAUUGGUUAUAUAAAGAUUACAUUAUUUUAUGCUUGUAAACAGCCUUUGAUUAUUUUUGAGAUGACAUCAAAUACUUCACACAGUCCUCUCCAUUAAUAAAAUAUAAUCCAUAAGUAAAGCAUAUAUAUUUUCCUCAAUUGGUUAAAAACUCCCCUCAUCUAAAAGCUUGCUCCUUACUAGAAAAGCAUAAGACAUUAGGGGUCCAGAAGAGGAGAUAUCCGAGGAGACACAAUAACUCAUGAACUAGCUAGUUCAUGUGCUUUAGUGCAUGCUGUGCCAUGAUAUCACUUAGACAUGUUGGAUUAGAAAUAGUUUUGUCUUAAGAGAUUUAGAGUUCAUAAAAGACAAAAAUAAUGUUGAAACAUUUGUAAGAGGGGGUGGUUAUAGCUCUUUCUUGUCCAAGUUGUACAUUGAUGUUUGAUGUUUGAUGAUGGUAGGGACCUUAACAUUGGAAGAGAAUAUGAUAGUGGAAUUACAAUAUACACAAGAAAGAACAGUUGAAUUGACCCUCUUCCAUUACAAGUGCUGCUGGAUUUAUCCCCAAGAAAAUCCAAAGAAAGUUGCAACCAGCAUGACCUAGCCAAUAGCCAUGUUCUUUUAGGAGGAAGUUUGGAGGCAUUAGGCUGAGAUGGGACAUCGUGGAGCUGAUGGGACAAUGUCGUCAAGAACCAAUUUCACUACAAGAGGUGAAUCCAGGAUUUGAAAAUGAUCACGAUACCACCAGAGGUGGAUGCAUGCACAUUAAUCGAAGUGGUGUCACAUACUUUAUCAAACAUACAUAGUCAAGGAUCGAUAAACUUUAUUAAACAAAUUCAUUCAGUGCCUCCAAUUAAAUUUUGUGUUUAAGGGUGUCUAACCAAAUAUAUGAUCGUUUUUCAACGUAUAUAUACAUACUCCCUCCGUCCCAUUUUAUGUGAGGUAGUUUGACUCGGCACGGAGUUUAAGAAAGAAAGGAAGACUUUUAAAACUUGUGGUCCAAAAUGAAUGAUAGAAAUUUGUGUGGCUGUAAAUCAUUUCAUUAAGGGUAAAAUAGACAUUUUAUAGUGAAAUUGUUACUUAAUAUAGAAAUGUGUCAUUCUUUUUGGGAUUGACUAAAAAGGAAAGUAGGUCACAUAAAUUGGGACAGAGGGAGUAUUUUUUUUCAAAGUUAACGGCCCUUUUCAUCCAUGUAGGUCCGCCUCUGCCUCUAACCAAUUGGUUAUAAUACUGGUACAUCAUUAGUAUAUAUAAGUUAAAUCUAAAAAACUAAAAAUUAAAUAAGGAGAAGGCUAAAUCCUAGACUUGAAGCAAAUGACUACAUCCAAUUACGCAAAGUUUUGGAUUCACCAGUCAAGCAUAUUAAGAAUCCGGAGUCACUCGUUUUUGGACAUAACCUAAACAGGCAAAUUGCUCGUAACCCAACAACAUACCCAAAAUACAUAUAUUAUUAGUUGUGUAAAAAAAAAAAACAUACCCAAAAGGAAACUGGAAAAUAUGUUCUAUUCUUAACUCCUAUAUUUAUGCACUCAAACGGGACUAAAUAUGCUUCAGAUAAUUUCACUCUUCUUAAGCUAUCUGAAGCAUAUUUAACUCGAUUUUAAGAUACCAAUCAUGUAUGUUUGAAUAGAAAGGGUUGUAUUGACAUUGUAUAAACUAAAAGGGGACGUUUGGUAGAUGGUUUGUAGGUGAGUUAUGCAGGUAUUAAAUUCUUCAUAAGUAAUAGAGAUCUAAGUAAUAUCACAUUUGGUAGCUAAUACAUGCAUCAUGCAUAACUCUUACCAGCUACCAAACGACCCCAAGUGCUUAGCACCUAUAACUUUUUAAGGUGGAGGGCAAAUCCGAUAACCCACUUUGGCUGAACCAUGUAUGUCAUUGAUUCUACCACAUUAAGCUCAACAUUCUCUAAGGUAAAGUCAUAUAAUCAAAUUCAUCACUUGCAAGUUGAUCCAAAUGAGCCUACUAGCCAAACACACAUUAUAAGCUGUAAAUAUUCACCUUUUUGGAUAACUUUCCAACCUUCCCUGACAAGUUUACAGUGAUCUAUUGGAGGUAAAUCCAGUCACAAGAUUCCCCAUCAAUCCAGAAUAUGAACAAUGACAUCCGCAUUUUUCCAUAUUGCAUCCUUUUCUGGAACUAGCCGUAGCUAAAACUAGCUCUGGAAUCUUGUACGCCAUAUGGAGCCAAGAUUUCAAUCAAGAAAACCUCUCUUCGACUCAACGUUUGCUUACUAAUUUUGAUCCUCUCUUGGAUCAACUUUUUCACGUUUGGUAGGUCCUUUUACCUUGAAGAAGCAAUUCAUCAAGCUGUUUGGAGGACAAGUUUGACUACUUAUCCCCAGACAAGCUUCAAUUUUGUACCAUUUUGAGUUACCUCAUCAGUGAACUAGCUCCGCAGUACAACAUAUAAUUAAUAUAUCAUAGGAAACUCCAUCGAGCACCUCAUUUCAUCAUGACCGAUCCUUAUUCUAUUUACAAUAACAUAUACAGCAUAGUUCCACUCCACAAGUGAGGUCUGGGGAGGGUAGAGUGUACACAAACUUUACCUCUACCUUAUCAGGUAGAGAGGUUUCCCAAAAGACCCUCGGCUCAAAGAAAGCAUCGAGGUUAGAGAGGAAGGGCAAGCUACAAUAGUAAGAUAGAUUCAACCUUAACAUUAAUGCGAUAUUACAUGGCUACCUUAAGCAAAGGUCCCAUGCCGCUAUGGAUUUAAGGAAAUGCUGGCAUAACAGUAUGUUAUUCAUGAUGUUUAUAAGCUGAGACAUUCUAUCAAAUUAACUACCACAAUAGCAAAAUUGAUUAAAUAAGUCCUCCCUAUAUAAUUUUUCUUUUAAGAGAAAAGGAAGCCAUUGUUUAUGGGAAAUGCUUAUAGAUAUAGGAUGAUUAACCUUUCGAAGCGUGGUCUUCAAAAAUGCACAAUAACGCCAGGGAACAGAUUUUAGUAUAUAAACUAUGAAGAUGAAGAUCAGAAAUACAGAUGCCCAAAAAUCUCACAGGAACCAUCUGAAAUAGACUAAUCAAUAUAGAAGGAACUCGAGUGAUCCCACAUAGAUUCCAUCACCAACAGCCAGUACGAGGCAUGGGAACUGUCAUAUAUUCUGGAAUAAAAUGUCUAGAGCAGGUAUCUCACUUAUUACAAAUUUAACAAAACUUCUAGGAAGAAAUAAAAAUUCUAGGUGCUGCAGCUUUCUAUUGAUUAAAUACUCCAAUCAUACGUUCUAAAAUCAUCAGAUGAUUAUACAUAAUUUACAUGAUUUUAAUUUUGGUCCUCAGAAGACUAUAGCCACAUGCAAGCCAAAUGAGGAUGAACCAUGCAUCACGUAAAAUUCAGGAAGAAAGGAAGUGCCCAACCUAGCAACUGUCACAAGAAGGCUUCCGCUAUGCAAUUGUAGUUGCAGAUAUCUAUGCCCUUAUGUGAUGACAGUAGGCUUUUCUCUUCCGGUGAAGUCCUUUAGCUUUGAUACAGAAAGAGCGAGAUCUGCAAAAGAUAUCUAGAUA